Molecule: long non-coding RNA, 127047 nt
Filed under: Pelobates cultripes (western spadefoot toad)
Lineage: Eukaryota; Metazoa; Chordata; Amphibia; Anura; Pelobatidae
Source: RNAcentral
AGAUUGUCUUCUACGAGGAUCGUAACUUUCAGGGUCGCUCUUAUGAGUGUAACUCUGAGUGUCCAGAUUUGUCCUCAAAUUUUCAUCGCUGCAAUUCCAUCCGAGUGGAAAAUGGAAACUGGAUCCUAUAUGAGCACCCCAACUAUAGAGGACACCAGUAUUAUCUUAGCAGGGGAGAAUAUCCUAAUUUUCAGCAAUGGAUGGGUUUCAAUGACUCUAUCAGAUCUUGUCGUAUUAGCCCACAGGUAAAUAUGUUUACCAGAGCAAUUAAGAAUUUCACAAAAGUAUUAAAGUUGCAGUCCUAAAAGCAUUAUUGUCCAGUUACCAAGAGUAAUGGUUGAAAUAAAAACAUAUAUAUAUUAAUUUUUUUUUUUUUUAUUGCAUGAGUUGUUUAAUGGAAUAUAUCUUAAAUUCACAAUUAAAUUGUCAGGCAACAGGUGCGUUAAUAGCAAUAAAAAUGAUACUCUCAGUCUAGAUUUUUUGCAUGAAUUAUGCAAUUAUUAUAAUAAUAUUUAUUAAGUAUUUUUUUUAAUCUUCUUAAAGCACCACGGUUCAUUCAGAGUAAAGGUCUACGAGAAUGCAGAUUUUCGAGGUCAGAUGAUGGAGUUCACUGAAGAUUGUCCUCAUGUCUAUGAGAGAUUCCGUCACCAUGACAUCCACUCCUGCCAUGUGUUUGAUGGUUACUGGAUGUUCUAUGAGGAACCAAAUUACAGGGGCCGCCAGUAUUACCUGAGACCAGGAGAAUACAGAAAAUAUACCGACUGGGGUGCCAUGAACCCAAGAAUUGGCUCAUUCAGGAGACUUCACAAUUUCUAAUAAGCUGUAUUAAUUAAUACAUCAGAAUCUAGUUUAGAAUACAAUAAAAUAUUCAAAUAAUUAAUAGUUAUUUGUUUCAUUUUGUAUUUUUGCUGUCUUUCAAAUUGCAGUUUAUUAAAUUGGAUAUUAAUAUAGCAGUGGCAUUUAGUUAGAAAGGGUAAUCACCAAUAACACAGUGAUACAGUGUACAUGUUAAACAUUGUUUGGUGUGUAUGAGACAGGGGUGGCCCCUCCCCCCACUACUAUAUGUAUUGGCUCUGAAUCCCCCCCGCCAGUCUAUUAGAACAGACCAUGAGAUCAAGGGGGUCGAAUUUCAUGGUAAUGAACUCAAAAUUAGUGCUUUUGCGGAUUACAUUCUCUUAUACAUAACGCAUCCUCAACAUUCAUCACCGAGAUGAAUGCACCUUAUCCACAAUUAUAUUAAAAUUUCCUACUACUCUCUAAACACAACCAAGACACAAGCAUUAAGUAAAUGAAUCCCUGCAUCGAUAGUACAAUCCCUGCAGCAGUCAUUCCCCUUUGAGUGGCGUGUGGAGAGUAUCGAGUAUUUAGGCCUUAGAGUAACUAAAAACCCUGCUGACCUUUUUCCGCAAACCAUAUUAAAGUAUGGAAACAUUGUACACACCUUGUGAGACAAUGGAAGUCACUAUUUUUAUUGUGGACAGAACACAUUCUAGCUAUUAAAAUAAUGCCUAGACUCCAAUACUUAUUCUACACUCUCCCCAUACAUAUUCCAUCUACAUUUUUCAAAUCUACCCACAAAGACCUAUCAGACUUUAUAUGGGCACAUAACAGAUCAAGAGUGUCUAAAGAUCUGCUGAGAGCUCCGACCAAGGUGGGCAGAUUGGUGGUCCAUCACUACCUCACUUCCUAUACCAGCCUCCUCCAAAAUGGGUCAACUUAGAAAACAAAUCUCUCUAUCCGCAUAGGGUGACUAACCUCCUGUGGCUGACCAAAGAUACCAGUCCCAUAUGAAAAUUAAUAUCACCGGUGACAGCACUUUUCCUGGCAGUGUGGGGCAAACACAAAAUUAUAUUAGUUUGCUCCACGGCUACCUCAAGCGCGAUGCCCAUAAUGUCAGUCCCAUAUGUUAUUCCUACUUUCAGUGCCAAACCCUGGCAUGAUAGAAGCACUACCUGUCUUUACCACCUGUUUCACAGAGUUUUUACACUACUCAGUUGCUACUCCUAUUUGCAUAAGCAUGGUACACGAGACAGCCCCCAGAGGCCCUCUAUGACUACUUUAAUGGUUUGGGAGCAAGUGUGCAUAAAUACGAGUUUGCCACAUUAGUGUAGACCAAUUUCUAUGUGUUACCAAAACCUGUCUGAGUAUACCCGUUUGCUAAUUCCAACCCAGCCCUUCAAUGGGAAGAGGAACUAGGUUGUUAUGUUACCCCUCAAAAAUGGAAAACCAAAGUUAACGCAUCGCAUUGGUUGGUCAGGUUCUCAGUACACCUGGAGCAGCACCGUAAAAUGCUGUACUGAUGGUACAUGGUGCGAUCAAAGCUACACAGGCUCUAUAAUACUGCCUUUCCGAUGUGCUACUUACUAUUAGAUCUCCCAGAUAGUAUAUCAUCAUACCAAAGAAAAAAAAUUGGUUAUUCAGAUACUUCUAUCCACACUCCAACUUAUUGAUAAAACAUGGAAAUUCACUAUACCCCCCCAACUAUCCACCCCCAAUAGCAGCAGUGGACGCUCAGCGCAUAUAUGAUAGGUCAUGCCUGUUCCUCUUCACAGUUAUAGCCAACAGCUCUAAGUUAUAUCUUUCAUUUUGAAUGAUUGAGAAGCAAUUAUGCCAAUGGACAUUACUUUUCUGGAAUACAGGAAAAUUCUGCAUAUUUUAAACAGGUUUAACUUGCAAAUAUGUCGAUAAUGACUGUGAUGGCCCCCUAACCACAACUAACCACAACACUAUGGUUCUGAGCCUGGACACCUAUUAAACUUUUAACCAGGUUACUUAGCUACAUCUUAUUUAAAAGAACAUGAUCAUUAAAAAAUAAAUAUAUAUAUUUCUAAUGUUACCGUCUCUUAUUUUAACAUUAUACCACCCUGUAAUGGAUCACCUGGCACCCCGAUUGGGAACCUCCAUUGACGGAUGCUUCCUAGUUGACAACGAGGACUAUAAGCACUGCACCAGACACCACAACCACCGCAGACUCCACAACCGCCGUAGCUUAACUGGAGUCUCGCCGUCUUCCUUCCACCCUGGAUCAACCUCUGACAUCCAGGACCGUGUUGGGGAGACCUCCCCUCCAGGAGAGCGUAACAGGAACAGCUUUUAAAAGAGCUAAGUGAUUAGAGCCCAGGGAAGUAUACAAAGUAUAGCAAUCCCCAGUGUGAAUAUAACAGUUCCCUACAAACACGAGACAAGGCUACGUAUUGAGGGUUAAGCAGAUCUGAGAGUUUAAUGUGCUAGGCUGGCUUUUUAUGCAACUUUUCCCACAAGGUUACCACCCAUGUGGACCUUGUGGGGCACCGAAAAAUACAUUCAACAGCCAAUAGUGUACAGUCACAAAGUUAAACACUCCCAUUCAUUUACAGUAAAUUCCUCCCCUCUGCUUGGGAGAUAAUUGAGUUAAUUAACGAAGACAAUAGACUAACUCAAUUAACUCUAAGCAGAAAAAAAACAUACAUUUUUACAAACCCCAAAAUGUACCCCAAAAUACAACAUAUCUCCACAUCCCCUGAUAGCCCCGAUCUGGGUGAACAACAUAUCCACAAACCCCCUGAUAGCCCCGAUCUGAGUGAACAACAUAUCCACAAAUCACCAAGAUCGGUUCAGGGGUUCAGGAAUUUCCUGGAAGUCUUAUUUUUGCCCCACUGUGCACAUGGUCCCAUGCCCAAAACAGUACACUCGACAACAAAACACUGCUGGACAAUUUAAGAUGGCCACCGCCACAUGUUUGAAUCUGUUCCAGGCAAUUGUGUACGUUCUGAUCCAAACAAGAAGAUAAAAUCUGGAAUUUUUACUAUAUGUCUGUUCAACCGAUUAUUAUCUCUUUCAUAUUAAGUGUACCCACACUUUAUUUUCAGGAGAAACAUGGCUUUUAUUUCACAUCAAAUAUUUAUAUAUUAAACAGAAAGAAAAAUUAGGACUUAGAGGUCCUGGACAGGAGAGUAAUAGAAAUGGGGAGGAGUCCCUACCUUUAAUAGUCCUAAGGCAAAACAGGUUAAAAAAUAAACAGGAAAAAGGUAAUAGAAAGGAUGUAUCUUAGCACAUCCAGACCAAAUCAAUAUCCAACUAAAGACAGCCUGGCUAAUCCUCAAUGUGCCGUGCAAGCCUAGGCUGCAUAAAUGAAAGCUAAUGGAUAAAAUAAAUCAGGUAGGUAGAGGAAAAACUGGUAUCACUGGUCUGAAUAAGAGAUAUAUAGAUUCCUGUCAAGGGGGGAUAACUUCCCAACAUCAAAACCCAAACAGAAACCACUAAUGAGAGAGUCCUGUCCCUGUUUACCUCGGCACUGUGGUAAACCGCAAGUGCCUACCUGCACACCUCUCCCUUCCUGUUCAGGUAACUAAAAAUUGAUUAAAUUAAGUAAAUUCAUAAAUAAUAAAGAAAAAUAAAUAAAUAGAAGCUUGACACGCUCUAGAACGCCAUCGUCAGGAGCAGUACAUUUUGGAAUGACCUUGUAUUGGUUUAUAUACCAGUUGUAGCAAUCAGCUUGUUAAGUAUUGACUGCCGUGUGUGUAAUACAGGCUGGAAAAAGGCUGGACAAAUGGCAGAAGAAGCACAUGAGAUGCACACACGGCAGUCAAUACUUAACAAGCUGAUUGCUACAACUGGCUGAUUGCUACAACUGGUAUCUAAACCGAUAUAAGGGCAUUCCAAAAUUUACUGCUUCUGACGACGGCGUGCUAGAACGCCGAAACGUACAUUGCGCUUCAAUUUAUUUAUUUAUUUUUCUUUAUUAUUUACUUUUCUCACAUUCUGGUUGCACCAAAGAAGUUAUGAAUUUACUUAAUUUAAUCCAAUUUUAUAUUGGUUUGCUGACCCUAAGUUGCCUUUUAAGGCCCAGAAAUGAGUAUUCAAAAUGUAGUAUAUCCAAUCAUUUUUAGUAGCCACUUAGUCAUAAACACUGGCCAAAGUUGACCCCUCUCCAAACAUAGCACUUAUGGUUGCGACCAUAAAGCUCUAUUAUUUUCCAGUCACUCCAAAUUACAGUGUGUCAGAAGCUGUGAGGAGUGUUAAGGUGUUAUUGGGCAUAUUGUAACCAGGAUUUUUUGUGGCAUUAGCGCAGCAAAGGCUUUUUUUCUGGUAACUUAACCAUGCAGUUCAUUUUUGUUCAAGUAUUGUUGUAUUGUGCUCUUUGAAACAACCACAAGGUCUUUUUACAGAGCAGCCUGUAUUUUUCCUGAGGUUACUUGUGGGUUUUUAUUUGUAUGCCGAACAAGUCUUCUGACAGAUGUGGCUGAAACUUUACUUGGUCUACCUGUCCUUGGCUUGGUGUAUAAAGAGAUCCCCAAAUUUUACACUUCUUAAUAAGUGAUUUAACAGUACUUUUCAAGGCUUUGAAUAUCUUUUUAUAUCCUUCUCCAUCUUUAUGAAGUUCCAUUACCUUGUUACACAGGUCUUUUGACAGUUCUUUUCUGCUCACGGUGGCUCAGUAUCUAGCUUUCUUGGUGCAUCCACGUGAGAGCUGUCAAACCUAUUGACUAUUUAUACACAGGCACUAAUUGCAAUGUAAGAAGCCACAGGUGUGGGGAAUUAACCUUUAAUUGCCAUUUUAACCUGUGUAUGUCAUCUUGUGUGUCUGUAGCAAGGCCAAACAUUUAAGGGUAUGUGAAUUUUUUAUCAGGGCCAUUUGGGUGAUUUCUGUUAUCAUUAUGAUUUAAAAAGGAGACAAACUAUGUGAUAAUAAAUGGCUUCAUAUGAUCACUAGCAUGAUCAGUCAUAUUUUCAAAAUCAAUGCCAAAUUUUCACAAUUUCUGCCAGGGUAUGCAAACUUUUUAGCACAACUGUAGGUACAGGGUGUGUUAUAUUGUAAUUUUUUUUGUCAAAUGUAUUCUGUGCUCUCCUUGUGUGCUCUAUAUAAAUUGGGCAUAUUUAGUUGUUGAGCCUGUAUAGCACCACAUGUUGGUUGUAAAAGAUCUUGCAAGCCUGUGCAGUGUCAUCUAUUGUUUGCAACAGAUUUGUGCAUUACUCAAAUAGAAACACUUAUUUAUUUGCAUAUUCAGUUAGAUUUGCAUAAUAUGGUUUAUUCAGGCAGAGGAGGUAUUUCUUAUCAUUGUUUGUCUUCCACGCCCCUUUAUAAAUAAUGUAUUGUGUUCUAUGAGUGCUUAUUAGAGUGCAGCGGACACCUGGAUGUUCGGGUUUGCCGAGUUCGGCUGAACUUCAUCAAAAAGUUCGACUUCAGACUCGAACUUGACCCCGAACCCGAACCCCAUUGAAGUCAAUGGGGACCCGAACCUUUGGACACUAAAAUGCCUCUAAAUAAAAUCCUGGAAAGGGCUUGAGGGCUGCAAAAGGAAGUAAAAUGGGGGUAAGAGUAGGACAAGUGCCCUGCAAACAAAUGUGGAUAGGGAAAUCACUUAAAAUAACAUAAAAUACAUAAAAAUUAAAAAUACAGCUGAGCCAUAAAAUAGCACAAGAUGGAAUCUUUGAUUUUAGCUUUGGAAGAACAUAAAUCAAAAUCUAAAGCAUGGCUAUCAUGAGGAUCAACGGAAUUUUCCAUUUGAGAGAGGGUUGGAGUGCAGAGAAUUCUCUGUCAUUGUUCAAACUGAGCUCAACUCCUGAUGCAUGGAGAAAAGGCCUUCACAAGUCUCUGCAAAUGUGUACAUAGUUUAUACUAAGUGACCCAUAGGUUGAGGAGGCGGUGACCGUGGCGGUGUAGGUGGAAGCGGCGGUGGAGGAGGAGGUAGCCAACAAUGUUUUCUAUUUAUUUAUUUUGUAUUUCUUUAAUUGGGGUAGCCCCCAAAAUAUUGGGACAUAAAAUAAAAGAAACAUUUGCGGCCUGCAGUGCAUUUCUUGCAGUCUAAUAAUGCCAUCAGGUUUUUAAAACUGUUCGUCUCCACCAGACGGAAUGACAGCAUUUUAAAGGCCAGGAAUUUUGAAAUGCUGGCAUUCACGGCCAGGGAUUGCUGGUGGGUAGGUGGGUACUUUAUCUUUCUCUCCAGUGUUUGGGAGAUGGACAGCUGAACGCUUCCAUGGGACAGUGUGGAGAUGCUGGACAAUUGUGUACCUGGCCUAUGCUGGUGCAGGAACCCACCCUCUGAGCCACUUGUGAAUGACUGGCCUGAUAACCAUGGAAAUUACCCCUCUUCCUCCUCCUCUUCCUCCUGUGCCACAUUCUCUUCUAUCAUCGCUAGUGAUGUCGCGAACCCGAAAUUUUCGGUUCGCGAACAGCGAACGCGAACUUCCGCAAAUGUUCGCGAACCGGCGAACCGCCCGAAACGCCAUUGACUUCAAUGGGGAGGCGAAUUUUAAAACACACAGGGACUCUUUCUGGCCACAAUAGGGAUGGAAAAGUUGUUUCAAGGGGACUAACACCUGACUGUGGCAUGCCGGAGGGGGAUCCAUGGCAAAACUCCCAUGGAAAAUUACACAGUUGAUACAGAGUCUGGUUUUAAUCCAUAAAGGGCAGAAAUCACCUAACAUUCCUAAAUCACAAUCAAUAUGGAUUGACACCUGACAUAUGACAUAUUGACACCUUGACAUAUGGAUUGACACCUGUCCUCAGAGCCCCGAUGCACACGGACACAGAGCAGAAUAGAGACUGGUCCCCCUACAUAGGGUCACUUGGCAGAUAUGGAUUGACACCUGUCUUAAGGAUCCCUGAUACACACUGACACAGAGCAGAAUAGGACCGUUCUCCUACAUCGGUCACUUUAGCAGAUAUGGAUUGACACCUGUCCUAAGGAUCCCUGAUACACACUGACACAGAGCAGAAUAGGGACUGUUCCCCCUACAUCGGGUCACUUGGCAGAUAUGGAUUGACACCUUGUUACAAACUGCUAUUUGUAACGGGCCCCUUAAAUGGCAAAUUGCCCUGUUUCCCUGGGUUGUGGAGAAGCCUCUUUGCCAGCCUCCUCCCGCAUGACUAUGGCCCCUGGGAGAUUGUGAAAAUGUAUGCACUUUUAUUUGGUGUGUAUGGCCCUUAAGACUGUCGGUGGGCAUAUUGGGGCUUAUGGACUCUUUAUGUGACUGGUGCUGGCCCUUUAAACACCUUUUUUGGGACAUCAGAAAGAUUGGGACACUGCCCCUUUAAGGCCGUGUCCCCAGACUUGUUGGGGACACGNNNNNNNNNNNNNNNNNNNNNNNNNNNNNNNNNNNNNNNNNNNNNNNNNNNNNNNNNNNNNNNNNNNNNNNNNNNNNNNNNNNNNNNNNNNNNNNNNNNNUGACACCCGAUCUAAUUAGUGUUACUAGUCAGCGUAUCCACUGUUAGCGUAACACACCCGCUUUAAGGACACUGACUGCUAUUCAAUCUAUAACAGUGAAAAAAGAUUAUUUUUUUUUUAAAUCCAAACUAUUGUGACACCAGAUCUAAUUAGUGGCACUUGUCAGUUUAUCCACUGUUAGCGUAACACACCCGCUUUAAGGACACUGACUGCUAUUCAAUCUAUAACAGUGAAAAAAGAUUAUUUUUUUUUUAAAUCCAAACUAUUGUGACACCAGAUCUAAUUAGUGGCACUUGUCAGCGUAUUCACUGUUAGCGUAACACACCCGCUUUAAGGACACUGACUGCUAUUCAAUCUAUAACAGUAAAAAAAGUUUUUUGUUUUUAAAUCCAAGUUAUUGUGACACCAGAUGUAAUUGGUGGCACUGACUGGGGAAAUGGGCACAGUAUGCACUGUGAGCCUGACACAGAAGCUGGCAGCAGUGGCAGACAACUGACUGCUAUUCAAUCUAUAACAGUGAAAAAGUUUUUUGUUUUUAAAUCCAAGCUAUUGUGACAUCAGAUGUAAUUGGUGGCACUGACUGGGGAAAUGGGCACAGUAUGCACUGUGAGCCUGACACAGAAGCUGGCAGCAGUGGCAGACAACUGACUGCUAUUCAAUCUAUAACAGUGAAAAAAGUUUUUUGUUUUUAAAUCCAAGCUAUUGUGACACCAGAUGUAAUUGGUGGCACUGAUUGGGGAAAUGGGCACUGUGAGCCUGACACAGAAGCUGGCAGCAGUGGCAGACAACUAAGUGCAUUUACAUUACAUAGAAAAAAAAAAUCCAAAAAAAGCAUACCCUUAUCCCUAACCUAGCUAUGCUUUUCCUUAUCUUAUGAACAGCAGCUACACUUUCCCUCCUCUUACUAAGCAUGCAGCUUGAGAAUGAAUCUAAAAUGGAUGCUGUCCAGUAGGUGGGAGGGUCUGCUAGGGAGGCUGUGCUGCUAAUUGGCUGGAAUGUGUCUGCUGACUGUGAGGUACAGGGUCAAAGUUUACUCAAUGAUGACGAAUAGGGGACGGGUCGAACCGCGCAUAUGUUCGCCCGCCGUGGCGAACGCAAACAUGCUAUGUUCGCCAGGAACCGUUCGCCGGCGAACCGUUCGGUACAUCACUAAUCAUCGCCCAAAGCAUUUUUUCAGGGAGACAUAGAAGCAGGAUUGUAAGGCUGAGAACGGCGUCAUUGGCACUGGCCAUGUUGGUGGAGUACUCGAAACAGCACAACAUUGCACACAGGUCUCACAUGGAGACCCACUUAUUGGUGGUGAAGUGGGGCUGUUCCACAGAGCAACUGACCCGUGCAUGCUGCAGCUGAAACUCCACUAUUGCCUGCUGCUGCUCGCACAGUCUCUCCAGCAUGUGCAAGGUGGAGUUCCACCUUGUGGGUAUGUCGCAUAUGAGGCGGUGAGCAGGAAGGCCGAAGUUACGCUGCAGCGCAGACAUGCGAGCAGCAGCAGGUUGAUAACACCGAAAGCGCGCACAGUUGCUACAGUGAAACUGCGAAUGGCUCAUUAAAUCAGUUAUGGUUCCUUUGAUCGCUCCAUCUGUUACUUUGAUAACUGUGGUAAUUCUAGAGCUAAUACAUGCCGACGAGCACUAGGGGAUGGUCGCUCCGCUUUUGCACCCUGCUCCCUCUUAUGCUGUGCUGGUGCCUCUGUGUGACCACCGCCUCUUCCUCCAAACUGCACACGUCACUCGCAUGACCUUCAUUCCAUGUGGGGUCUAGGACCUCAUCAUCCUCCACAUCAUCUUCCACCUACUCCUCAACCCUGCCCUCCUUGCCGGUCUGCACACUGCAGAAAGCCACAGCAGUUGGCACCUGUGUUUUUCCAGCGUGUAAAGUCUGCAAAGGACAUAUGGAAAUUGUUUUAGAAUUGUAUCCAGGCAACAGUUUUCCCUAUUAACAGACCUCUCAGUUUGACUUGUAAGGGCAUUGCCCCAGAAUUGCAAUAUUGUUUAAGUACCUCUUAGCUAUUGUCAGAAUAUUUAUAUCAGCAGACAUUUUGUGCUAAGAAAGAUAUUAAAAGUGUAUAUUGCCAGAGUCACUCAGAACAGAGCAGACUCCAUUUUGCUAGCUUCAGAAAUUCGAAGACACAUAAUUUCCUUGAUUUCACUAACCACUGAGCUAAAGGAAUGCAUUAUAUAAACACAGACACUAGUGACAGAGAAGACUAAUUAAUUAAUUUUACUUUCUAAAUUUUACAAGGUUCCAUUGUAAGUAAGGGGUGAAAUUGAGUUUAGAACUGUCAACUUUACAAAUUAUGAUCAAAGUAGUUGCCACAAAGACUGAGACAAACGCUUUGAACUGACAGCAAAUCUAAGUUAUGGUAGUCAUUUUAGAUAAGCCAAAUGACGUCAAAAUCGUCAUCAGGAAAAGUUAACUCUUUCCUGGAUAAGAAGGUUUAGUUAGACAAGACUGCCUUCUAUGGAUCAAAUACCUAAAUUGUGAUCCAUCGAUUGAACCCAUCUACAGUUUCCUAUUGGCUUAUCAACUAAUGACGUACAAAGAGUCUGGCCCUUUGAAAGUUAGGACAAAGGGAAGAGAGGUUAGUUGGCAGAGAGAGGGAGUUGAAGUUUGGGGAUUCCAACUCGGACAUGCAGAGAGAUCCAGGACAUUCUCUGGGACUAACACUCUACUCUUAAACUCUUUGACACUCAACUCUUAAACUCUUUAACACUUAGAAUUUUACUCUGACUUUCUAACCAACACCACUUUUCUCUAUCACUCACGCACCUCCAUACAACCAAUCAAGUUCCUGGGACUACCUACUCACCUGAUGAGAAUAUCUACAUAACUGGUAAUUAUGCUGGUUUUAUUUAAUUAAUUUAAAUUAAUUAAAAUUUACUAAUAGCAUGAUAUAUGACUGGAUAAAUCAUGGUCAGAUUUCAAUAUUUAGAAAUCUUAGUUAAUUAAAGAAUAUAUAGUUAUAAACAUUCCAUUCUGCAGGUGGAAUUAAGAAUAAUUAUAUAUUAAUGUGAUAUUAUCACCUGUUAGCAUACCGCUGUUUUUAUCCAGGUGUAUUGAUUUGCUCUAAUAUAAGAUAAGAUAUCUUUUUAGGCAAAUUAAAAUUCGGCUUUUGUAAAAAUCUGGUAGAUUAUUCUUAUUGGAUGGUUCCAGGAAAUGACUUAUGAGCUGGUUUGUAUGUUAUUUUAAUUGAAAAUCACAGGAGAAUAGGAUACUAUAUGCCUAUGAGGAUCUAGCCAGCAUUGAAAGGGUUACUCAGUUGAUUUAACUGUUAGCCAAGGUUUUCUGGCUUUUCGCUGUGAAAAGCUUUACUUUUUGUCCAUGAAGCUUACCCUCAUAAAUCUUAAGUGACAGAUGAUGCUGUUAGCCAUUGGAACGUGUAUAGCCAUUCCAUUGUAUUGCAUACUUAUGUUAUACUAAAUAUUCACUGAUUAAUAUCAUGCAUGCUGCCUAAUUUUAUUGUUAUUUUAUUGGUCAUAAUAAAUUAAAUCUAUUUUUAUAACACAUUGUGAUCUUAAUUGUAUGGAACACAUUUAACUUAUUUGAUAAACGAUCUCUAAGAUCUAAGAGAAUUGAAAUAGUGGGCGAUUCUCGACUGUUUAAUAUUAUCAUCCCAUAAAUAUCCCCACACUAUUGAUAACUGGUUUAAAUAUAGCAGCUUGUUAUCUGGUAGUUUCUAGUGUAGAAAAUAUCAAUCUAUUGUAUUUCUGAAAUUGUGUACUUUUCAUUUAAGUUGUAUUUCUUAAAUUGUGUACUUUUCAUUUAAGAGAUUUUGCAAACUGAAAUUUUUUUAGAAAUGGAAAAUAUUGUUUCUCAUACAAUGUUUCUUUAAUAAAUAGACUUCUUACCCAGAUACUCGAAUAAGAGGUUUAGACUUUAAGACACCCUUAUGUCCUUGAUUAAUGUCAGAUUAAAUAAAUUAGGUCCAGGCACACAGGAUUGCUGCAGGAAGGCAGGUUUAUUGAAACAAAAAGUGAAACAUUUCAGCCUACACAGAGGCCUUUAUCAAGCAUCAUGUUUAGCCCCAAACAAAGAUUUGUUUAACCAAUCAUUAAUAACAGGUGUAGUUCCAGAAGAUUGGAAGUUAGCGAAUGUUGUGCCCAUUCACAAGAAAGGUAGUAGGGAGGAGUCGGGCAACUAUAGGCCAGUAAGCCUUACUUCAGUAGUGGGGAAAGUAAUGGAAACCAUGUUAAAGGAUAGGAUUGUUAAAGGAUAGGAUUUCAAGAUCAGAGACAGCAUGGGUUUACUUUAGGGAGAUCAUGCCAAACUAAUCUUAUUGAUUUUUAAUAUUGGGUAACUAAAAUAAUAGAUAAGGGUGGUGCAGUAGACUUUGCUUACCUAGAUUUCAGUAAGGCUUUUGACACUGUUGCACAUAGAAGGCUUAUCAAUAAACUGCAAUCUUUAAGUUUGGAUUCCAAUAUUGUUGAAAGGGAAAGGCAGUGGCUGAGUGACAGGCAACAGAGGGUUGUAGUCAAUGGAGUAUAUUCGAAUCAUGGGCUUGUCACCAGUGGGGUACCUCAGGGAUCUGUACUUGGACCCAUUCUCUUUUUUAUUAGUGGUAUUGCAGAAGGUCUUGAUGGUAAGGUAUGUAACUUGGUUGAUGUUCCAGGAGGGAUAAGCCAAAUGGCAAAGGAUUUAGGUAAACUAGAAAAGUUGUGACAGCUGACAUUUAAUGUGGAUAAGUGCAAGAUAAUGCAUCUUGGACAUAAAAACCAAAGGGCAGAGUACAGAAUAAUUGAUAGAGUCCUAACCUCAACAUCUGAGGAAAGGGAUUUAGGGGUGAUUAUUUCUGAUGACUUAAAGGUAGGCAGACAAUGUAAUAGAGCAGCAGGAAACGCUAGCAGAAUGAAGGAACUUCACAUGUAUAGCUUGGAGGAAAGACGAGACGGGGGAUAUGAUAGAAACAUUUAAAUAAAUAAAUGGAAUCAACACAGUAAAGGAGGAGACUAUAUUUAAAAGAAGAAAAACUACCACAACAAGAAGACAUAGUCUUAAAUUAGAGGGGCAGAGGUUUAAAAAUAAUAUCAGGACGUAUUAUUACUUUACUGAGAGGGUAGUGGAUGCAUGGAGUAGUCUUCCAGCUGAAGUGGUAGAGGUUAACACAGUAAAGGAGUUUAAGCAUGCGUGGGAUAGGCAUAAGGAUAUCCUAACUAUAAGAUAAGGCCAGGGACUAAAGAAAGUAUUUAUAAAACUGGGCAGACUGGAUGGGCCGAAUGGUUCUUACCUGCUGUCACAUUCUAUGUUUCUGUGUUUCUAUGUUUCUAAAGAUUAAGAUGUCCAGGUCAUGACAAUAGAUUGAUUAAAGUUUUUACUUUAAUUUUCUCAUGUUAGCUGAUUUUAAUACAAGAUUUUUACUUUUUCUAACAUGACCUAAUUUAAAAUCUUGGGUAUGUGUACUUAUAAAUAUUCUAAAAUAUUUGUGCUUAUUAAUAUUUAACACAGAGGGGAGAAUUUGGAAGAAGAGAUACUGCUACAUUUUACAAGACUGAGAGGGUUUGUUAUUUUAUUUAUAUUGGAAGCAUAUACACCCUGUUCCUAAUUAUUAUGCAAAUUCUAUUUAAGUGUCACAAAGAUUAAAUAUUUUGUUUUUCCGUUUAACUCAUGGAUGGCAUUGUGUCUCAGGGCUCUUGAUCACUGAAAACAAUCUCGGACACCUGUGAUAAUUAGAUUGCUGGGUGAGCCCAAUUUAAGGAAAAACUACUAAAGGAGGGUGUUCCACAUUAUUAAGCAGAGCACCAUUUUCAUGCAAUAUGGGGAAGAAAAAAGAUCUCUCUGCUGCUGAAAAGAGUGAAAUAGUUCAAUGCCUCGGACGAGGUAUGAAAAUAUUAGAUAUUUCACGAAAACACGAAGCGUGAUCAUCGCAUUAUUAAGAGAUUUGUGGCUGAUUCAGAGCACAGACGGGUUUGUGUAGAUAAAGUCACAUUGAGGAAGAUUUCUGCCAGAUCCAUGCAUCGGAUCAAAAGAACAGCUGCUAAAAUACCAUUACAUAGCAGCAAACAGAUAUUUGAAGCUGCUGGUGCCUCUGGAGUCCCACGGACAUCAAGGUGUAGAGUCCUCCUGAGUCUUGCAACUGUGCAUAAACUUUCUAUUCGGCCACCACUAACCAAUGCUCACAAGCAGAAACGGCUGCAUUGGGCAGAACAAUACAUGAAGACUAAUUUUCAAACAGUCCGGUUCACUGAUGAGUGCCGUGCAACCCUGGAUAGUCCAGAUGGAUGGAGUAGUGGAUGGUUGGUGGACAGCCACCCUGUUCCAACAAGGCUGUGACGUCAGCAAGGCAGUGGUGGAGUCAUGUUUUGGGCCGGAAUCAUGGAAAGAGAGCUGGUCGGCUCCUUUAGGGUCCCCGAAGGUGUAAAGAUGACCUCUGCAAAGUAUGUGUAGUUUCUGACUGACCACUUUCUUCCCUGGUACAGAAGGAACUAUGCUUUCCGUAAUAAAAUCAUCAUCAUGCAUGAGAAUGCACCAUCUCAUGCUGCAAAGAAUACCUCUGCAUCAAUGUGUGUGGCCUCCAUCCUCCCCUGACCUCAAUCCUAUUGAGAACCUUUGGAGGAUCCUCAAACAAAAGAUCUAUGAGGGUGGGAGGCAGUUUACAUCCAAACAGCAGCUCUGUGAGGCUAUUCUGACAUCUUGCAAACAAAUUCAAGCAGAAACUGUAAAAAAAUUCACAAGUUCAAUGGAUGCAAGACUUGUGAAGCUGCUAUCAAAUAAGGGGUCCUAUGUUAAAAUGUAACGUGACCUGUUAAAAUGUUUAAAAAGUUAAAAUAUUGUUAUAAGAUUGAUUGAAAUAGCUUUUGAUUUCAGUAAAUAUGCUGCAAACACAACAAAGGACAAUUUUCAGUUCUUUACAACCUUUAUGGUGUUUUGAAACUUACUGUGCGUAAUAAUUUGAAACAAUGCAUUGUAAGUUUUUUAUGUUUAAAAAAAAAAUACUGUUAUUAGGAGGUUUGUUCAGCAACAUUUGAAUUGUACUCUUAAUAGUUGAUAACAUGAGAAUUAUGCUGAAUGUUAUUUACAUCAAUUAUUUAAGUAAAUGAGAAAAUAUGAUUUGCAUAAUAAUUUGAAACAGGGUGUAAAACUUGCACCAUAGAGCUCACUUUUUUCAAGUUUUAUAUAUAUGUAUUGUGACGAGAGCAAUCUCACCACAUUGCAUUGGAGAAUCCUGGUUGCUCGCCUGCUGCCUUUGGACUAUAGCCCCCAUGUUAAAAGACAUCUUUUUCACUGCAGAAAAGACUUAUUCGUGCUUUUCUGCCCGGUGUUCGGUAGAUUCUCGGAUUUCCUGAAUGAACUCUUAUAACCCAGAUAGGUAUGCCAUGGAGCCUAUUCAUGUAAUAAAAGACCUUGGCUCCAUGUCAAUUGAACUGUAUGUGUUUGUGGUCUGAGCGCCAUUCAGUAAUAAUAUGCGCUCAGACCUAAGCUAUCUGGACAUAUGUUACAUGUCUGUAUUUUAUGUCAUAAAUGUAACCUUGUGUAUUUUAUUGUAUUUUACUGUCUUUUUGCUGCCAUGUGUUCAAUGGAGUUUUGUCUCUGUCUUUGGAGAUAAUUGGAUUACUUCUAAUUAUCUCCAGGAUAGAAGACUCUGUGGAACUGGUUUUGGGCAGAAAAGCCAUGCUUCCUGUGGUCACAAAGGACUACGAUCUAUCUUUUGAACCACUGGACCAAUUUGUAUGAUUUUGACGUAUGUUUGUAUUUGGAGUAUGCUGAUUCUGAAAAUGUAAGUUUCAUGUGAAUGUGCUGCAUACUUUUCAAGUUAUGAAUAAUGUGGAAAAAUUGUAUUUCUCUGCUUGUGCUAAAUUACAUUACCCAUUGUGUAAGGUAAUUGAAUCACAAGCAGAGGGGAGGAAUUUGUGUGGGAGUGUCUGAGUGUAUUGUAUGUGUUUAUUGUUUGUGUUCCAAAACCCUGUGGGUGGUACUAAUGUGUAAGAAUGUGUACAUAAGCACAAUGAACCCACAGCUCUGUCUGUUCACUGCUUGACCCUCAACACGGAGCUUUGUCUUGUUCUUGGGGGGAUUUACUGUAUGCUGUUAGAGACUGAUUUCUAGGAGUGUAAGCCGCUUAGAUGCUUUUCCUAUUCGUCUGCUAGCAGCUAUUUGUGAGGUUCCAGUUUGGGAGUUUGGGGUGCUAUUUUGUAUGCAGUUCGGGAGUUUGGUGUUCUGCAGUAGCUGUGCCUGUAUCUCUGGAAAGGGGGGCGAUCGCCUAAACGGUUUUUACCCCUUGUGUACAAAUCGGUCCGUUACAUGUAUAUAUAUAUAUAUAGAUAUAUAUAUCUAUAUAUAUAUAUCUAUAUAUAUAUAUAUACAUACACAUGUAAAUUUAACACGUAAAAGGUCAUAAAUACAGUAAACCAUCAAACGUGCAUUCUGUAUUGAGGUAUGUAACCGCACCCCGUGCAUAAAAGGGGUUAAACGCCAUUUAGAGGAUAUUCCCCUUCCAGAUACACAGGCAGCUACCAAAGACACCAAUCUGCUGAACAAGAAACAAUUAGAAUGCCGUAAACAGCUGAACUGGAACCAUGGCUAUGGGUUUAUUGUUCUUAUAUACACAUUGUAUACACAUUCACAUCUUAUAUACACAUCUUAUAUACACAUUCUUACACAUUAGUACCACCCACAGGGUUUUGUAAAACAACCAAUAAACAUGUACAAUACACUCAGACACUCCCACACAAAAUCCUCCCCUCUGCCUGUGGUACAAUUACCUUACACAAUGGGUUAAUGUAAUUAUCACAAGCAGAGAAAUACAGUUUUUCCACAUUAUUCAUAACUUUAAAAGUAUACAUCACAUUCACAUAAAACUUACAUCAGAAUCAGCAUACUCCAAAUACAAACAUAUGUCAAAAUCAUCCAAAUUGGUCCAGUGGUUCAAAAGAUAGAAGUCCUUUGUGACCAAAUGAAGCAUGGCUUUUCUGCCAGUUAGACAGAGUCUUCUAUCCUGAAGAUAAUUGGGAAGUAAUCCAAGUAUCUCCAAGGACAGAGGCAAAACUCCAUUGAACACAUGGUAGCAAAAGACAAUAAAAUAUAUAAAAAUAUAUAACUGUGCAGCUAUUGCAUAAAACAGGUACAUUCAACAUAUCCCCAGAUAGCUUAGAUCUGAGUUCACAUUAUUACUGAAUGGCACUCAGAUCACAUACAUACAGUUCAAUUGCCAUGGAGCCAAAGUCUUUCACAUAGUCUUUCGUUAUACAAAUGGGCUCCAUGGCAUAGCUAUCUGGUGUAUCACUGUUCAAAUAGGGCAAGUGAUGAAUGAACCAGUUUUCGUGUCUUUGCAGGGGAAAAUCAAGCAUUUCAACAUGGGGCCAUAGUCUAAAGGCAGCAGGCGGGCAACCAGGAACCUCCAAUGCACAGUGGCGAGAUUGGUCUCGUCACAAGGUAUGUUGACAUAGAUCUCUUAAAAGAUUUUACAUUAAAUGAAGAUUUGACUGUGUCUCUGAGGUUAUUCCAUAAUUUUGGUGCUCUGUAGGAAAAUGAAGAUCUAGCCACUUUAUUUUUGUAUUGUAUGUAUGUUAAAUAUCGUGCUGGUACUGGAUCGAAGGUUAUAGGAGGUUGGAACAGCUGGGGAGAGCAUUCUACUCAGGUAGGGUGGGAGCUUCCCAGAAAAGCUCUUAUGCACAAGGUUGGAAAGAUGUAGUGAGUCGGGAUUCCAGGGAUAGCUGGUUUAGCUCUUUUAACAUGUCACAAUGGUGGGUGAAGUCAUUACCUUCUAGUACAAAGCUGCAUAACAUAUUUUACAAUGCAUUACGUUUAUGAUUAACAUUUGUUGCACUGCUUCCUUACUGUAGGGCUUAGGCAGGAUUUGUUUCUGUACAGGGCACCUGGUUUUGGAUAAAGUUUUGAAGAGAUUUUUUCAAUGUGAAGGCCAAAGGAUAAAUUUAGGUCUAGCAACAUACCUAGAUAUUUGAAAGAACAGACUGUGGUCAAUGAGCUAUUGUCAUUGUGACAGUUUUGUCAGUGUUUAGGAAGAGUUUGUUAACUGCAAUCCACUUUUCUACCUCUGUGAAUCUGUCUCGGAGCACAGUCUCAAGCUGCAGUAGAUUGGGUUUACUAGCGCAGAUUAUAGUGACGUCUGCAUACAUGUGUACAGAUGAGGAUUCACAGACUUUAGGCAGAUAAUUUAUAAAUAAUGUGAAUAGUAGUGGGCUGAGUAUGGAGCCUUGGGGAACACCACAUGUGAAUGGUAGACGGAAGGAGGCACUAUCAGAAGUGGUCACAUAUUAGACACGUGCAAUUCGUUUCGGGCCGAAAAUGAAUUCGAACGAAUUUUGGGCAAUUCGGACAUUUGGGUACUUCCGAAUAGCCGAAGUGCCGAAUUGCAGAAGUGCUGAAUUACCGAGGUGCCGAAGUUCCGAAAUUACAGAAUUUCCGAAGUGUCGAAGUGCCUAAGUUCCGAAGUGCUGAAGUGCAGAAGUUCCGAAGUUGCCAAAGUUCCGAAGUUUUGGCAACUUCGGAACUUCUGCACUUCAGCACUUUUUUGAUUUCAAACCAACCAAUCAGAGUGCUGUGACAGCUAAAUGUAGAGACUUACCUGUCAGUCUCUUCAUUUACCUGUCAGAGCACUCUGAUUGGAUGGCUUAAACCCACCAAUCAAAGUGCUCUGAGCCUAAUUGCAGGGCGGGGCAAGCCUUUAUAAGCCUUCCCCCACCCUGCAGAGCUCAGUCUGCGCGGAGCCCUCGCUGGGUGAAGAUGUUUUUUUUUUUUUUUGCGCUCAUUUCUUUUUUUUUUAAGGGCGUCGGUUAUUAUGGCUUUUUAUUUGGCCUUUUUUUAGGGCUGAAAAAAUAAGAUUUUAGAAGAAAGAAAACAUCAAAUGGUAAGUUUUUUUUUUUUCAGGAAUUUAGUUAAAUGGUUCCCCCUCAUUAUUUGUAGGGUGAGGGGGGUAGGCAGGGGUUAAUUUUUUGGGGAAGGGGGGUGACUAGGGGUUUGGGUACCCCUAGUCAUCUGGGGAGGGGGGUUAUUUUUUUAUUUAGGGCCCCCCACCCACCGCUCAGGGGUGGGGGCCAGGGUGGAGGACAUUAGGUCCCCCCUAAUUAGUAUUUAGGGCCCCCACCCGCUGCUCAGAGGUGGGGGCCAGUGGGGAGGACAUUAGGUCCCCCCUAAUUAGUAUUUUAGGGCCCCCACCCACCGCUCAGCGGUGGGGGCCGGGAGGAGGACAUUAGGUCCCCCCCUCAUUCUAAUUUAGAGCCCCCCCGCCGAUCAGGAGUGGGGGCCAGGGGGAGGACAAUAGGUCCCCCCAUUAUUUUACUUUAGGGCCCCCCCGCUGCUCAGGGGUGGGGGCCGGGGGGGAGGACAAUAGGUCCCCCCAUUAUUUUACUUUAGGGACCCACCCGUCGCUCAGGGGUGGGAUCCGGGGGGGGCAAUAGGCCUCCCCUUUAGUUUAAAAGCCCCCACUCAUGUGUCAUGGGUGGGGGCUUGGGAGGGGGGACCCAUUUUUUUUUUUUAACAGUGAGCAGCCACUGGCUCACUGUUUAAUAGACAUGCCCCUACUCGCGGUAUAGUAUUAGUAAAUUUGGCUGAAAGACCAUGGGAAUUAGGGAGUUAUCUACUAAGCAGCUGCAAGAGACGCUCCGAAAUUCCAAAGCCCCGAAGUCCCGAAAUGCCGAAGUCCCGAAGUGCCUAAUUGCCGAGGUCCCGAAGUUCCGAAAUUACCGAAUUUCCGAAGUGUCGAAGUUCUGAAGUUCCAAAGUGUCGAAGUGCCAAAGUUGCCGAAGUUCCAAUGUGUCGGAAUGCCGAAUUGCCGAAGCGCAGAAUUGCCCAAGUACCAAAUUUCGGAAUGCCGAACCAAACCGAAAAAUUUUCCCAUGCACAUGCCUAUCACAUAUUACAAUUGGUCUGAUACAUAUGAUCGAAACCAGGUUAGCGGACGAUCACCACCAAUACCCGAGUUUUUAAGUGUUUGCAAAAGAAUGCCAUGGUCUACUAUGUCAAAGGCAUUGGCUAAAUCAAGGAAAAUAGCUCUAGUUACGUUUCCUUGUUCCAUGCCAAUUUAGAUGUCAUUGCAAACUUUUAAGAGGGCAGUCGAAUUUGAGUGAUUUGGAUAAAAUCUGUUUGAUCAGGGGUCAGAUAGUUUGAUUGUUGAUAAUAUUCACAUAGUUGCAUGUGAGCGCAUUUUUCCAAUAUUUUUGACAAUACGGGGAGCAAUGAUAUUGGACAAUAUUUAGAUACCUGUCACUAGAUAGAUAAUUGUCACUACUUUUAUGGAUAGGUACUGUGACAGACCACCCUGUCCCUGGAUUAUAAAGCUUUUUGUCCCAUUCUCCUAUUUAUUCAGUGGAUUGCGUUCACCUCUUAUUUUAACAUUAUCCUGUUCGUAUACUGAACAAACCACCGAAUGUCAGACCACCCAUAUGUAAAGUGUGCUGCUUGUGGACCCUGUUAACCUCCGCCAACAUCUCACUAACCGCAAUAACACCAACGUUCUAAGCGGUCGGCUGGGUUGACGUCGUUCACAUGCGCGAACACAUGGCAGCGGCUAUCUUUAACCGCGAACACAGUGUUGAGUGUAUGGAACUAAAAUCAGACAUUCGACAAGCGAACACAACUGGAACUUCCACCUCCUUUGAAGUUCGGGAAAAGGUGUUGAAAUUGAAAGGCAUUCGGUGAGACACAAACUUGGCAUAUUCAUGAAUGUUUAUGUUCGGUACUUUAUUGCAUUUUGUACCCCCGAAGGAGACCGACCGUUCAGCCUAAUUUCAUGGAACUCUUUUGCGCAGGCACCUUGUGCGCGGUCUAACAUUUACCCCAGUUGCAUUUUGGCUGUGUUUGUGGGAUCUGAGCGCUUUCUGGAUAUGUUGGGCGCUCAGAUUCAGGCUAUCAGGUAUAUAGGACUUGAGGGAGUACUCAGUUAUUAAAUAUAUGUUUUGGGGAUAUAAUUAUUGUGUAUGUCCUGGAAAUGAGAGUUAAUGUAAUUAUUUGUGUGUUGUACAGUAGUCUUUUUCUCAGUGGGAAAUGCCCCUGAAAUAUGUUACAUGGGGAUUCACAUAAAAGGCUGUGUGUGUUCCCCAUUAAAUCAGUUCCAGUUUUACCCAUUAACACAGAGCCUUGUCUCGUGCUUGUAGGAAACAGGUAUAACAACUAUAUCACUGCUCUUGGUAUUAUUGCUUCUAGGAUUAUUGCAGCUCUACUUACACUGGAGGGAAAAAGAACAUCUCUGGUGGCGAAACCCCUCUUCCCAUCGGGGUGUCUGCAACAUCUGUGAUUCCUGGGGGUUCCUUGUAAGAAGUGGGGGGGGCACAAUGGCGGGGAUCUCUGGUCAUGGAGGGAGUCUUACUGUGUGUUGUUUAGUCUUUCGGGAAUCCGUGUACUCAUCAGCUAAGCGAGCCACCUCAGGUAGGUCACGUAUCUAUUCUUUAAUGUCAGGGUUGAGGGUGUUGACGAAAUGCUCCAGUAGAAAUAAUUGUAGUACGUCCUCCCCAGACACUGCUUGGCAACCGGUUACACAGUGGGACGCUGUCCUGCGGAGACAGCAGGCCUAUACGGUGUAAUAGUCAUUCCCUUGCUUCUUGGACUCUCAGAACUGCUGGCGGUGCGGCUCUGGGGUGAUGGUGUACCGGGCAAGCAACACCUCCUUUACAGCAAUGUAAUGCUGGAUCUCAUCACCGGGGAUGGUCCUGAACGCCUCUGCAGCUCUCCCUGAUAACUUCCCAGCCAAAAUGGUAACCCAUUCAUCUGUGGGUACUUUGUGUAAAGCGCAUUGUCUCUCAAAGUCUGCAAGGUACCCAUCUAUUUCUCCUUCUUGAAAAUUUCUAAAAGCAGAAAAGGGUACCUUCCUCCGUUCUAUAGUGGGUGGAAGUACCCUCACUGGUGAGUCUUCUAGUCGCUAAAGCUCCACCAAACGUAGCUGAUACUGAUGCUUCUCCCGGUCAUCAGUAUCUGCGCCAGCCAUCACUUGAGUAGCAAUGUCUGCAGGAGGAUUUGGCCCAUACAAUGCCAACCGCAACUGAAUGGAGCUUAGCAAGUUUUCCUCCGCAUUCCUGACAUCCAUUGUCAGUCCGGUCCAUUUCAAGCAGUUCGGCAAUUAAUUCCCUUUUCCUAUGGUUGUUUGCCAUUCGGCCGCGGCUCUCCAACAGAUCCUUUAAGGUGGAUGAUUUCAGUUGUCCAUACCGAUUCUCCAUCCACUAUUCCGCCUUUAGAGCUCAUUGUAGCAUCUUCUCUGCUGAAAAAGAACCAUCCUACUGCUGCCACAAUAUGUGGCGGACACCCAGAUGGGAAGAAGGGUUUCGCCGCCAGAGAUGUUCUUUUUCCCCCCAAGUGUGAGUAGAGCUACAAAAAUCCUAAAAGUGAUAAACCCAUGAGUGGUGAUAUAGCUGUUAUAGCUGUUCUUACAAACACAAGACAAGGCUCUGUGUUGAGGGUAAAACUGUAACUGAUUUAAUAGGGACCACACAUGGCCUUUUAUGUGCAUUCCCAUGAAAGCGGUUUACUGUAACAUAUUCCAGGGGCAUUCCCCACUGAACCUGAGAGAAGACUACUGUACAACACACAAAUAAUUACAUGAACUCUCAGGUCCAGGACAUACACAAUACUUAUACCCCCAAAAAAUAUAUUUAAUAACUAAGUACUUCCUCAAGUCCUAUAUCCCUAGAUAGCCUGGAUCUAAGCGCCCAACAUAUCCCAAAAGCAAUCAGAUCCCACGAACACAACCGAAAUGCCUUCUUCGGGGGUACAAAAUGCAAUAAAUUACAGAACAUAACCAUUUCUGAAUAUGCCUAGUUUGUGUCUCUUGUUCGGGGGUUUGUUCCCACCGAACGCCUUUCAAUUCCAACACCUUUUCCUGAACUUCGAUGGAGGUGUUUACGCUGUCGAGUUUCUGAUUUUAGUUCCAUACACUCGACGACCAAACACCACUUGUUCGCACAUACGAAUGACGACCAACCAGCCGACCGCUUAGAAAGUUGGUGUUAUUGCAGUUACUGAGGUGUUGGCAGAGGUUUACAGGGUCAACAAGUGGCACACAGUGUUGAGUGUAUGGAACUAAAAUCAGACAUUCGACAAGCGAACACCGCUGGAACUUCCACCUCCAUCGAAGUUCGGGAAAAGGUGUUGAAAUUGAAAGGCAUUCGGUGAGACCAAAACUUGGCAUAUUCAUGAAUGUUUAUGUUCGGUACUUUAUUGCAUUUUGUACCCCCGAAGCAGACUGACCGUUCAGCCUAAUUUCAUGGAAAUCUUUUGGGCAGGCACCUCGUGCACGGUCUAAAUUUUACCCCACUUGCAUUUCGGCUGUGUUUAUGGGAUCUGAGCGCUUUCUGGAUAUGUUGAGCACUCAGAUUCAGGCUAUCAGGUAUAUAGGACUUGAAGGAGUACUCAGUUAUCAAAUAUAUGUUUUGGGGAUGUAAUUAUUGUGUAUGGGUGGUCUGUUAUUCGGUGAUUUGUUUAGUAUUCAAACAGAAUAAUGUUUAAAAAAGAGAUGAGAACGCAAUCCACUGGUACUACUUUUUUUCCAUUGGUACUACUUUUGCAGUCAUCAAAAGUUUGGGUAUAUAUCCAGACACCAGGGAUUGAUUGAUUAGGGUAGUGACAGGUUUAGCAAUUGCUUGCGAAAUGAGCUACAGCAACAUUACUGGGCUGUGAUGUGGUCCACACUGAUUUUUCAUUUUUUAAUUAUUAAGAGCCAAUUAAUAUUAAAAUCUCCAAAAACUAACAGUUCACUUUUUUGGUUUUGAGCUACAGUUUCACAAAGGAAUUGGACUAUAUCGGAAAAAGCAUGCACUGGUUAGCUAGGUGGGCAGUAGAUUCCAGCAACAAUUAUAGUUUUUUGCUUUGUCAUUUCUGAAACAUGAAUAUCCAUAUACUGCAAUGGCAGAGUAUGGUAUUUUAGUUGUUAACCGUUGUUAGCUAGAGGUUGGAAACAAUCCCAAGAAAUUAUGAAUUCACAAUGGAAAGAUCAAAUCAUUUUCCAACUUAAGAUGGACAAUGGAGUUGAAUUAAUAACUCAUCAGCUAAAAACAAAAGAAUACGAGAACGUUGUCUUGAAAAAGCACUUAUGUUUUUCAGCUAUAAUAGUUAAAAGAGAGUUAUUUUUAUAAUGAUCUAAUAUAUAAAUUGCAUAGGAUAGAUACAUGCUUCUCUUAUAGAACUCAGCCUUCUCUCCUCUCAACUGUUUGUAGUAUGUUAUUGUAUUUUGUUGGUAAAUGUCUAUGCAUGCAAAAGUGUGGAUGUGAUUUUAUUACAGUUAAAAUAAAAUUAAGAUUAUUAAGAAUAAUAAUAUUAAAUAUGUGAUGUAACCACAAAAAAUACUAUUUAGGGGGCGGAGAAUGCCAUAAAAAUCUGAUCGAAUGCCAUUUCACUCAGUUUCUCAGGAAAUUUCCAUAUCUGCCUCAUCCUCACAAAACUAACACUGAUCCAGCUCCAAAAACCACCUAGCUUGAAAAUACUACACAGGCUGCAUUGAUAGAUGCCUUUCUUUAUUGCCCCAAAACAGCCUAAGAGGUAGUGCAAAUCUGCGGCCUACCACACACUGAGAUUCCGAGCCCUCGAAGAGUUCAUUGGUGGAAACACUGUGGAGAGACACGCUGUGGCUUCACCUCCCACGCCAUCUCCUACUCAAGACAACAAACCAACCAUGGGGUGGCGAUCACAAAAGCCCAAUUCCAUAGGAAACAUAGGGGCUAUAUUACAGAGGCCUGCCCAGCACAAGCCAGCACCAGUGACAGACCUGCCUGUAUCUGGCCAAGCUCCCACAGAGGGAUGUGAGGAGCUGGAGAAAGCACAGAACUCUCUGCAAUCUCCACCUGCCAACCCCUCAGAUGACUCAGCUCCUACCACCAAACGUGACCUGAGGGUCUUAUUAGUGGACAUCCAUAAACUCCUAACGGCGGACUCCGCUCUCCUUAAAACUGAAGUGCAAGCUGUCACAGACCAGGUACAGGCCUCAGAGGAGGACAUUGCUUAUAUACACACUAAAAUGACCACUCUCAGCGACUCAGUACACAACAAACAAAGAACCCUCUCAGUUAAAGUUAAGGCCAUGGAAGACCGCUAACGCCGCACUCAUAUUAAAAUUUGUGGCAUCCCAGCCACUGUAAUGGCAGAAGAAUUAGCACACUACAUCCAAUGCCUACUGGGUGCCAUUCUACCUCAUGCAGUGGCAAAGAGACUAACUAUCGAUGGAGCCUACCAUGUCGCCAGCAACAUCCACUCAAACCCAAAUAUGAUAAGAGAUGUCAUACAUCGCUGCAUCACCGUACAUGACAAAAUCCACAUAAUGACUGCCCUGAAAGGCAAAACACCUCUCACAUUUGAUGACCUUACAAGAGCCACUUUACCUUGGCGGAAAUCUUAUACACUUUCACAACCCAACUGCAAUCAGCAGGGCUGGCAUAUAGAUGGGGAACUAACAGCUCUCUGGUGGUAACCCACUCCUGAUCUGCACACAUCCUUACAUCGAUGGAGGAAGCAUCAACAUUCUUAAAAAAUGGGACUGUCCCUACCAGAUGUAACCACAUCUGAAACACAUCCAGUAACAUCUUGGGACCCUGAUAAUAUCACUCCCUUUGUCCCUAGGGCAAGAGGAUCACAAGCUUCGGUACCAUGAACUGGACUAAUUACUAGGCCUUCAACCUCUAAUAUAUGGCGUAAAACACCUGCCCCCCCUCACAGCCCCCUUGGUUAGGGGCUACUAACAUGCCUCCAUACUGACACAUCUAACUUGUCAAAGCUUGUCCUACACUUAUAUAUACGCCAACAAGCAUUCAGUUUACCUGAUACAAACCAGGGUAUAUUCCCAAGAUGUACAUAUAUAUUCCUCCAACAGAGGAUUAUCAGUACAUGUUUUCACUUAUUCACAAUCUCUAACAACUUGUAUUGUAUUCUGAUACCCUCGGUUUACAAUUACCUUGUUUAACAAAAAUAGUGCAUAAAUCCUGCUAAGUUUAACACGUCUUUAUUCUUGUCUACAUCACCGAUAUCGCUGAAUAACUUUAUGUAUGCAAUGCACUGCAAAAAUAAAGUAUUAUAAAAAAGCACUAUUUACUUUAGAUUUACCUGUUAACUCCACAACAAGAUUUACUUGUUGUUAACUCCAUGAUGAUGAGAUAAUGUGAAUACCAAUAAGAGAUAAGUCAAGUUUGUAACUUUUUUUUUUUUAUUGUUCAAAUGUUUUGGAUUGUGAUCAUGUUGAAAAUACAAACACACAAUUCUAGCCUGAGUUCAGAAGGUGUAAUAGGAUGAAAAAAUGGCUGUGAUUAUGGCUGAUGCAUUUGACUGGUAAAACCAACAUGAAUUUACUUUAGUAAAAAAUUGCAUGUUACAUGUAACCUCUAACAUCAUAAUAAUAAUAACCGGCCAUUCGGUAGUUUUGUUUAAGCUCACAUAGGGAUUCUAGCGAACACCAGGAUCACUGUGGAUGGCAAGGGGUUCGUGGGGUUUUAAUGCACGAACGGAGACCGACCGCAAGGCCAAAACUUAUGGAACUCUUUUCGGCUAGAAAACCUUUGCGGUAGGUCAAAACUUCAAAGAUCCAUAACUCCCGAACCCCUCAACCGAAUGGGCUGAAAUUUGGACAUGUUGUUCCCCUGAGUGAGAGCUAUCAAGCGGUGCUGGACUUAAAGGUGUACCCCCUGUUUUUGGGGUACAUCCAGAAUGUGGUUAAAAUUGUGUCUGUUUUAAUUAUGUUAUAUGUUAUCUGAGGGGAGGAGACGUGGGGGUUGAAUCAUUUAUCUAAUUGGCUGUUGUGUUAAUUAUGUGGGUGUAGCCUUUCAGAGGGCACCAUUGCAUAAAAGGAGACCCCUGUCAAUAAACAUCAGUUCUACUUGACCCUUCAAAAUGUAGCCUUGUCUCGUUCUUGGAGGGGAUUUAUGGUACCGUUACUCUGCCUUAUUUUACAGCACUGCCGGAUUAUACACUUGGAUAUCGUGGAUGGGAAUAAGAACUCCAUUACUUCACAGCAGCUUGCCUAGAAAAGGACGUCUCCAACGGCAGAUACCCCUUUCCAGCUGGGUAGCCGUUACAAUAACAAUAAUAAUAAUAUCUUUAAAAAAAAAAAAACUUAAACAAGUUGCAGAACAAUUGGCCUCAAUGUAAAAGCUUUUUUCUUUUUUUUUUCUAAAAUGUGCUUUAGAAUGCUUUUUCCAGGUCACAGUGGAAAUAAUCUAUUAAAAGAAAAGACCUGUCACAUUUUUCUCUAGAUCUCUCUUAGAACCAGGAACUGCUUGUUCCAGCAGGUAAACAAACAAAAAAAACAUAUAGGAUACAAUAGCUAUACUAAAGCAUAUAGUAUACAAUAGCUAUAGAUUUCAAUUACUGUUGAAAAGAAACCAGCUCACCAUUGCUUUCAAUGUAUUAGAGCAUCAGCAAGAUACAUGGUAUAUAAAGGCUCUUCAUUCUGUGUAACAGCACAACUUGCAUGAACAGAUCAACCAUCACUGAAAAUGGGAAAGGUAAGAUGAUCUGAACAUUGUAAAUAUUUGUAACACAAGAAAUAUUGGAAAAAAUAAACAGAUUUUUUUUUUUUAAAUGAACCAAACAGUUAAUAUUAAAAAAGCUUACACUGAAAGCCAGCAAACUUUAUCUGCUGAAUAAUAUACUGUGGUGACAUAAUUUAGGUCAAAAAGAUAACAACACAAUAUUCCGUAAACCAGUUUUGGACAUUUGAUGCCUCAUCGAAAAAGAAUUAAUCAGAACACAUAAUUCACAUUUUUCAGACUCAAGAUUAAGAUUGUUUCCGUGUUUGAUUAAAUUUUUUCUAGGAUUAUGUUAAAAUGACAGAGGAGUCCAUGGAAUACAAGAAGCAGGACAUUCUCAGUACUCACUAGUAGAUGCCACUAUUCACUGUAAUAAAUUGCUAUAAUUAUGUGAAAGUGAAUGCAAGCUCACCAAUCAAAAACACAAAAUGUACCAAAAACUUAUAUUCCAAUUCUACCCUAAACUUAUAUGUAUAAAUCUCCUACACUUUAUUAUUUAAACAGGGUAAUAGUUGGUGUUUUUAGGAAUCUAUAGCAUCAAGUAAUCAAACCAGAAACAUUUUUAAAUGAAAUUAUUAACCACUAAAACAAUUAUAAUCUGAAAAAUCUAAAAUGUUCAAAUGCAUGGUUCUUUCACAGAUUGUUUUCUACGAGGAUCGUAACUUCCAGGGCCGCUCUUAUGAGUGCAACUCUGAGUGUCCAGAUAUGUCCUCAUAUUUUCAUCGCUGUAAUUCUGUCCGAGUGGAAAGUGGAAACUGGAUCCUGUAUGAGCACCCCAACUAUAGAGGACACCAGUAUUACCUAAGCAGGGGAGAAUAUCCUAAUUUCCAGCAAUGGAUGGGUUUCAAUGACUCCAUCAGAUCUUGCCGUAUUAGCCCACAGGUAAAUAUAUUAACCAGAGCAUAUUAUAAAAAUAUUAUGAUUCAGUCCAAAAAAAAUUAUUUCCCAAUUAUCAAUUAAUUAUUGUUUUACCUUUGCAAAUAUAUCCUUUUGUUACCAUUAUUAAUUAUGUUAUGGAAUAUAUCUUCAAUUCACAAUUCCAUUGUCAGGUAACGGGGGGGGGGUUAACAUUGAUACAAAAAUCUAUACUAUUGUAUAGAUUUUUGAUGUUUAUAUGAAGUUAUAUAAUCAUUGUACUCUUGUUUAUAAAUAUUUUUUAUUCAUAAAGCACCAUGGAUCAUUCAGAGUGAAGGUCUAUGAGAGGGAAGAUUUUCAAGGUCAGAUGAUGGAGUUUACUGAAGAUUGUCCUAAUGUCAACGAGAGAUUCCGUUACCAUGACAUCCACUCCUGCCAGGUACUUGAUGGCUACUGGAUGUUCUACGAGGAACCAAAUUACAGGGGCCGCCAGUAUUAUCUUAGACCUGGAGAGUACAGAAAAUAUACUGACUGGGGUGCCAUAAGCCCAAGAAUUGGCUCAUUCAGGAGACUUCACUUUUUCUAAUAAGUUGUAUUAAUUGCUAAAUCAGCAUGUCAUUAAGAAUAUAAUAAAAGCUUUAAAUAAUUAUCUUUAAGGUCUAUAUUUAUUUCAUUUUCUAUUUUUGUUGUGGUCAUAUACAUUUUACUAAGUUAUUUUAAACCACAGUUCAGUAAAUGAGUUAUUAUUCUAACAAUGGUUCUUAUAAAAACAAAUAAUGAAUAAGUAAUAAGGUGAAUUAUAUUAUUUUUCCACUAUAGUCCCUCAGAAAGGUGGAGUUGUGACAGACAAAAUACUUAUUUUACUAAAUGGUUUGACAAAAAAAAAGUAAAGGUAUUUCUUAAAAGAAAAAUGAAAACAUCCUUUCAACAACACUGUCAUGUAUCAAAUAAUAUCUAUGGUGUUUUCAGGUAUGAUUUUUUUUUUUAAUGCUUUCUGUACAGAAUAUACUACAUUCUUAUAAAUAAAUAAAUAACAUUUGUUAUAUAUGUGUGUGUGUGUGUGUAUGUCCUAUAUGUAUAGGUCAAAGGUAAUAGAGAAUAUUUGUGAGUUAGAAUGAUGGAAGAAAUAUGACAUCCAACUACAACCUUUCACGCUUGACAUGUGAACACUCUACAGAAACUGCUGAAUUUGAAUAAGCAUUUAACAACACAGAACAUUCACUGACUCUCAGGAUUCAUAUAUCUGAAAGAUCAAUUCAUGUACAUGUUCAUAUUUAAUUGGAACAUGUACAAUGUGUAGAUUGUUUUUGUGAGCUACCAUAAUUUCUAAUUUCCUUAAUUAGGCUAAGUUAGACUGUUUAUACUUCAAGCUGUAGAGUAAGAUUUGUCAUAGCAGAUUUAUGUUUAUGCAAAAGCACAUGCUUUGAAUGUAAGAAAUAAACAAAAAAAAUUGCAAAACAAGGCAACAUUUAGCACCCACCGACUUUUACAAGAAAAUACUAUUUAAACAGUAUUGUAACCUCUAAAAUUACAUGUAGGUGGGUGGAGGUAACUUAGAAUAAGUUUCCUAAGCCACUGAAAAUCUUACAUAGAGACUUUGUUUUAUGUAUUCGUACAAUUCCUGACUGUCUGAGAACAGUCACAAUAUUCUUUUUAAGCCCAUUUUCUAACAUUUAAUUUGACACAAACAACUCUGGCCUGGGUACAAUUAUUGAAGCAUGACCAUAAGUCUGAGACCCUAAGGCAUCACAUUCUAAAUCUCCCAUGAUCACACAUGAGGAUUCCAUGCAAUAUAUUAGGUACUUGUCAGAAGUGAAUGCUUUCCUAAGAAGACUAGGGAUAUUUCCACUGUACAUUAAUAAUCCUGGAGGGGUUACAACAAGAUCUACCCAUUUGUAGGACAUGGAAAAGAUAACUCAAUUGACUUUGUUUGUGCACUUACUUUGCAAUAUUAUUGCAGUUUCACAGGAGCCCUACCUUAUGAGGUACAUUUGAGGGACUUGUGAGGUCCAUUUGAGUGCUAUUAGCUAAUAUCUGAAAAUCAAAUGACUAUUUUAAUUGCUCAUAUGUUACCACGGAGGAGUAACUAGAGAUAAUUUCUGUCUAUGAUGGUUUAUUCUUAGUUUUAUUAUAUUUAUUUUUUACAGUACUAGUAUUGUUUCUUUGUAUUGAGUAGCACUUUAUUCUCAGCCUAUAGUGCAGCUUAUUUUCAUGUCAUACUCUCUCUCAGACUUUCUAUAUCAAGUAUAAACACUUGUAACUGAUUGUUAUGUUCUCCCUUUUAAACUAACAAAUCACAAUAUAAAACUUGGUAGAUAUAAAGGAAUAGGAACGAAGAAAUCAGUGCAGAAAGCACUCUUUCUUUUUUUUACUGCCAAAUUAAGUUAAAGGUUACUAAAACAAUAAUUGGAUAUUCAACAAACAUAAACAAUAUCAAAGAGUUGAAAUUAAUAUGUAAUGCUAUGAGGUUUACAUUUAAAUGAUGAUAAUUAAAGGGUUUUAAAACACAGAUCAUACUUAUUCAAAAUGCCAACAUCAAUAAACAGUUCUAAGAGAAGGUACCAUGGCCAAAUAGUUAUGGCGCUAUCACAAUCCAAUUCAGAAUCUGAGUUUGUAAUAAAUAUGGAGAAUGUGGGGUAAAAAUGGGCAAUCUGAUGUUCAUUUAUUCAGUCCAAGUAAUUUCCAUUCCCAUUGUAGCAAUUUGAUAUGUAGGACAAUCUGAGAAUCAAAUUUGGAAACUUGGCUCUAAAGCAGUGUACCAAAGGGAAUCAACAAUGUGGGGGUAGGUGGGAGAGGCUAGUUGCUUCCAAGCCCAGAGAGGGCUAGAGGAAACAACCAGAGACUAGUUAAUUAGGACUCAAAAAUCAAGAUCUGAUUAGAGAAAAAAGACGGCUUUUACAGGGAAAAGAAGGUUAGGUAUUGAAAUGUCAAUUAAUUAUUCUGAAAGGAGAACAACAUUAGAAAUAUAAACAGACACGGGAGACAUAUAACAUGACAAAAGAAGGCAAAUAACAUGACACUGAUGGGUGAUAUUUUAAUUACUAUAAUGGGCUUAUGGCUCUUUAUGGUUUUUACUUCUAGCUCUAGUCUUUGUAAUUUUCUACCUUCUCAAUAAAUCGUGAUUAAUUUAGAUGGUAGUAAAGGAAAAAAUACAAAUUAAUUUAAGAAAUGCAGAUGAAACAUGAAUUUAACAUUGAAAGUGUAUUUACUUUAGCAUAUAUGUCAAAAAGUAUUUUCAAAAUAAAAUCACAUGUAUUUUAUAUCAGUAUGUGUCUAUGAAAAUCAUGGGCAGUAAUGAGUUAGCAGCAUCAGUGGUGUGUCCUUUGUAACUGGGAUUUGCAGAUCUACAGCCCCAUAUUCUGAAGAAAAAUAUAUAUAUUUUUAAUUUACUGCAAUUCUCUCCUAGUUGUAAGCACUUAGCAAGAUAGUAUCCAAUUUUGUUGUUAAAAGUAUUGGUGAGGAAUUUCCAUCUGCAAAUAUUUUAUACACAUGGGAGUCUGACUUGCAAUGGAAGUCUAAUACACAUGGGAGUCUGGUUUGCAAUGCUGGGUUAAAGGUUAAUAUCAACAGGCCUCCAUCAAUCAUUAUCUCAACAAGAACCAUAUGUGGCGACCAAUGAUAUACAGAUGAAUAAGGUCUCUCAGUUAUUGUGUCUGAAAAUACUUUGAAAUUAAAUGAAUUUCAACUAAUACAAAAAUGAUAAUAUUAAUAUCACAAAGAUAAAAUUCUACAACACAUCAGAUAUUUAAAGUUCAUUAAAUAUAUUUCAUCCCCCCCCGUGAUACUUUUAAAAAUGUAAUGCAUCAUAAUAACUUACUCCAAUUCCUUAUAGGAUUCUAACUUUGUUGUCAGAUAUUUACAUCUGUAUUCAACGUCUACCAUUUGAGACUGUAUACGAUUUACUCUUUUACACAUAUGCCAACUAAAGAAGAAUAACAUCUUAAUUAUAAUCAUUAAAAUUACUAAAUGAUGUGUAAUAAACCCAUACUAAUCCUGUCUUGUGUCCCCCAAACCACCGUUACCCCAUGAUUUGGUUUCUGAAAUGUAUUCAUGUUUUAUGCUUUUACCCAUCCCUUGCACGGGAUGUAUAUGCACUAAGGUGUUUUGUAUUUCAGGUGAAUCGUUAUCAAUUACCUAUAUUAAUUUGCAUUAUAUAUGUAAAAUCUUUGGUAAUAUUAAUGAUACCAUUCUUCCAUCAAUAGACUUAUUAUUAUUAUUAUGUUAUUAUUUAUAAAGUGCCAACAAAUUCUGCAAAGCUUUACAGUGGGUGGGCGAACAAACAUGUAGUUGUAACCAGACAAAUUGGACACACAGGAACAGAGAGGUUGAGGGCCCUGCUCAAUGAGUUUACAUGCUGGAGGGAGUGGGGUAAAGUGACACAAAAGGUAAGGAUAGUAUUAGACUAAUGACAGUUGCAAGAGAAGAAUUAGUCAGGAGCUAUUAACAGUUUAAUUGAUACGCUUUUAUGAAGAACAGGGUUUUUAAUGAUUUUUUUUGAAGGAGUGGAGACUGGGUGAGCAUCUAACAGAGGAGGGAAGUGAGUUCCACAAUGUUGUGGUCGUGACCUACAUAUGAAUAUUAAUCUCUUAAUACAUAAUAAUUAAGCAAUACGGAACAACAUUAAUAUUGUUAUAAUUCAUGGUAUUAUGGUCGAAUAUGUGGAUAGAAAAUACACAAAACGUUGUAAUAUUAAAUGUAUAUUUUAUAUAACUAUAAUAAAUAAACAGAUGCUAGCAGAAUGUCAAUUUACUACAAUAAUUAUACAAUACAAAACUACAACAUAUUACUUACAAAAGGUUGCUAAAUGUUACACAAAAGGCUAUUACAAUUGCUAAAUGUUCAUUUUACUUACAAGGCCCCAGCCCUUUGGCUGGGGUUAAGUCAGAGCUGGUACUACAUCUUAGGUUCAGUCAGGUACAGGCAAAGGGACAGAGUUUUCUCCUCCAUCUGGUUUUAUUCAGUGUAAGUAGGCUGGCCUGUGAUGUCACUGCCAGAAGCACAUGUCUUCCUACACACUCCCCCUAGUGGUGCCCCCAAAGCAUUACACUAAAUAUGCUUUCUUUAUGAUGUAAAGUCAUUAAUUAAUAAAUACCAUUACAAACCACCCUUUGACUUAUGUCAUAAAACAAGCAUUUAUAAAACCAGUACAUUUUGAAUUUUCCCCCAUUUUAACACUACCUGCCCUACAACAAAACCCACCUUUUGAAGAACGAUACCCAUUUACCCAUUAAUUAUUACCCAUUAACAUUUUAUUGCUUAUAUAAAUGUUCACCAUUGAGCACAUGCAUUACCAGUUGGGAAACAGGCACAUACCCACCCUUAUAAUAAUGAACAACUCAAACCAUGUUUUAUUAGAUUAACCAAUGAUAUUGUGUUCAUGUGAGGAUGUGUUCUGGAGCUUAAUAUAGUAUUAGACACCGCAAACUCAUAACACCUAUGAAUCAUGGCACAGACCGACUCGAUUUCUGUAGCCUCUGGCUGGUCUGUGUGCCUGGAGUUUUCAGAAACAUUAGUCCUGGAAACUGGAAUACUCUAUUCUUCGACAGUCUCAUAGAACAUACGCAUGGAGACAGGGAUGAAUGAAACAGUUCAUGCGAUCAAGGACUUUUGUGUGUUUGUGGUCACAUUGUUUUGUUUUUUCUUUCUUUAUACCAUUAACCACCUUGACGUAAAAGUUUCCUGCUCCUGAUGCAUUUUGUUCUGACUCUCACCACUCUUAGCAAUAUUUCUCCUUACAGCAACAGUUGAGCAUAGUGUCCAGUGCUUCUCCUUCUUCUGCUUAAAAUAUCCUUGCUUGAAAGUUCUUGAAUGAAAACACAGGCAAUGACGAACACAAACAUAAAUAAUAACUGUGCCAAUCAUCACAAGUACCAUUUGACUGUGGUGUCUUAACCAUAUUUUUUCCUAUGGCGUUUGGAUAAAUACCUACACACCUCUCUUCACAUCCAGCACACUCCUGAUUCACAGAUAAACACAAUAUCACUGCUGUAUCUACCAAUUUAACCCAAACACUCGUUAUUACUGCUGCAUUUACCAAUUUAAUCUAAACACUCGUUAUCACUGCUGUAUUUAACCAAUUUAAUCUAAACAUUAACCAAAACAAUUACAUUCCUAUUUACCACCCUUCUAUUUAAACAUGUAUAGAUAACCCAAAAUGCCUACUUUCUCUUAUCCCUCUUAUCAUUCUUCCGUUUUUUUUUUUGUUUUUUUUUGUACUGCAACCACUCAUGCACUUUACACAGACACAAAUCAAGCACCUACUGGACAAUGGGGUUCCCUCGUUAGAGCCCUCCCACCCCAGUUUGGUUUACACAAAAAUACCCCCUGGUCCCUAUGGGUCAAUUCCCCCCUUUCCCAGGCAAGCGUACAUACAUACAUACAACAAUAAUACAUAAGGGUUUCAAUUGCAAUACAAUCACUAGAAAUAAGAGAAUAGUAUGCACAAAAUCAUAGCAUAGACAUGUUAAAUAGACAAUAAAAUAAAACACUCAAUAGCUCAUCAAAGGUCAACAUUUAAACACUGGUCUCCAUCUGAUAUUCUAUCUGUGUUCCAAUGUCCACCUCUGGUUUCUGCUACAUCUGAAAAGGUUAGGAAACAGAUCAGGAUUACUUUCCUAGUCACUUAUAGAGUAUACUGCAAAUAUUUUACUUAGAAUAUAUAUAUAUAUAUAUAUAUAUAUAUAUAUAUACACACACACACAGACAUGUAAACACAUUCCUUCAGCUUUUCAUUUUAUAAACAAUUUUUUUCAACAAGAUAACAUUCUUAAUUUUUUUUUUUUUUUUUACAAGGCUCUUAAAAAACAAUAAGCUAAUAGCUGCUUUCUGCAUCUUCUCUGCAAUUCAGGAAACACAUUUCUAGCCAACCUAAACAUGUUUAAUAACUCUCCACCCUUUGGUUAAAUUAUAGAGGAGUGAACCACAACACCUCUUCCGCCUCUGAAAGGAUAUAGGUCAAUAUGUCUCAAAGUUCAACACUUCUGACAGCUAUGAGUGACUCCCUAUUAAUUUCUAGCCUUUCCACGGACAUGCUUGCACCUCGCGGCUAAGGGCCUGCACAACUAACCACCCUGUGAUGGCAGUGGCUUUCCGCAUGGGGGUGACUGCCCCCGCAAAAUUAUAGAGGAGCAAACAUACAGCAGCCUCUUUUCCGGCUCGAUUAAAGGUUCUGGGCCAAUAUGUCUGCAAUUUAACCAGUACACUCACGUAUCACUUAUUGUAUAUUUCCUGGUCUCUCAGGAAUUUCUAUUAAAUAGCGUAUCCCCUUCCCAGGGCAAUAUACAACAAAAACUAGUCACCAAGGGUCUCUAUGGUCAUGAUAGGCCACCCUACCACUAGUGUAAUACGCCCUUUUUUAAAUAUAUUUCCUGGUCUCUCAGAGAUUUUGCCUAUCCCUUUCCCAGAGCAAUAUAUAUAAACAAUUACAAAUAAGUUACAAAACGCUACUUAUAAGUAAUACAGGGUUUCAAAUAAUAAUACAGGAUAGAACUGCACAACAACUAUUGGGUAUGCUCCCCCUUAUCCGGACACGUUUAAAUACCCCCUAGCUCAGGUUCCCCACCCGCCACUGUAACUAAAAUCACAGCCCACGUUAUGGAGGUUCACCCGCUAGGCAGAUACACCCUAAUUCAAAGCAUGGAAAUAUUAAAAUCAGUUAUAGAUGGCUUCUAAAAUAAUAUAAAUCUUAAUCUGAGCCCCUACACUUACUUUGUUAAAAAUGCUAACUUGUUAAAAUAUUCAGACUAAAUAGGACAAAGGAAUUAUUUUACCAUUUUUUCAGUCCAUUUGUUACCAGUUCCUGCAUAUGUCCAGUAAUUCCUUAGUCCUGGAUAAUAAAGCUGAAAAACACUCCACAAAUUGAUUAGUUUAGGCAAUUAAAUUUACAAAACAAUGCAGUUUAUUUUUUCUCAUACAGCAAGACUACCCACCCCCAACAAGGACAAAUUCUCCCCCAGCUGUAGCUGAAAAGCAUGGUCACACAGCUGUUAAAAAGGUGGUCUCUCCUUCAUGAGUCAAAAUCAUAUAUAUUUAUACUAAUAUUCUGUGUAUACGCACACAUAAAUCUAUUAUUCACUGAAUCUGCUUUACUAAACGUAUCUUUUUCUUAACUACUAAUUUAAUACAUUUUGUCCAAAUCUCUUUUCAACUAGACAAAUCCAUGAAUGCCAAACAAAUGUAAAUUAGUACACAAACAGGGUCAAAUUUAGCAAUAAAACCUGGUGAACUAGUUUAGUGAAAAGUCUUUUCCUAUGCAAAUGGUAGCAAACAAUGAAACUAGGCCUCAACUCAUGCACAUCAUGUGGUCAAUGGUGGAUUAAAAUCCACAUGGUCAGACAAAAGGUAAAGUAUACAUAAGUUUUCUCCUAUAUACAAAUGACCAAAGAUUGGUGACAAGCAACACAAUAAUUCAUCACUAUGUUCUACAGCAAGAGAUACAUUAAAAACAAAUAUCUAAUCCCUAUUUGCUAUCUGCAUUCAUUCCAUUAAAACCAAAUCAUCAUUCAUUUAUUCAUUUGUAUACAGACAGACAAUUUACAGUAUGAUUUAAGCAAAAUGCAUAACAUUUAUAUUUUCCCCAAUAUUCAAGCAUAAUCCUGCCGACUACGCCAAAUGUUGUGGUCGUGACCUAAAUAUGAAUAUUAAUCUCUUAAUACAUAAUAAUUAAGCAAUACGGAACAACAUUAAUAUUGUUAUAAUUCAUGGUAUUAUGGUCGAAUAUGUGGAUAGAAAAUACACAAAACGUUGUAAUAUUAAAUGUAUAUUUUUAUAUAACUAUAAUAAAUAAACAGAUGCUAGCAGAAUGUCAAUUUACUACAAUAAUUAUACAAUACAAAACUACAACAUAUUACUUACAAAAGGUUGCUAAAUGUUACACAAAAGGCUAUUACAAUUGCUAAAUGUUCAUUUUACUUACAAGGCCCCAGCUCUUUGGCUGGGCUUAAGUCAGAACUGGUACUACAUCUUAGGUUCAGUCAGGUACAGGCAAAGGGACAGAGUUUUCUCCUCCAUCUGGUUUUAUUCAGUGUAAGUAGGCUGGCCUGUGAUGUCACUACCAGAAGCACAUGUCUUCCUACACACUCCCCCUAGUGGUGCCCCCAAAGCAUUNNNNNNNNNNNNNNNNNNNNNNNNNNNNNNNNNNNNNNNNNNNNNNNNNNNNNNNNNNNNNNNNNNNNNNNNNNNNNNNNNNNNNNNNNNNNNNNNNNNNUCUAUUCCCUCUCUUUCUCACCCUGUGUCUCAUUUUUCCCUCUUUCUCCCCCCUCCCCAUCUCUCUAUUCCCCCUCUUUCUCCCCUCUCUGUCUCUGUCUCCCCCAGUGUCUCAUUCUUCCCUCUCUUUCUCCCCAUCUCUCUAUUGCCCCCUCUUUCUCCCCCUCCCCAUCUCUCUGUUCCCCCUCUUUCUNNNNNNNNNNNNNNNNNNNNNNNNNNNNNNNNNNNNNNNNNNNNNNNNNNNNNNNNNNNNNNNNNNNNNNNNNNNNNNNNNNNNNNNNNNNNNNNNNNNNCCCUCUUUCUCCUGUUCCCCCCUCCCUAUCUCUCUAUUGCCCCCUCUUACUCAAGCCUGAGGGGGCCGGGGGCUGGCCGUUUCAUGCUGGAGCCGCCGGACCGGGUGGCAGCCUCUCACUAACGCUGAAGGAGGAGGAGGAGCAUGUCUCUCUCUGUCAUGCUCCUUUGCGGUUCCCACAUCCUGUGCUGGGAAUUGUGGGAACCGCAGGGAGCAUGACAGACACAUGCUCCUCCUCCUCCUUCAGUGUUAGUGAGAGGAAAGCCGCCGGAUCGGCGAGGCUGCCACCCGGGCCGGCGGCUCCAGCAUGAAAUGGUCGGCCCCCUCAAAGUGUGCCACCGGACCGGCCACCCGGUGGCACCUUGUUCUGCAGUCCCCAGAUGCCGCCCCCAAUCAUGUCCGAAGUGCCCGAUCGGUCAGUCCGCCCCUGCCUAUAUCUUACAGGAAACCAAUGUAAGGACUGACAGAAGGGUGAGGCAUUGGAGGUGCGGGCAGACAGGAAGAUGAGACUCGCCGCUGCAUUUAUUGUGGACUGUAAUGGUGCAAGUUGGGAGCACGUAAGACCAUUGAGAAGUGGAUUACAGUAGUCAAGGCGAGAAAGAACAGUGGAAUGGACCAGCACCUUAGUCAUAUCUGGUGUUAAGUAGGGUUGGAUGUGCGCAAUGUUUUUCAGAUGGAAAUGACAGGAUUUGGCGAUAGACUGGGCAUGAGGCAUGAAGGAGAGGUCAGAGUCAAAGAGAACACCUAGGCAGCGAGCCUGCAUGGUGGAGCUGAUAGUAGCACCGUUGACUUGGAGGGAGACAAACACAGGAGUAGCAACACUUGAGGGUUGUAAGACCAGAAUUUCAGUUCUGGUCAAGUUGAGUUUAAGGAAGUGGGCAGCCAUCCAGUUAGAAAUAGCAGAGAGGCAAUCAGAGACACUAGUCAAGAGGGACAGGGAGAGAUCAGGAGAGGACAGGCAGAUUUGCGUGUCAUCUGCAUAGAAAUUAUAUUGGAAGCCAAAGGAGCUAAUGUGUUUACCAAGGGAGGAUAGAUAAAGAACAAUAGAGGACCAAAGACUGAACCUUGGGGGACACCAACAGGGGGGAGUUGGGGAGAAGAAGCAGAGCCAGAAAAAGAAACACUGAAAGAGUGCUGGGAGCAACAGGAGAGAGCAAUAUCUUGAUAGGUCAUACAUGGUUUAAUGACAUGGCUGUCAUUAAAUUGAAAUUGUCCUUAUUUGUCUUAUCAGUUUAUAAGGAAAAGCCUUUAUUGAUUUAUCACUACAUUUUUUUUCCCUGUCAAAAUUGUCAAUCAACAAAUUAAAUUUCUCUUUUGAUUUGAUAUCAAUAACUUUAGGCAUUACAUUCUGCCUUAGUGACCUGUGACUUUUAACACUGCCAUUUCCAGUUGAGAAAAAUGGGAGGCAUUCAGCUGUCUGUAUCAUUUUUUUACACCGAGUCCAAGACGGAGGCUCCUCUCUGGACUUCCACCUUAAUUUAUCCAAGAAGAAAGCAACUGCUCUCAAAGUUCUAUUUUCUUUAGCAAUUACAAUUGUAGUUGGAUCUAGACUUUGAAUUUUUUCCUCAAAUUAAUUAAUUAACCUUGGGCAUUGAUUGUACCUAACAUGAUUAAUAACAGUAUAAUUUUUAGUAUGCUGUGCAACUGUAUACAUUUUACAUUAACCAGAAAAUAAAAUUGAUUUGAUUUAGUCCAUGAAAUAAUGUCCUCUCUAAUUGAAUCCACAAGCACAAUCUCUUUGUCCAUAAUGUCCUUUGAAAGUCCAAACAGUGUGUCCUUUUUAAAAUAAAACCGUUUUUGUCCAUGAAAAAACAUUAUUGGUUCUGUAAUAAAAAAUAAAUAAAUGGCAGUUUACUAUGCUUAUACAUUAAUUUCUUAUACAUUAUUAGUAAGUUUACAUUGAUCACUAUGCACAAUAAAUGACUUACUACAUUUUCUACCAACAUUUUUUUUAAUCUGUAUUCUAUUUUUUUUUUAGAUUAACAUAAGGACCUUUUCCAACUUGCUUUUUAAGGGAUCUGGUGUUUUAAACGAUUUUACCUUCACCUUAUUCUCUAGUUUAAACGUAUAUGCAUAGUUUCCCAGUGCUAUAUCUUUAAAGGGACACUGUAGGCACCCAGACAACUUCAGCUUCCAGAAUCAUAACAGACUUUUGGUUCGUUAUCUAAUGCUGGACAUCCCACGCUCUGGAUGAGGACCUCCAGCGUCAGAAUUUACCCAUAGUAAAGCAUUGAUUCAAUGCUUUAAUAUGGGGAUGGCUAAUGCGCACGCGGGAUGGAGGAGAGGCGGAGAUUCCACCCAGAACAGAGGGACAUUGGCGCUGGUAUAAGGUAAGUAAAUAAAGGGUUUUUAAGCCUCUAUUUACCAGGGAAUGGGGGGGAGGCAGAGGGAUCGGUAGUGCCAGUUAUACAGCUUUAUAUUCGUGGCACUAAAGUAUCCCAUUAACAGAUUUUUUACCAGAAGGGACAAUAUUUGAAGCAGCAAACUUUAAAACUGAUUGCAGCUGUUCCCGUAAUACUUUCAACUAUUCAACAUGUUCUGACGCUACUUUGAAAGUACUUGGAAUAAAAGAUUCAUUGGGGAAAGUGAUUGGCAUUGUUCUGCCUGUCAUUAAGUCAUGAGGGGACACUUGCAUUUUAGAGUUUGGAGUUGCACGAAUAUAUAUUAAUACUCUUAGUAAAUGUGUUACCCAACUACUCCCUUUAUCUACAAGCAUAUUUUUUUUCAAUUUAUAUUUUAAUAGAAACAAUUUAUAUAGGGUCCCAUGGUCCUUCUGCCACGGAUACCCUCUGCAAUUUUGAUUUCUAGUCUUUAGGUCUUGGAUUAAAUUGAGCACAUUUAAGACACUCCUGUACUAUAUUUAUACAUCAUUCUUUUAAAUUAGGAUGAUAACAUUUAUUUUGCAGGACCUUAAACAGUUUUUUUUCUGUACAGACUUAAACCCUGCCCGCAUUCUCCAUCAUAACAUGUAGAAUAUUAGCUAUUCCUGAGAUGUUUGUCACACCAAAGUUCCAAUAAUCGAAUCAGAUUGUAUUGCAGCCAAAAAUUAAUAUUUAUUCAAACAUACACACCAUGAGAAAGUAACACAAAGUCUUUGCACACAUCUGGACCAAUACAGCAAUGUAAAAGUCCAAGGGGCAGAAACAGUACUUUUGAACAUAGGUUAUCAUAGGGCCCAUAGUCCCAGGGCAGUGGCAAAGUUGCUUUCAUUACACCCAUAUAUUGCAAUUUGCAGAGUCUGGUAUUUUAGUUUUUAACCAUGAUUCUUAGAGCAAAGUGACUUUUGGUUGGUAAUGGGAACCACCAGUCUUGAUUUAAUAGCAAGAGGUUGGAAACAAUCCCAAGAAAUUAUGUAUUGACAAUGGAAAAAUCAAAUUAUUUUCCAAUGUAAAAUGAAAAACGCAAAUUGGAUUAAUAGUUGGAUUAAUAACUCAUCAGCUAAAAACAAAAGAAUACAAGUAUGUUGUCUUCAAAAAGCAUUUACGUUUUUCAGCUCUAAUAGUUAAAAGGGAGUUAUUUUUAUAAUAAUCUAAUCUAUAAUUUGCAUUUACAUGCUUCUAUUAUAGAACUCAGUCUUCUCUCCUCUCAACUGUUUUUGGUUUGUUAUUGUGUUUUGUUUGUAAAUGCCUAGGCAUGCAAAAGUGUGGAUGUAAUUUUAUUACUGCGGAAACAAAAUAAAGAUUAUUCAGAAUAAUAACAUUAAAUAUGUGAUGUAACCACAAAGAGCACCAUUUACUUUCUCGUUAACUCCAUGAUUAUGAGAUACUGUGAAUACCAAUAAGAGAUAAGUCAAGUUGUAACUUUAUUUUUAAUAGUUCAAAUGUUUUGGAUUGUGAUAACGUUGAAAAUACAAACACAAUUCAGGAGUUCAGGAGGUCUAAUGGGAUGAAUAAAUGGCAGUGAUUAUAACUGAUGCAUUUGACAUGAACAUACUUUAGUUUCAAAUUACAUCUUACAUGUAUCUAUUAUAAACAUAAUUAAUAUAAUAUGUAUGAUUUAGCCCCAUAAUAAUAAUAAUAAUAAUAAUAAUAAUAAUAAUAAUAAUAAUAAUAUCUUAAAAAACAGAACUUAAGUUGCAGAACAAUUGUCAAUAAUCUCUAACCUUGUUUUCUUUUCUUUUUGUAAAAUAUGCUUUAAAAUAUUUUUUUUCCAUGGUAGGAAUACAAAUAAUCUAUUUAAAAAAAGGCAUGUCACAUUUUCUCUAGAUAUCUCUUAGAACCAGGAACUGCUUGUGCCAGCAGGUAAACAAAAAAAGCAUAUAUGAUACAAUACAAUAGCAAUACUGAAGCAUAUAGUAUACAAUAGCUAUAUAUUCUAGUUACUGGUGAAAAGAAACCAGCUCAGCACUCUUUUCAAUGUAUUUAAGCAUCAGCAAGGUAAACAAUAUAUAUAUAUAUAUAUAUAUAUAUAUAUAUAUAUAUAUAUAUAGGCUCUUCGUUCUGUGUAACAGCACAACUUGCAUGAGCAGAUCAACCAUCACUGAAAAUGGGAAAGGUAAGAUUAUCUGAAUAUUGUAAAUAUUGGCAACACAAGAAAUUUUGAAAACAAUAAACAGAUUUUUUAAAUGAACAAAAACAAAUUAAAAUGUUAAAUGCUUACACUGAAUGCCAGCAAACUUUAACUGCUGAACAAUAUACUGUGGUAAAUUUAUCUAGUCCAGAAACAUGCCAACAAAAUAUCUUUCGUAAACCAGUUUUGGACAUUUGCCGCCUCCUCAAAUAAGAAUUAAUCAGAACACAUGCAUCACAUGUUUACUUUUUUCAGACUCAAGAUUAAGAUUUUUUUCUGUCUUUGAAAGUACUUUGUAGUGAAUGCCACUAUUCACCAUAAUAAAUUGCUAUAAUUAUGUGAAAGUGAAUGCAAAUUCACCAAUCGAAAACGCAAAAUGUACCAAAAACAUAUAUUCCAAUUCUUCCCUAAACUUAUAUGUUUAACUCCUACACUAUAUUAUUUGAACAGGAUAAUAGUAGAUGUUUUUAGGAAUCUGUAGCAUGAAGUAAUCAAACCAGAAACUAUUUAAAUGAAAUUAUUAACCACUAAAACAAUAAUAAACAAAAAAAAUCUAAAAUGUUCAAAUGCACGGUUCUUUCACAGAUUGUCUUCUACGAGGAUCGUAACUUCCAGGGCCGCUCUUAUGAGUGCACCUCUGAGUGUCCAGAUAUGUCCUCAUAUUUUCAGUGCUGUAAUUCCAUCCGAGUGGAAAGUGGAAACUGGAUUCUGUAUGAGCACCCCAACUAUAGAGGAAACCAGUAUUACCUCAGCAGGGGAGAAUAUCCUAAUUUCCAGCAAUGGAUGGGUUUCAAUGACUCCAUCAGAUCUUGUCGUAUUAGCCCACAGGUAAAGAUAUUUACCAAAAUAGUUAAGAACCUUACAUAAAUAUGAUGCAGUACAAAAAAACAUUAUUUUCCAAUUAUCAAUUAUUAUAGGUUUACCUUUGCAAAUAUGACCUUUUUUGACUAUUAUUCAUUAUUUUAUGGAAUAUAUCUUCAAUUCACAAUUCCAUUGUCAGGUAACAGGUGGGUUAACAUGGAUAAAAAAAAAAAUAUAUAUAUAUAUAUAUAUAUAUAUAUAUAUUCCCGUAUAGAUUUUUGAUGUUCAUAAAUAUUUUUUUCUUCGUAAAGCACCAUGGAUCAUUCAGAGUAAAGGUCUAUGAGAGGGAGGAUUUCCGAGGUCAGAUGAUGGAGUUCACUGAAGAUUGUGCUAAUGUCAAUGAGAGAUUCCGUAACCAUGACAUCCACUCCUGCCAGGUGAUUGAUGGCUACUGGAUGUUCUAUGAGGAACCAAAUUACAAAGGACGCCAGUAUUACCUGAGACCUGGAGAGUACAAAAGAUAUACUGACUGGGGUGCCAUGAGCCCAAGAAUUGGCUCAUUCAGGAGACUUCACCAUUUCUAAUAAGUUGUAUUUAUUACUAAAUCAGCAUGUCAUUAAGAAUAUAAUAAAAGCUUCAAAAAUGAUCUUUAAGAUCUAUAUUUUUUUCAUUUUCUAUUUAAGUUAUGGUUUUAUACCUUUUACUUUACAUGCAAAAUGCAAACACUUAUUUUAAACCACAGUUCAGUAAAUAAAUUAUUAAUAUAACAGAAACUACUAAAUGGAGUCAGGAUAACUCCUCACAAAUCGUUAAAUUACAGGCAGCUACAGGAGAUAGGGGCAUUGGGUAUUGACCUAGCAGGCUGCCUUACAGGAGCAUCAGGGGAUAGGGGUUUUUGGAACGGGUUAGUGACAGCCAGCGACUAUGUGACCGGAUAUUGGUAUUUAACAAACUCCUAUAACUUCUGUAAUUUAACGAUUUGGCAGUUAGUACUUUGAAGCAUUUAAUGCUUACAUAACAGCUGCAAUAUACAACAAGCUGGAUAGUCACUUGUGUGUAGCGAUUCUAACACUUCAGCCCGCUUUGGCGGUACUGCUCCUAAAAGCCCCCCUUUUUUUUUAACCAUCCCCUCCUCUACUUUGUUUGGAGCCGGGUACAAUGUGUCCACGCAUAGUGAACCCUUUGGUUAAUAUGGUCUAAUUAAGGGAUGUGCAAGAAUACCUAUACUUUGUAAACUGUGUAUAAAGUCCACUUAGCAACACUAUCUAAUUAGUACAACUAUGUAUCCAUUAGUGUGCGGUGGUUAACAGACUCCAUUUUACUGGAAGUUAGGUAUCAAUGCAAACGUGAUACAGUGUAAUAUCACUGUUUAUUGUUGAUUUGUCUGUCUGACCAUAUUCAGUUUAUUCCUUAGUUUUGGUUCAAUGUUUUACAAUCUCUACACUCUACAGCCACUCAUUAUUUGUACCUUCAUACUCUGGAGGUAUCUGAACUAUUCGAUUACUCAAAUUUGAGAUUACUUAUAAUAGCUAUUAAAAUCCUCUUACUACUUGAUGUGGCCUUUGAGACUACUUUACCAAGAAUUUUGAAGGUGUAUUAUCACUCUGUUUAUUCACAAUGUCACAUUUGUUUGGGUUUUGGUUUUUCACAUAGAACCUACUGUUCUAGUUAGGCUCUUUAUAUUUUAAUAUCCUAAUAUUAGGCUUUAAUAAAGGUUUAUACCUCAUACAAAUGUUUACUUUUAACUCCUUAAGGACCAAACGUCUGGAAUAAAAGGGAAUCAUGACAUGUCACACAUGUCAUGUGUCCUUACGGGGUUAAAGGUACUUCUUAUGAUGGAGUGGGAGGUCUUCCCAUCCCGCUUUAUUUUUCAUCUAUGCCAAAGGCUUAUACCAUAUUUAUGGAUACUUAAUUUGUUUAGAGGUUCUCGUUUAUGGAGAAGGGACUCCCCACAUAUUUGUGAGAAGUUAUCCUGACUCAAUUUAGUAAUUUCUGUUCAAUUUACUUUGGUUGAUGCCCUUGAAUUCCUCCGUAACUGAUUAGGAGGCACCAGUGCUGACUAGUGUAGCCCUGUUGCCUCUUCUUGUGUGGCUCAAAUUAUUAAUAUAGCAGUGGUUCUUAUAAAAACAAAUAAUGAGUAAGUAAUAAAGGUGAAUUAUAUUAUUUUUAAAUAUAGUCCCUCAGGAAGUUGAAGUUGUGACAGACAAAAUACUUAUAGCUUAUUUUACUGAAGGUGGUUUGACCCAAAAAAGUAAUGGUAUUUCUUAAAAGAAGAAUGAAAACAUUAUUUUAACAACUCUUUCAUGUAUCAAAUAAUAUCUAUGGUGUUGUUUUCUGGUAUGACUUUUUUAAUGCUUUCUUUACAGAAUAUAGUACAUUCUUUUAAAUAUAUAUAUUUAUAUGUUUAUAUAUGUCCUAUAUAUUUAGGUCAAAGGUAAAAAAUUCUUUGUGAGUUAGAAUAAUGGAAGAAAUAUGAUGAAAGACCUGGGCAUCCAAGUACACCUUUUAAGCCUCUACAGAAACUGCUGAAUUUGAAUAAGCAUUCAACAACACAGAACAUUCACCGAUUCUAAUGCUUCAUAUAUCUGAAAGAUCCAUUUAUGUACAUGUUCAUAUUUAAUGAAACAUGUUCAAUGUGGAGAUUGUUUUUGUGAGCUAUCAUCAUUUCUAAUUUCCUUAAUUAGGCUAAGUUAGACUGUUGAAACUUCAAGCUGCAGAGUAAGAUUUGUCCUAGCAGAUUUNNNNNNNNNNNNNNNNNNNNNNNNNNNNNNNNNNNNNNNNNNNNNNNNNNNNNNNNNNNNNNNNNNNNNNNNNNNNNNNNNNNNNNNNNNNNNNNNNNNNUCCCAACCAAUAGUUGAUUUCCAGUCUUUUGCCCCAAGCAGAUCUUUACCCAUAAAGCUUCCACAUUUUCCUCAUCACAUUCCACUUGCUUAAGGUUUGGCUUUAACUAAUGGUUGACAUACAAACUGUCGGGAUUACAGUAUGACCCAGCACGUAGAAUUGUGUGACACAGAGGACUGAUAGGUAAUGUAUACCGGACCUUAGAAUGGCCGGACUAACGUACCAAAGAAUAGUCAGGAAUAGCCGAGGUCAAUGGAUACAGAAAGAGACACAAUGAUAAGGAAAAGCCAGGGGUCAGAAAUGCCAGAAAACAGGGAAGUCAAAAACAAUGCCAAAGUCAAAUAACCUGAAAACAGAAAUUCUACUUACCGUAAAUUCUUUUUUUCUUAAUAUGGUGACAGUACCAUCAGGUUUUGCUCCUCCCUUUGGACAAGACAUCUAACAAGGAAUUAAUGAUCAAAAAGACCUUGCCCCAUAAAACGCCGUACCGCAAACCUACCCCAGUAUGUGACAAGAAAAAGAAACACAGACCAAAAUGUACUGCAAAGAAUUCUUUAAUAAAGAGGGAGGGAAGCCGUACUGCCACUAUAUUAAGAAAAAAAAAAAGAAUUUACGGUAAGUAAAAUUUCUGUUUUUUCUGUCAUAUGGUGGCAGUACCAUUGGGAUAUAGCAAGAUCCCCGUCCGGGUGGGACUUAGGCCACCACAGCUUGUAACACCUUACGUCCAAAAGCUGCUUCAGAGGUAGAGAAUGUGUCUAGCCAAUAGUGCUUGAUAAAAGUGUUAAAAGACGACCAGCAUGCUGCCUUGCAGAUGACCUUUGGAGAUGCAAGAGCUUUUUCUGCCCAUAAGGUAGAAUGGGCCUUAAGCAUAGCUAGAGCCUGAAGACCUGCUGUAGAGUACACCAAUUCUAUAGCUUGAAUGAGCCAACGGGAUAAGGUGCUGUGGGAAGCCACAUUCCCCUUGAAGUGACCCUGAAAAUUAAUAAACAGAUGAUCUGAAAUUCUGAAUUCUUUCGUUCUGGCUAGGUAUAUAAGUAAAGCUCUUAUGACGUCUAAUUUCUGCCAUCUGAGCUCUUGAGGAGAUGAGGCUUUGCUACAAAAUGAAGGUAAAACAAUCGGCUGAUUAAUAUUCUUUGAAGAUAAAACUUUAGGUAGAAAAGACAGUCUUGGAUAAAGAAAAACCUUGUCUUUGUGGAAAAUAGUAAAUUCAUCCGAGGAGGACAGAGCAUGAAGUUCUCCCACUCUUUUAGCCGAUGUGAUGGCUACCAGGAAUAAAACUUUAAGAGACAAAAAUGAACACAAAGAGCUUGUAGGAUCAGGGCUAAAUCCCAAGUUGGAAACAUCGAUCGUCUAGGAGGACGUUUGAGGCUGAUGGACCUAAAAAAAAAUAAAAAAUUAUUAUGAUGAAAAUAUUGGAGGCCAAAUCCUUAAUUAGAAAUAAACUUAAGGCUGAUAUCUGAACUUUGAGUGUAGAAACUCCCAGACGAGCUGCAAAACCGUCUUGUAAAAAAAUGGAAAAUGUUAUCUAUAGAAGGAUGUAAAACAAGGCACUGGUCUUCCUUACAACAGUGGAGCAACUUAGACCAAAUCCUAAAGUAUAUCUUCAAUGUAGACCUCCUGGUAGCGUGAAGUAAGACAGCUAUUCUGUCUUCUUGUAAACCUUAUGAAGGAUUAGCCUUGCAGUAGCCAAGCCGUCAACCUGAAUAUGUUUAGAACUUCCAAGGGCAGGUCCCUGUUCACAAUAUGGAAGUUUGAUAUGGGAAGUUCUCAUUGAGCAAUGGUCAUCUAUGGGUUUUCCCAACAUGGGAUUAUUGCCAAUACUCUCGCUCUGUCUGUUCUUAUCUUGAGAAGGACCUGUGGGAUUAAAAGGCAGAGGUGGAAACACGUAAGCCAGACGGAAGUUCCACUCUAUUGAUAGAGAUGUCGCGAACCGUCCGCGAACUCCGGUCAGCUGACACAUCCCAGCCAAUCUCCGGCAGACCCUCCCUCCCAGACCCUCCUACUUCCUGGACAGCAUCCAUGUUGAAGGCGGCUUUAAGUUAACUGUCCAUAAGGAAAAUAAGUGGAGUCAGAGUAAAAUAUAUAUAUAUAUAUAUGUAUAUAUAUUUAUAUAACCAGGGGGCUACACUCAACUUAACAUGCAUAAAUGGGGUGCUGCUGGUGGCCAAUUUAUACAAUACACAAGAUCCAGCACACUCACCUAUCCACUAAACAGCAACUUCAAUGUUGACACAUUUUAUUAGUUUUUUUUCUUUUUUUAAAGCACCUAAUCUAGGCAAAAAUAAUGGGGGUUCAGUUACAUAUAUAUAUAUAUAUAUAUAUAUAUAUAUAUAUCAAGAAAUAAAGUAACGAUAGCAUUCUAAGGACUUCGAAAAUAUUGUAAAAAAAAAAAAAACUUCAGGCAUCUGCCACAGAAGAUAAACGUUUCAGUUCUCUAAGGAACUUUCGUCAGGAAAAGUAUAUAUAAAAUGUGAUAAACUUCCAUCCAAAAUUAGAUCCCAUAUAAAAUGUACAGACAUAUGUGCCCUUAAGUUCUAAUGUCACCUACCUUGAAUAAAAUAAUUUAGGAAUAUAUGUAUCCAAAACUAUUACAAUAAAAUAAACUAAUUAAUAAACAUAGUUUUAGUGAAAUAUAAAUAAUAAAAUAAAAUACUCAAAAACAAAUUAAAUAAAAAAACAAUGUGAAAAAAAUAUAUAAAUAAAAAAAAAAGAAAAAGAAAAGAAAUUAAAUAAGCAUCUAUAAAAAAAUUCUAAGUUUUUAAUUUUAAAACUGUAGGGGACAAAGAAUUACAGAAAGACACAUGCAUAAAUAAAUGGACAACAUUUCAACUGUGAAGAUGAAUACACAUACAAAAGAUAUAUAAAUAUAGAAAAGAAGAUUGGAUCGGGCGACGUGAUGACUUGAUGACGCUCACGCCGGGAGGGGAGGAGGGAAGGACCCGAGAGAUCGGAGGGAAGAGAAGGCGAGACGCUAAGUCAAGAAACGCAGCAGCAUGUUAUCAGACAGGAUGACAGCUAGCUGAUCCAGGCGGACAUCCAUGCUGAUACCUGAUUUAGUGAGAUUGCUUCCCCUUUUUUUUUUCAUUAUCAUUUUCUGGCAUGCUAUGUUACUGGAUGGUCUGGAUGGUCUUGCUGACUCAGUUGCACACAUACAGCUGAUGCUGAUUGAUUGCCCUGGGCUACCUAGGACAUAGAGGGGAAUCAGUUAUUUUUUUUUGUGUUUCUCCUUCUUCCUAGUUUAAAAUAAGUUUUCCAGAUGGCAUAUUCUCUUUUAUUUUAUAAAUUUAAAGCGAUAUGUCUUCCAAAAAAGCUCAAGAGAGUAAAGUUUCAACAAAAGCUGAUAAGAAAGGCCAGAAGCAAGAGAAAAGACUAUCGGCUUUCUUUGUCCCACAAUAUAACCAAGAAUGCUUGGAGCAAUCAUCUCUGGAAUCUCUUCAUACAGGGGUUUCUACUUCACCUGCUAAAGCUCCUACUUUUUUAAAGAAAUGCUUGGAAGAUUUUUCUAAGGAUAUUAAAAAAUAUUUGAGUGACAAAUUUUCUGAUAUGAAAAUGGACUUAGCUGCGUUAACGGAACGUAUUCAUAAAAUAGAAGAAAAGGAAGAAGAUAUAGUAUUUCAGCUUCAGGAAGUAAAGGACAUUCAAAUUAAGAUGAUAUGGUAAUCGCAGAUUUGGUGGAAACUAAUAAGAGACCUCCGCAGAUUUGGAGAUUGGCAGAUUACUUGCUAAAAAAUAAAGCAAAUGUAGAACAUAUAGAGAAGUUAAUUGAUUUCUUUAUUAAGGAGAAAGCUUUGAAGUUCUGAAAAACUGGUUAGAUCUACCCUCUAGAGAAUUAUUAAAUUUUCUUCGUAUUAAGAGCUAUUUGAAAGAUAACAUAUUGGUAUUAGACGGCCAUUUUGGAAAAUUGUUUAGGAACAUUUUUUCAGGGUGUAAGGCUAAAAAGAUAUUCUCUAUUGCAGUUGAACUAAUAAAAACUAAGGAGACUCCAUUUAUCCCCAAAGCUUUAACCAAAUGGGAAACUGACCUAGCAACACCCAUUCCAUUUAAUAGUUGGUGUAAGUCUUUUAUGGGGACUAAAAAAAGCAUUCAUUGUCUGAAUAUUCUAGAGACUUUCACUAAAAUAUUGUAUAGAUGGUACUUGGUACCGACUAGAUUUGCUAAAAUAUCUAUUACUAAUCCAUCUAAUUGAUGGCGGUGUCUACACCCAGAUGGUUCUAUGUUUCAUAUAUGGUGGACCUGCCAUCGAAUUAAGUCUCUCUGGAAUAUUACAUUUGAAUUUAUAUAUAGAAUUGGAGGUAUACAUCUGGAACACAAACCGGAAAUUGCCCUACUCCACCUUAUGGGUUUUGAAAUAAAGGAUAAUCUUGAUAUUGUGAUUAUACAUUGUUUAAUGGCUACCAAAAUAUUAAUUGCCAGAUUUUGGAAAAGCACUGACAUUCCUACUAGAGAUCAAGUUAAAGCCCAACUCUUAUUCCAAGUCGAGAUGGAAAAGGGGUUGAUUCACAUGAGAGAAUAUUCCAAUUUUAAUAUUUUGACGUUUUAUUCCAGUCUUGUUGAAAAAAUUAAAGGGCUUUAAUGAGUUUGAGGUGGUGGGGUUACUUUCUAUGAUCACCUUAUGCCUAACCGAUGAUACCGUAGCGGGCACUAUUAUAGGGUUCCUUGACCACAUAUCUGAUAUUAGCUAAUGCAAUAUUGUAACUUUUUUUUUUUCAUCUUCUAUAUCUCUGCAAUAUAUUUGACCAGUUUGUUUUUGUUUUUGUUAUUGUCUGUCUUAUUUAUAUAGGUUUUAAGGCCGUUUUUGGACCUGGAUAUUCCCUUUUUGGGAUAUUAUUGUUAGUAUAUCAAUGUGUACUAGAUGGCUUAUCUCUGAUGUAAUUUGAAAUAGGUCUAUAUAUCUUUGUAUGUCUACUGGGGAUAGGAGUCCUUAUUUUUUUUUUUUUGUAUGGUUCCUUCCCCCAGUUGUUUGCUUUGUCUAUUAAUAUCACUAUAAAAAUUAAAAAAAAGACAGUGAGGGCUUUUCCAAGUAAAUCUCAAUAAAUAUCUAUAAAAAACACACCAUGUCAAAAUCAACUUUCAAACCUUCUGGUUGGAUGGUCUUUAAAGUAAAAAUCCAAAAGCCCUUCUGGUUGGAUGGUCUUUAAAAUAAAAAUCAAAAGUGUUAGUAUCCUCAUAUGGUGACAUCUUUUCUAUACCAACACAUGAAAAAACAUUAUAAUUAAAACUGGGGUAAUGAUUACAUUGGACAGGUCCUGAAUGGGUAAUCAACUUUUUCUAGCUAAAAUAUUUUCAAAUUUGUAAUUAUUUUAAUACAUUUUAAUUAUUUUAGGUGCAGGUGGGAAUAUGUCUUUAAGGAUAUCAUCUUCUAAUGAAAAGGGCCAGUGCUUUUCUAUAAUAUCUUUAGUCUUAAAAGCAUGUGUAUUAAAUUGUGAAUAAAAAUAGAAGUUAUAUUCUACUUCAAUGCCAGAAGGAACUUUUUGGUCCUUUAGUAAAUUGUUUCUAUCCAUUUACUUUAUAUGUGUAAUCUUAUCUUCUAAGAAUGCCCUGGAAUGGCCCUUUUCAAAAAAUAUAUUUAAAAAUUCAGCUUGGUUUUAAAAGCAAUAUUAAUUGGAACAACUCCUUUGUAUUCUAGUAAGCUAGCUGCGAGAAAUUCUUCUAAGCCAGCUAGGGUGAUGACCCCUUUUCUUAUUAGUAAAACUAUUCGCAUCUGUGGGAUUAAAGAAUGUUUUGGUUUUAAUUAGACAAUUUUUAAUGUAAAUAGUAAGAUUAUGGAAAUGUAUUUCUUUGAUCUCAAUCUGUAGGGUAAAAACUAAUGACUAGAGUUGAGCGUAUCCUAACCACAAAGUUUGGGUUCGACCCCGGACCCGAACACGGACAUUUCAGUGUAUGUUCGGGUUGGAGUUCGGUGUUCGGCGAUUUAAUGGCGCGUUUUGAAAGGCUGCAGGGCAGCCAAUCAACAAGUGUUUGACUCGUUUGCCCUUAGAAGCCAUCACAGCCAUGCCUACUAAUGGCAUGGCUGUGAUUGGCCAAUGCAGCAUGUGACCCAGCCUCUAUAUAUAAGUUGGAUUCACGUAGCGCCGCACGUCACAUGAGCUCUUAUUAGUGUAGGGACAGGAUGCUGCAGCUGCGAGGGACAGCUUAGGAAAGAAUUCUGGAGUUGAAUCUGCAAAUUAGAGCGAUUAUUCAAACUAGAGUGGCUAUUCAAACUAGAGCGAUUAUUUUAGUGGGUGCUAUACUACAUUUUUGUACACUGCCCUGAGCCCAGUGCCACAGAGAGUGCACUUGCAACUGCAUUUGCGGCCUGCAGUGCACUUCAUAUCUGACAGUCAAAUAGAACCGUCAAACACUGUGCUUACAGCGCACUUUCAAAAAUUAAAAUAGUUUUGGGUGCUAAUGCUAAAUAGUACAUUUGCGUCCUGCGGUGCACUUCAUACCUGAGAGUCAAAUAGAACCAUCAAAUACUGUGCUUACAGCAUACUUUCAAAAAUUUAAAUUGUUUUGGGUGCUAAAUAGUAUAUUUGCGUCCUGCACUUCAUAUCCGACAGUCAAAUAGAACCUUCAAACACUGUGCUUACAGCGCACUUUUAAAAAUUCAAAUUGUUUUGGGUGCUAAAUAGUACAUUUGCAGCCUGCGGUGCACUUCAUAUCUGUGUCAGGGUUUACCUGGGUUGGGAGUCCGGCAGGUAGAGAUAUAUGCUCACCCUUGCAAGAAAACACAGGCCGAGGUGGUCAGGUAAGAAUUCACCUGGCCUGUGAGUCAUUGCACGGGGGCUGUGCAGGGUAAACUCCAAGUAGCGGUACAGGAACGGAUAAAGCAGGAGAAUAGUCGUGGGAAGCCAAAGGUCAGAGGAUGCCAGAAGUCAGAAUCAACAAAACAACAAGCCGCGGUCAAGAGAUACACUGGAGAACAGGAGACAGCAAAUCGAUAACCAGAGUCAAGGAACUGACACUGCCUUCUGGGAGAUACAGUGUUUUAUACCUGGCUAACGAGACUAUCCACAACAGGUGUACCAGGAGUAAUUCCAAAUCAUGUCCAGCCCCCAGUACUGGAUACUAGACAGGGCAGGAAUGAACUUCCAGGCUGAAAGCAAGAACCAAAUGUGGUUCAGAGGCAGAGACACAGACCAAGAAUGCACAAAGCUUCACUGAUUCUCUGCAGAAGGACUAAGUGGUGGAACAUUUCCUUUCGUUAAUUUUCUUUUUCAUACGUGUAGGAGUGUUAUGUUACCCGAACACAUUGUAUUCGACUCCCGAAUGAGGACAACCCCUGUACCCCAUUAGAACGUUCACGCCAGCAAAUCAAGUGUGAAACCGCAAGGGAAGUAAUUAAUGAAUGUUUCCCUAGGGUGGCUGCAAUUUCGUGUAACCGAAUACCCAUGGCUGACAAAAGAAUGGCAGCCUUUUUGUCUCCAAAACCUGGGCAGCGGUACUUGGUCAUCGAGUGCCUGGAACCCUUUUCGGCUAGGCACUCGCACGAACCCCAGUAAAGAUUAUACCACUGCCCAUCCUACUUUCCGACCAACUAUGCGAACCAUGUUUGGGAGAUGGUAACUACUGACUAGAGGGAGCAUUCACUCCCUGAAAUCAGGAGAAUCCCUUGUAUGGUGUUUGCAGAGGAAACCCCAAACUGAGACCGACUGGGGCAUCUAUUUCCCUGGAACUAUUUUGGGCCAUCACCUUGUGGCCGGCUGGUCAAAAUUUUACAUCAGUGGCGAUCUGAUUCUGCCAAAUGGAUCUGAGUGAUAUUUGGCCAAUUUUGACACUCAGACCAAAGCUAUCUGGGGAUAUAACUCUUGUGGGGUUCCUGGUUAUAUUGCGGGUACUUUUGGGGGAUUGUAUAUAUUGCAUAUAUUUUCCUGUAACUGAGAGAUAAUUGAGUUAUAGUUUUCUCACUCAAUGAUUUCUCAGACAGAGGCUCUUGGGAGAAAAAAAAAAAUGUAAUUUUGUAUUGGAGACCCCAUGCUAGGGGUCAGUGCCAAAUAAAAAUCAGUUAACUCCCAUAAUUAUGUCUUGUCUAGUUACUGUGGGAAUGGAUGCUAUGCUUGAGUAUUUAAUUAUUCCAGUCUGGCCGAGAGGAGGAAUUAGCGGAGGUAACCAGUCAGGUUACCAGGGGUCUGCUACAGCACACUUUUAAAAAAUCUAAUUGUUUUGUGUGCUAAAUAGUACAUUUGCAGCCUGCGGUGCGUCUCAUAUCUGAGAGUCAAAUAGAACCGUCAAAUACUGUGCUUACAGCGCAGUUUGACCCAUUCACAUUUUUGGGGUGAUAAAAAGUAAAUUUGUGGUGUGCACUUCAUAUCUGAGAGUCAAAUAGAACCGUCAAAUACUGUGGUUACAGCGCAGUUUGACCAAUUCAAAUUUUUUUGGGUGCUAAAUAGUACAUUUGCUGCCUGCACUUCAUAUCUGACAGUCAAAUAGAACAGUCAAAUACCAAUAUAACAAUAUUGUAAUUCUGGGGCAAUACCCUCACAAGUCAAACUGAGAGGUCAGUUUAUAGGGAAAACUGUUGCCUGGAGGAAAUUCUAAAACAAUUUCCAUAUGUCCUUUGCAGACUUUACAUGCUGGAAAAACACAGGUGCCAACUGCUGUGGCUUUCUGCAGUGUGCAUUCCGGCAUGGAGGGCAGGGUUGAGGAGUGGGUGGAAGAUGAUGUGGAGGAUGAUGAGGUCCUAGACCCCACAUGGAAUUAAGGUCAUGUGAGUGAUGUGUGCAGUUUGGAAGAAGAGGUGCUGGUCGCACAGAGGCACCAGCACAGCAUAAGAGGGAGCAGGGUGCAAAAGCGGAGCGGCUGUCCCCUAGCGCUUGUCGGCAUGUAUUAGCUUGAGAAUUACCACAGUUAUCCAAGUAACAGAUGGAGCUAUCAAAGGAUCCAUAAUAGAGUUGCGCGAACCCGAACUGCAAAGUUCUGGUUCGUACCAGAUUUAACAAGCCAUUUGAAGUUUCACAUUGAGGGCAGCAGUCCGAUGACCGGGACCCAAACACUAUCUGGGCGGUGGUCGGACGACCGGGACCCAGUAUGCCUGAUGUUGAAGUUAGGAGUCACAGUGUGAAAUGGAUUAGCAGGGUCUGGUGCAGGGUAACCGCACGCCCCCUGGUGUUGAGCACCAGCGUUUGUGUGGCCACAUACCAGGACCCUGAUGCAGCUUCAGUAAAAAGAGUACUUGAUACCAGAAGCCAUCACCAGACUGAUCCGCAACUUGGAACAGGAUGUGACAUUCACUGUAGCGGCUGUGCGCACUUUUGGCGUUCUCACCCUGUGCUGCUCGCCUGUCUGCGCUGCAGUGUAACUUCGACCUUCCCGCUCACCGCCUCAUAUGCGAUGUGCCCACAAGGUGGAACUCCACCUUGCACAUGCUGGAAAGACUGUGCGAGUAGCAGCAGGCGAUAGUGGAGUUUCAGCUGCAGCACACACGGGUCAGUCACUCUGCGGAACAGCACCACUUCACCACCAAUGAGUGGGCCUCCAUACGAGACCUGUGUGCCAUGUUGUGCUGUUUCGAGUACUCCACCAACAUGGCCAGUGCCGAUGAUGCCGUUCUCAGCCUUACUAUCCCACUUCUAUGGCUCCUUGAAAAAACUUUUGAGUGAUGAUGGAAGAGGAUGUGGCACAGGAGGAAGAGGAGGAGGAAGAAGGGUCAUGUCCACGGUUAUCAGGCCAGUCAUUUACAAGUGGCUCAGAGGGUGGGUUCCUGCACCAGCAUAGGCCAGGUACACAAUUGUCCAGCAUCUCCACACUGUCCCAUGGAAGCGUUCAGCUGUCCAUCUCCCAAACACUCGAGAGAAAGAGGAAGUACCCCAUAGCCACCCGCGAUCCCUGGCCCUGAAUGCCAGCAUUUCAAAAUUCGUGGCCUUUGAAAUGCUGUCAUUCUGUCUGGUGGAGACGGACAGUUUUAAAAACCUGAUGGCAUCAUUGGACUGCGAGAAAUGCACGGCAGGCCUCAAAUGUUUCUUUUUUUAUAUGUGCCAAUAUUUUGGGGCUACCCCAAUUAAAAAGAUAUAUAUAUAUAUAUAAAAAUCAGUGUUGGCUACCUCCUCCACCGCUGCUUCCACCUACACUGCCUCCUCAACCUAUGGGUCAAUUAGUAUAAACUAUGUACACAAUAGCAGAGGCUUGUGAAGGCCUUUUCUCCAUGCAUCAGGAGUUGAGCUCAGUUUGACCAAUGAAAGAGAAUACCCUGCACUCCAACGAUCUCUCAAAUGGAUAAUUCUGGUGAUCGUCCUGACAACCAUGCUUUAGAUUUUGAUUUAUGUUCUUCCAAAGCUAAAAUCAAAGAUUCCAUCUAGUGCUAUUUUAUGGCUCAGCUGUAUUUUUAAUUUUUUUUUUUUUAUGUUAUUUUAAGUGAUUUCCCUAUCCACAUUUGUUUGCAGAACACUUUACAACCCUCUAGCCCUUUCCAGGACUUUUUUAGAGGCAUUUUAGUGCCCAAAAGUUCAGGUCCCCAUUGACUUCAAAUUUGAGGUCAAGUUCAAUCCCGAACUCGGACUUUUUUUCGAAGUUCGUUCGAAAUCAGGAGAGAGAUCUCUCAUCUCUCUCUGUCCCCUAACAAUACUUCCAACCUCACUCUAAACCGACUCUUAAAAAGCCCAACCUUGACCCUAACUCCCCUUCCAACUACCGCCCUAUCUUGCUACUGCCUUUUACGUCCAAGAUCUCUUACAGAGUUGUGUUUAGACUUCCUCGUGUCCAACUCUCUGCUCAACCCACUUCAGUCUGGUUUCCGUGCUCAGCACUCUGACCAAAGUAUCCAACUAUCUACUCGCUGCAAAAUCACUAUUCUAUAAUAAUUCUUCUGCUGCUUUUAACACUGUUGAUCAUCAACAGCUUCUUAUCAUCCUCCGUAAUCUCGGUCUAUUAGAUAUUGCUAUCUCCUGGUGCUCCCCCUACCUCUCCCAUUGAUCUUUCAGUGUUUCUUUCUUUGGCUCUGCCUCUUCUCCCCAACCCCUCUUUGUUGGUGUUCCUCAAGGUUCAGUCCUUAGUCUCCUACUGUUCUUGAUCUAUACUGCCUCACUUGGUACACUCAUCAGAUUAUUUGUCUUCCAAUAUCAUUUCUAUGCAAAUGACACACAAAUCAAUCUGUCCUCUCCUGAUUCCUCUCCGCUCCUCUUGACUAGUGUCUCUGACUGCCUCUCUGCUAUUUUUAACUUGAUGGCUGUCCACUUCCUUAAACUCAACCUGUCCAAAACAGAAAUCCUGAUCUUUCCUCCCUCAAAUGUUGCUACUCUUGUUUCUGUCUUCCUCCACGUUAAUGGUGCUACCAUCAGCUUCACCACACCUGCUCACUGCCUAGGUGUUCUCUUUGACUCCAACCUCUCCUUCACCCCUCAUGUCCAGUUGAUUGCCAAAUCCUGCCACAUACAUAUCAAAAACAAUGUGCUUAACAGCCCCUAUGUAACACCAGAUGAGGCUAAGGUGCUGGUCCAUGCCACUAUCCAGUCUCGCCUUCAUUACUGCAAUUGAUUUGUCAGUGGUGUUAUGUGCUCCCAACCUUCCCUAUUACAGUUUAUUAUAAAUGUGGAGGCGAGGCUCAUAUUUCUGUGUGGUCACACCUCGCACUCCUCACUCCUCUCAUUCCCUGAAUUGGCUUCCCUUAUGAUAUAUGACUCAAUUUAAAAUUCUGGUUCUUGCUUUCAAAUCUGUGUAUAAUGCUGCUCCUACCUAUCUAUCCUCCCUAAUACACGAGUAUGUCCCAUCUCGGCCCCUACACUCUGCCGAAGACCGAUGUCUAUCUUCUGUUCGUACUCCCGCCUCUGAUGAUCGCCUUUAAGACUUCUCUAGGGCAUCUCUGUUAGAUGCUCACCCAGUCUCCACUCCUUCAAAAAAACAUUAAAAGUUCACUUCAUUACAAAAGCUCGCCAGUUAAACUGUUAAGAGCUUCCAAUUGAGUCCUUUCCUGCAACUGUCAUAACAAAACAAAACACUAAGUCUUCAGUGAAUACUAUUGUAUCAAUCUACUUCUCUAAUACUAUGUGACGAAGUGCCCUUCGCCACUUGGUCCCGGAGAGGCCUGCUUGCCAGCCUCCUCCCCUGUGACUAUGACUCUUUGAUGUAUUUGGAUUUAAAGCCCCUAUUCUACCUUCAGACUGACUUUUUUUGUGUAGGUUGCUUUAUUUCUCUUAUGUUUUAGUCACCCUCUACCCAUUAUAGGUGCAGGGUGUGUGUAAUGUAAUUGUUUAUAGUGUGUGAGUACUGUGUAAUGUAUUGCCUGCUCUCCUGUACUGCUGAGGUUUGCUACCAACUAGGUGGGUUUGGCUAUGGAGCUUGACAAGUGCCCUCUGUUGGUAGCAACAGCAAUAUGCACUACCUGAAUAGCAAGACUGGUUCAUUUGCAUAUUUGGGUAGAUUUGCAUAUUGCUAAUUCUGCAGACACGUGAGAUAUUUUCUGUUAAAUAUUGUCUCCCCCACCCCUUUAAAAAUGUGCCAUUGUGUUGUGAUAAGUCACUGUGUGUUGCCUGCUAUGGUUUGACUGUUUGUGAUUUUAUUGCGUUUUCACAGCAAUGUUAAUGUUGUGACCCUAUGGGCUGAUCCCAAGGGAAAUAAAGGUUUAGACAGUUCUUCUUGAUCCCUCUAAAACAUAGCCUUGUCUCGUUAUUGGAGGGAGCCGUUAUAAUCACACUGGGGAUUGCUAUGCUCUGCAUACUCCCCUGAGUUUGAAUAACUAAGCUCUUUUAAGUGAUUGUUCCUGACACGCUCUCCUUGGAGGAGAGGUCUUCCCCACACAGUCCUGGAGAUUCAUACACGGUGGAAGGAAGAGGUCUUUCCCACACGGUCAUGGAGGACAGAAGCUGAUCCAGGGUGGAAGGAAGACGGCGAGACUCCAGUCAAGCUACAGCGGUUGCGGAGUCUGCGGUGGUUGUGGUGUCUGCUGCAGUGCUUGAAGUCCUCAAGAAGCGCUAGGUGCAUCCUUCAACGGAGGGUACUCAGUCGGACUACGGCGAGCCUUGUUACAUACUAUCCUUAGCUUUUGUGUUACUUUACCCCACUCCCUCUAGCACGUAAGCUCAUUGAGCAGGGCCCUCAACCCUUCUGUUCCUUUGCUUUCAACUUGUCUGGUUACAAUUACAUAUUUGUUUGCACACCUAUUGUAAAGCACUGCGGAGUUUGUUUGUGUUUUAAAAAUAAUGAUAAUAAUAACAAUUAAUAUACAGAACAAACUUAUGAAGAUCGUAUAGGUCCUCCAGAGCACCAAGUUCAUGCCAAAAGGACUAUAAGACCAGAUAUUCAUAGUUUCCCUAUAAUCAAAAAAGAUGUUACUAUAACUGGGUGCAAACACGGUGUCUAUAACUGUACCCUUUAAUUGAAGUAAAGAAUUCUGUAUUAAAAAUAAAAAAUAUAUAUUUUUAUUUAAUUUUUUAUUUUUUUAUUUUCAUUUUUACGUUUUUUUGUAUUUCUUUUUUAUUUCAUUAAUUUUGCGUGUUUUAUUUUUAUUAUUUAUAUUUUACUAAUACUAUGUUUAUUAAUUAGUUCAUUUUAUUGUAAUAUUUUUGGAUAGAUAUAUUCCUUAGGUAUUGUCAGGGUAUUUAUAUCAGCGGACAUCUUGUGCUAUGAUAGAAAUUCAAAGUGUAUAUGCUAAGUCACUUUUGAACAGAGCAGACUCCAUUUUGUUAUUUUCAAGCUAUCAAAAGACACAAGAUUUCUAUCUGUAAAACUAACCACUUUCCCAGAGCUAAAGGAAUGCAUAGUAUAUACAAACCGAGUGAUAAGGAGAACGGGGGUUGGACAGACUGUCUAAAAUGUUAAUGGAAUAGAUGCAUAUCUAAACACAGACAUUUGUGACAGAGGAGAUUAAAUAAUAAAAUUUUACUUUCUAUAUGUACAAGAUCCCAUUGUAAGUUACGGGUCAAAACUUAGUUAUAACUGUCAUAUUAGAAAUUAUAGCAGAAUUUGCCAGACACAUUGUCUGCACAAAACUUAAAGAAACUGUUUGAUCUGACAGAAAACUUAAAUUAUGGCAACCAUAUAGAUAAGCCAAAACGACGUCAAAAUCGUCAUCCGGAAAAGUUAACUCUUUCCUGGAUAGGAAGGUUUCGUUAGAUGAGACUGCCAUCUGUGGAUCAAAUACCUAAAUCGCGAUCCCUAGAUUGGACACACCUCCAGUGUUCCUAUUGGUCUAUCAACUAGUGAAUUUUCCCUUUAAAAGUUAAGAGAAAGAGAAGAGGGAGAGAGAGGAAGAAGAAGGUAGGCGAGGAAUGCAAGGGUAUGCAAAGGAAGCAAAGAAGUGAGCAGUCGGGAGAAAUGCAGAGAGGCCUAUGACAGAUAUACAUUCUAGGACACUCAGAAAUUCCUACACACCUCCAUGCAGAGAGACAUCCAAAUAAGAUCCUGAGACUAUCUACCAAUCGGAUGAAAUAUCUACUCAACUGGUAAUUAUACUGGUUUCAUUUAAUUAAUUAAAUUAAUUAAAAUUUACUAAUAGCAUGAUAUAUGACUGGAUAAAUCACGGUCAGAUUUCCAUAUUAAGAAAUCUUAGUUAACUAAAGCAUAUAUAGUUAUAAACAUUCCAUUCUGCAGGUGGAAUUAAGAAUAAUUAUAUAUUAAUGUGAUAUUAUCACGUGUUAGCAUACCGCUGUUUUAUCCAGGUGUAUUGAUUUGCUCUAAAAUAAGAUAAGUAGUGAUGUCGCGAACCCGAUAGACUUCAAUGGGCAGGCAAAUUUUAAAACACACAGGGACUCUUUCUGGCCACAAUAGGGAUGGAAAAGUUGUUUCAAGGGGACUAACACCUGGACUGUGGCAUCCUGGAGGGGGAUCCAUGGCAAAACUCCCAUGGAAAAUUACACAGUUGAUGCAGAGUCUGGUUUUAAUCCAUAAAGGGCAGAAAUCACCUAACAUUCCUAAUUCACAAUUAAUAUGGAUUGACACCUGACAUAUGACAUAUUGACACCUUGACAUAUGGAUUGACACCUGUCCUCAGAGCCCCUGAUGCACACGGACACAGAGCAGAAUAGAGACUGGUCCCCCUACAUAGGGUCACUUGGCAGAUAUGGAUUGACACACCUGUCCUAAGGAUCCCUGAUACACUGACACAGAGCAGAAUAGGGACAGUUCCUCUACAUAGGGUCACUUGGCAGAUAUGGAUUUGACACCUGUCACUCAGGACCAUGAUACACUGACGCAGGCAGAAUAGAGAAUAUUCCUACAUAGUGUCAUGACGGAAUGUAGUUGACACCUGUCCUAAGGAUCCCUGAUACACACUGACACAAGAGCAGGUAGGGACUGUUCCUCCUACAUAGGGUCACUUGGCAGAUGGAUUGACACCUGUCCUAGAGUCCCUGAUACACACACUGACAGAGCAGAAUAGGGAGUGUUCCUCCACACAUGGGGUCAUGGCUUUGAGAUAUGGAUUGACACCUGACACAAACUGCUAUUUGUAACUGGCCCUUUAAAUAUAGCAAAAUUGCCCUGCUUCCCUGGGUUGUGGGAGAAGCCUAUUUGCCAGCCUCCUCUCGCAUGACUAUGGCCCCUGGGAGAUUGUGAAAAUGUAUGCACUUUUAUUUGGUGUGUAUGGCCCUUUAAGACUGUCGGUGGGCAUAUUGGGGCUUAUGGACUCUUUAUGUGACUGGUGCUGGCCCUUUAAACACCUUUUUUGGGACAUCAGGAAGAUUGGGACACUGCCCCUUUAAGGCCGUGUCCCCAGACUUGUUGGGGACACUGCCCCUUUAAGACGGUGUCCCCUGUGUCCCCAGACCUGGUGCAAACCCUUUGUGCCUGCCUGGCUAUUUCCCACUUGGUUCAGUAAAUGGGGCUUACUGAACCAAGUACCACACAGGCAGACCACCCAGAAGUGGAAGUGUGCAGGCAAUUUACCUCCCAGAAGCUGCGGUUAACCGCAGCUUAAUUGACAAUGCUGGGAGGUCUUUGUUCGUUUGCUGAACACGUGGCGGCGGCCAUCUUUGAUCAUUCAACGAGGUCAGCGGUAUGUGUAGCCAAAUUCAUGGAACUAAAAUCGGCUACACAUUUCCGCGAACACCGCUGAGCUCUACCUUCUCCCCUACUGGUUUUACAGCUGCAGAGACUAAGUCCCAUUCGGCGAUGGGACUUAGUCGUUUUUUCAGCCUGAAAUAGACCGACCGCACAGCCCAAAUCUAUGGAACUGUUUUGGGCAGGAAAAUGUGCUUGCGGUCGGUCAUAAAGGGACCUCCAGCUAACUUUUUAACCCCUGGAUGGAUUUGGCUGAUUUUUGGUUAUGUUUAUGUUUUAAGUGUGCUGAUUCCAAAUAUGUAUAAAUAUAAUAAAUAUAAUAAAUAAUUGCUAUGAAGAUGGGAUGUGUAGUUUUAAAGUUACAGUGUAUGGAUAAAAACUGUAUUUUUACUGCCUGUGUUUAAUUAUGUUAACCCAUUGUGUACCAUAAUUAGAUCACAGGCAGAGGGGAGGUUUCUUGUGGGUAAUUGAUGGGAGUGUUUCUGGAAUGUAUGGUUAUUAUUGUUUUUUGUGUAAAACCCUGUGGGUGGUCCUAUCUCAGGGAAACCUGCAUAAAAGAAGGUUCUUUGUGUGCCAAUAAACAGAAUGACUUGACCCUCUAACUUGCAGCCUUGACUCAUGUUUGUAGGGGACAGCUAUAAUCACUACAGGGAUUGCUAUGCUCUUCCUACUCCCUUAGCUACUGAGCUCUUGUAAGAGCUCUUGUUCCUGAUCCUGCUUCACUCUACAGAAGGAAGAGGUUCACCUACUGGAACCUGGAGCCUGGUCGUAGGUCCAGGGCGGAUAGCAGACGGCGAGAUCCUAGCCCAGCAGCGGCGGUUCGUUGAGUCUGCAGUACUUAUGGUGUCUACGCAGUACUUAUGGUGUCUACGGUGCUGAUGGUCCUUUGGUGAGCGCUAGGAGCAUCCUUUAUACGGUCCAACUUUCAGCCAGCCUGGAGGCAACCGUAACACACCUGUCCUCGGGAUCCCUGAUACACACUGACACAGAGCAGAUGUGUUCCCCCUACAUCGGGUCACUUGGCAGAUAUGGAUUGACACCUGUCCUAGGGAUCCCUGAUACACACUGACACAGAGCAGAAUAGGGACUGUUCCUCCUACAUAGGGUCACUUGGCAGAUAUGGAUUGACUGUUCCCCCUACAUACACACUAUUGGAUCUCGCAAAACUUACCAAGGAUCUAAAUCAUGUUCCCGUAUCGUACAUGAAAAACCUACUCAUACAAAAUCUCUUCCCAAACGUCAUUUCGUUCUUAAGCAUCAUUUGAGGAGCCAUACAGGAGAGAAACCUUAUUUGUGGUGUGUUUAGUAUUGUUCUGAUCAGUUUAAUACCUUUCGCGUCUCCUAUCAGUGGACGUGUAUAUGGCAGCCAUUUUAGGAACCGCACACCUGGGACCCGAGCAAGGUCACCUCGUUCAACAGGCGACAACAUUUGUCCCUGGAAAACUAUCCUGGACAUUCUGUACAAUUUGUAUGGAUAUGGCAGUGAUUUCUGUAACAGGGAGAUGGAAGAAGAUGCUUGGUCGGUCCUCUUACUUCAAAUUUGGGGCACUGCGCGGUCAAGCCAAUGUGCCACCAGAUAGGAGUGGUGUGUUUAGUAUUGUUCUGAUCAAUUUAAUACCUUCCGCAUCUCCUAUUAGUGGACGUGUAUAUGGCAGCCAUUUUAGGAACCGUACACCUGGGACCCGAGCAAGGUCACCUCGUUCAACAGGCUACAACAUUUGUCCCAAAAACAGUCAAAGGCUUCCUCCAGAUUAGCCAUUAUUUGACUUUGUAAGUACUUCAGGUCAGCUUAGUGCCUCAUCCUGCCUUGAGUAACAUGAGCAGGGUCGUCCACCAUCUAGGACACUGCCACUCCUCGCCCACCGACAAUCUUUAGGGGUGAUCUGUGGUUCAGAAUAUCAAUGUGCCAUUGCCCAGCCGGGUCAGGGAUGACCCCCACUGGUCCGAUGGGGGCUAGCGUAAGUCGACGCUAUGAUCUGUAGCGCAGGGAAAGUGGCCGCCUAACCCCAGUUCAAGUUCUUGUAGGCCGCAAGCUUGCUUAACGUUCAUUUAGUCUUUGAAUAUAAUCCAGUAGGAAGUUGGAAAUGACUGGCUCUUUGGGAUCAGCAGCUUAAACAAAGAUAUAAGGUGUCUGCAUUGAUCAAUGAAUACUGUUCUUUGCAUUUGCUUUAUCCACCAACUCUAAGUAGACUUACAAUGCUUGUGUCAGCGUAUCCUCCAGGAAGAAGAGCCCGAACCUUUACCGGCUGCACGUGUCUUACCUGUACAUGGAAAGCAGCUCUGGUUCCUUGAUGAGCCAGCUGCCCAUGAGUUAACAUGUCCCGUGGAGAAGCACUCUGUCCUGUAAAGAAUCACCAAAAAAAAGGAGUGGUGUGUUUAGUAUUGUUCUGAUCAGUUUAAUACCUUCCGCGUCUCCUAUCAGUGGACAUGUAUAUGGCAGUGAUUUCUGUAACAGGGAGAUGGAAGAAGAUGCUUGGUCGGUCCUCUUACUUCAAAUUUGGGGCACUGCGCGGUCAAGCUAAUGUGCCACCAGAUAGGAGUGGUGUGUUUAGUAUUGUACUGAUCAGUUUAAUACCUUCCGCGUCUCCUAUCAGUGGACGUGUAUAUGGCAGCCAUUUUGUCAGAUUCAAGUUCUUGUGCCCCACAGUUCAAAUUAACAUUCAAAUGACAAUUCAUGACAGAUCACACAAGUGAAUAGCCCUGCCUGCCAACGUCGUCUCAGAAUUUUUUUGUUAUCUAAGAAGAAAUAGAAAUGCAAGAGCAGAAUAGAGACUGUUCCCCGUCCUCAGAGACCAUGAUACACACUGACACAGAGCAGAAUAGAGACUGUUCCCCAUCCUCAAAGCCCCUGAUACACACUGACAAAGAGCGGAAUAGAGACUGUUCCCCCUACAUAGGGGCACUGCGCGUGCAAUCUAAUGUGCCACCAGAUAGGAGUGGUGUGUUUAGUACUAUUCUUAUCAGUUUAAUACCUUCCGCGUCUCCUAUCAGUGGACGUGUAUAUGGCAGCGAUUUUUGGAACAGGGAGAUGGAAGAAGAUGCUUGUUCGGUCCUCCUAACUGGAGACUGUGUUGCUGUACGGGUGGCAGGUGGAGCCAUUUAUAAAGUACCCACUGCUUUGCAGACCAGAUAUCAGUGGUCAGAUGGACCCUUGCCCCAACACUGUGUGCCAGACAUGCCAUUACUUCCGUUUGCACAGUCGAGUACAGGUUGGGGAUUGCCUUUUGCGCAAAGACAUUUUGGCCGGGUACCUUCCAUUGCGGUGUCCCAAUAGCUACAAAUUUUUUGAACGCCUCAGACUCCACCAGAUUGUAUUGUAAAAGCUGGCGGGCUAAUAGUUCAGACAAGCCAGGUGUCAGACGCCGGGCAAGGGGGUGACUUUCUGACGCUUGCAGACAACUAACUGCUAUUCAAUCUAUAACAGUGAAAAAAGUUUUGAAGCCACAGUGCAGCACCAGAGGGCCUAAAAAUUAGGCAUGUACACAUGCCUGAAAAAUUCGGUAUUGUUGCAGCCGCUGCUGUAGCAGCGGCCAGAAAAAUUGAUGUUUGUUUCACAGGCAGAAAGUGCCCUAAAACAUGGCGGCUUGAACCCUAGUUGGUGGUGGAUAAGUCACGCAAGUCAACCGGCAUUCAGAGCUAAAAUACAGCAGCGUGUGGACCAUUUUUAGCCCAAGGCGGCUCAUCUCAUCAGGCCUUUUUUAAUCGAAUGUAUCACCCAGUGUCAGUCCCUUCGGGAUCCAUCCCUCAUUCAUCUUAAUAAAGGUGAGGUAAUCUAGACUUUUUUGACCUAGGCGACUUCUCUUCUCGGUGACAAUACCUCCUGCUGCACUGAAGGUCCUUUCUGACAGGACACUUGAAGCGGGGCAGGCCAGAAGUUCUAUCGCAAAUUGGGAUAGCUCAGGCCACAGGUCAAGCCUGCACACCCAGUAGUGAAGGGGUUCAUCGCUCCUCAAAGUGUCGAUAUCUGCAGUUAAGGCGAGGUAGUUUGCUACCUGUCGGUCGAGUCGCUCUCUGAGGGUGGAUCCCGCAUGUCCUCCAUCAACAACACGUCUUUAAAGCGUCCUGUCCUUGCCGGCGUGGUCGUGGGAGGAGGAGGAUGACUUCCACCUCUCCCCCUGUUAGAUUCCCGUUGUGCUGUGACAUCACCCUUAUACGCUGUGUAAAGCAUACUUUUAAAUUUAUUUUGCAAAUGCUGCAUCCUUUCCGACUUGUUGUAAUUCGGUAACAUUUCCGCCACUUUCUGCUUAUACCGGAGGUCCAGUAGCGUGGACACCCAGUACAGGUCGUUCUCCUUCAGCCUUUUUAUAUGAGGGUCCCUCAACAGGCACGACAGCAUGAAAGACCCCAUUUGCACAAGGUUGGAUGCCGAGCUACUCAUUUCACGUUCCUCCUCCUCACUGAUGUCAAUGAAGGUAUUUUCUUCCCCCCAGCCACGUACAACACCACGGGUACCAGAUAGGUGACAACGAGCACCCUGGGAUGCCUGUUGUGGUUGGUCUUCCUCUUCCUCCUCAAAGCCACAUUCCUCCUCUGACUCCUCUUCCAGCGUUGCCGCAGGUCCAGCAAGCGAUGCUGAUAAGGCUGGUUCUGGUGGUGAUGGUGACCACAACUCUUCCUCUUCACGCUCAUCUACGGCCUGAUCCAGCACUCUUUGCAGGGCACGCUCCAGGAAGAAAACAAAUGGUAUGAUGUCGCUGAUGGUGCCUUCGGUGCGACUGACUAAAUUUGUCACCUCCUCAAAAGGACGCAUGAGCCUACAGGCAUUGCGCAUGAGCGUCCAGUAGCGUGGCAAAAAAAUUCCCAGCUCCCCAGAGGCUGUCCUAGCACCCCGGUCAUACAAAUAUUCAUUAACGGCUUUUUCUUGUUGGAGCAGGCGGUCGAACAUUAGGAGUGUUGAAUUCCAGCGUGUCGGGCUGUCGCAAAUCAAGCGCCUCACUGGCAUGUUGUUUCGCCGCUGGAUAUUGGCAAAGUGAGCCAUGGCCGUGUAGGAACGCCUGAAAUGGCCACACACCUUCCUGGCCUGCUUCAGGGCGUCCUGUAAGCCUGUGUACUUAUGCACAAAGCGUUGUACGAUCAGAUUACACACAUGUGCCAUGCACGGCACAUGUGACAACUUGCCCAACUUCAAUGCAGCUAACAAAUUUGUUCCGUUGUCACAAACCACUUUGCCGAUAUCCAGUCGCUGCGGAGUCAGCCACUUUUCCACCUGUGCGUUCAGGGCGGACAGAAGUGCUUGUCCGGUGUGACUCUCUGCUUUCAAGCAAGUCAAACCCAAGACGGCGUGACACUGCCGUAUCCGGGAUGUGGAAUAGUACCUGGGGAGCUGGGGGGGUGCCGUUGAUGUGGAGCAAGAUGCAGCAGCAGAAGAGGACUCAGCGAGGAGGUUAUGGAAGAGGAUGGAGUAGGAGGAGUAGAGGAGGUGGCANNNNNNNNNNNNNNNNNNNNNNNNNNNNNNNNNNNNNNNNNNNNNNNNNNNNNNNNNNNNNNNNNNNNNNNNNNNNNNNNNNNNNNNNNNNNNNNNNNNNGAACUUUGGCAGGUAUUUCAGAUUUGGGUGUAUAGCUGUAAUUUGUCUUCCUGGCAUCAUGUGUUGUAAGGUAUAGCUGCCCUUUGAUGUUAGGAGCAUGGCAGAUCAAAGGUUGAGGAAGCAAUACUAGCAGCACUAUCAAUUUAUUUUAAACAGAUCAGAAUUAAUUGAAAACUGAUCUGCUAUUUUCUAACACCAGGUUUCUUCCAGCACACUUCUCUCUCAUUGUCUGGUUCUGCUGUCUAGCCAUGACACAAUUCUUCAUUUUAAAAAGGUCUCCUUCAAUGUAUGGCAUUACUCCAGUGAUGUAAUACGUGAUAUCAUGAAUCAUUCCAAUGUUGUCGGUGGCAUUCCUAAUCUAUGUAGAAUGGGCUAGUCAAGUGUGCAGUGAGGGAGUAUGAUGUUGUGGUGGCGGGACUGUGCAACAAUUUCGCAGAAAUCCUUUCAGUUUAGCCUGAAGUAGAAAAGAACUGGCUGUGUAGAAAGAAAGAUAAAUAUAGAUUUUAAAGACAUAUUUUUGCUGCAUGUAAUUUACUCUAAAUAAAUAAACAAUCCUUUACUAGUGUUACCCUCAGAAUUAACUACCAGCAUUAGAUUGCUGGAUUGGUUUUAUAAGGCAAAGAAGGUGAGCUUUUUAAAAAAAAAAAAUUGAAUUGGGGAGCACACAUAGAAUAUGCAUUUCUUAGCAGGGGUACUGCUGUAAAGAUCUGAAUAUUUACAGAAUGCAGAUUAGUUUGACACUGUAGGCACCGAGACCACGUAAGCUAAUUUAAGUGGUCUGGGUGCAGUGUCCCUUUUGCACUUAGUGCUGCAAUGUUAAACAUUGCAGUUCCAGAGAAACUGCUAUGUUUACAUUGCAGCUCUAAGUCUGCCCUCAGUGGCUGUCUAACAGACAGCCACUAGAGGGCUUCCGGAAUCGUAACAGACUUUUGGUCCGUUAUCUGACCUUGGGCGUCCUCACACUCUGCAUGAGGACCUCCGGAGUCAGAUUUUACCCAUAGGAAAGCAUUAAAUAAUGCUUUCCUAUGGGGAGGUCUAAUGCGUGUGGCCAUUGUCGUGCAUGUGUAUUAGGGAGGAGCCUGACGCAGCGCCGAUGUUCGGCGCUGAAUUCAGGUAAGUGACUGAAAGAGUUUUAACCCCUUCACCCCCGCAGGGGGACAAGGGAGGGGGGCACCUCAGAAACCUCUAGUGCCAGAAAAACAGGUUUGUUUUCCUGGCACUAUAGGAUCCCUUUAAAGGCAUACUAUAGGGCCAGGUAUACAAAGCUGUAUUCCUGUCACUGUAGCUCCCUCCGCAUCCCCACUCCCUUGAACCCCCCCUUCCUCCACCAUGGUGAAUAAAGUUAUUUCUUUCCUUACCCCAGCACCAAUGUCCCUCAAUGCUGGGUAGAGGCUUUGCCUCCUUCAACGUCACUCGAAGGGGGGGCCCUAAUACUCAUGCAUGGCAAGUGCUGUGCGUUCAUUAUGCCUUCCCUAUAGGAAAGCAUUGAAUCAAUGCUUUCUUAUGGAGAAAUAGCUGACGCUAGAUGUCGUCAUGCUGGAUGUCCUCAUGUCCUUGCCCUGCCGCAGUUAGUGGACCAAUGUCACGACUAUAUAAGAAGAACCCUGUGACAGACCCAUCUGUCUGGAUUAUAAAUGCUGUGUUCGCCUGUUUUGCCGGUUACAUGAAUUCCCCCAUUCGUAUGCUUUAUUCAAGGGAAUGUCGGUUUUGUCGAACGGAACUACCGAACGGAUGGCCACCCAGAAGAGAAGUGUGCUGCUGGUUAACCUAUUGAUCCCAAUUAGAACGUUGCGGUUAACCACAGACACUUCUCAAUUAAAACCGAAUGCCGGGUGGUCGUCGUUCGUAUGUCGACCACGAGGCGGCGGCCAUUUUGUCCAUGCGAACGACCAGCGGUGUUCGAUUAUUUCAUGGAUCGGAAAACGGACACUUUUUCAGCCGAACACCGCUGAAGCCGUCGACCUCCCCUUCUCAAUCGACAAAAGCAUACGAAUGCCAGCCGUUCGGGAGAUUCAACCACACGAAUGGACUUAACCCAGAUAGCCGUCCCAUGGAGUCAAUCGCAUACGAAGAACUGAAAGAGACUUUGACUCCAUGGCGAUUGAACUGUGCGAAUGGGAUCUGAGCGCUAUUCUCCAAUAAUGUGCCCUCAGAUCCAGGCUAUCUGGGGAUAUGCAAGACUGAUGUAAAAUGUUCAGCAGUUAUUAAGUUAUGGAUUUUUGUGUGUUUUUGUAACUUGUAUCUAAAAUGGCGAUUGCCUCUGCUCGGGGAGAUAAUUAAAUUACUUCCCAAUUAUUCCCCGAGCAGAGGGGAGGGAACUGUACUGCAUGCUGGGAAUAUUGUGGGGAUGUAUGUCCAGAAUGUCCCCAUGUCCCUCUGUGAUUUCAGUCUCCCAUUUGGUCCCCUAGGGGAGUGUCCACCAAGUGGGAGACCUGCAUAAAUACCGGGCAGGUAGCCCACAGUAAACCAGUUCGUGUUUUACCCUCAAAGCGGAGCUUGGUCUCGUUAUUGGGGGGAUUUGGAUACCAGCGGCGAGAGACUGCUUACUUGGAUUAUUUGCCGCUUGGGAGAUAUUGUCGUUCGGUUAUUAAUUGCCGUUCGUGGAUUUGCGGCUUGCGAAGGGAAUCAGCCGUACAGGUACCGUUCGGGAGUUUGGAGUGUUCCCUGGCUGGCGGUUCGCCUGGUUUUAUUAUACCCGCUACCCGACCACAUUAUUGCGAACGGGGAAUACUCGCUAAACGGCGGUUUGUACAUUUCAGUACUGGAGGUACCGUAACAACUGGUGGCAGCGGUGGGAUGAUCCUCAACGCCCAAAGAGACCACUACAACCAGGACUAAAUGGAAUUACAAUACCAAAACCUGAGGAGGGCUACCCUAAAGGAUUUAUUGGAGCAAAGAGGGGGACAAGCCAGUAACCUCAGGAAGAGGGAUAUUAUUGCGUUAUUGCUGGAAAUGGAUGGAGUACCAGCGGCAGAGGGAACCAAUGGACCCAGCGCAGCUGACAGAACCCCCGAGGAGGCAAGCUUUGACCAGGCGGUAAGAAUCAGGCUGGCACAUUAUGGUCCCAACCCGACUACAGAAACCAUUGACCGGGUCAUGGCAGCUGUGGAGGACAACCUGCUUCGCCAAAGCGGUGCUGCAGCAGCCCCAGUCACAGCAAACCCGGGAGAUAGGAAAAAGGUACCGUUUACUGCGUUUAAAGCCUUCAGUGAAACAGAAGGAGAGAUUGAUGGGUACCUUGCUGAUUUCGAGCGGCAAUGUGCCCUACACAAGGUACCCCUGGAAGAAUGGGUUACUAUAUUGUCCGGCAAGUUAUCAGGCCGGGCCAGCGAGGCGUUUCGGGCCAUUCCUGAUGAGGAGAUUGGGGAUUAUGUGGCCGUCAGGGAAGCUUUACUCUCCCGGUAUGCCGUUACACCUGAGGCGUACCGGAGGAGGUUCCGAGACACUGUCAAGACCUCUGGGGACUCAUACGUGGAAUGGGCAUGUAAGGUGCAUCGCACAGCCGCCCACUGGAUGGCGGGGUGCCAGGCUGUGUCCGGAGAAGAGGUGCUGCAGAUGUUUCUUUUGGAACAUUGUUUCGAUAAAUUGCCAGCCGGGGUCAGGGAGUGGGUAAGGGACCGUAAACCCUCCACUCUGCACGAAGCCGCUCGCCUGGCGGAUGAGUAUACUGACGCCCGCAAACUGGACAGUCUCAUCAACAAGGCUCCCGCCAGAGUGGAGUACAGGCCAGCAGCCCCACCAGCAGCCAACCUAUACCAGCCUCCAAUGCAUCGCCCAGCAGCACCUCCUCCAUCUGCACCGUACCAACAGCCACCUCGGUUCAAUUCACGGGAGUAUGCCCAACCCAUUCGGUGCUACCUGUGCAAGCAACUAGGGCACAAGCGACCCGAGUGUCCGAUGAACAGCGCCAACCAGAACCAGUCCUGGAGGAGACCAGCCGGCGGCAAUCCACGACCUCCCACCCCAGCCGCUCACUGUGUAGAGGAAGAAGAGUGCUGGGGCAUCCUGCAUGAGGCAGACCCCGUUCAGGCUGCCCACCGGGAUAACAGGCAGCACCACCGACAGUGUGUAAAAGUCAACGGGAAGGAGGUCAGUGGUCUACGGGAUACCGGGGCAACCAUGACCUUGCUCCAGAAGCACCUGGUAUCCGAAGCCCAACAUACAGGGGACACGGUCGCAGUGCGAGUGGCCGGGGGUGCCGUGUUUCGUCAUUUGGAUUGGGGAGUGGGCGCCAGACAUGUGAAUGUGGGGGUCAUGAAGGACUUACCCGCGGAUGUCCUCCUUGGCAAUGACUUGGCGCCCCUUGUUUCCGCCUACGCUCCCAUGGGUCCUGCUGAAGUGGAUGCUGUCACGACCCGUGCCCAGACCCGUGCCGCCGAGACCGGCCCACCUGCUGCUGAGACCCAGGUAAGACUCUCUACCCCAACUUGUACCUUAGACCAGGCCCCUUUAGGCUGGGAUACCCCAGAGAUGUACGGGAGGGAAACAAGGGAAGACCCGACGCUAGCCAAGUACAGGGCCAGGGCCGAUUCUGGGGGAGAAGGAGUAGAUGGGGAGCACUACGAGUGGGUGGGGGAUAGAUUGUACAGGAUCCCGAAACCGUCCCAGAAGCCGAGUACCCCCCCCCGCAGAAUCGACAGCUAGUGGUGCCUGCAAAAUACCGGCAGGAGAUUCUGCGGACUGGGCACGAUGUGCCAUUAGCAGGCCAUCUAGGUUCCCGCCGCACAGCUCAUAGGAUCACACAAAAUUUCUUCUGGCCCAAUUUUUAACCAAGAUGUGCGGGUUUACUGUAGCACGUGUGACACUUGUCAACGGGUAGGUAAGCGGGGGGAUCACCCAAAAGCUAGGCUUCAGUCGAUGCCUAUUAUUGGAGAACCCUUUUCCCGCAUAGCCGUUGACAUUGUGGGUCCACUGGCCAGGGCUAGCCCAUCAGGUAAGAAGUAUAUUCUCACCGUGGUAGACUAUGCCACACGUUAUCCAGAGGCAGUAGCGCUGUCUAAUAUAGAGGCAGAGACGGUUGCUGAUGCCCUGGUUAAAAUCUUCACUAGGGUCGGGUUCCCUCAGGAGAUUCUCUCCGAUCAGGGAACCCAGUUCACCGCUGUGCUUACCCAGCAGCUGUGGAAGGUGUGCGGUAUUAAACCUCUGCUUAGCUCACCGUAUCACCCACAGACUAACGGUCUCUGCGAGCGAUUUAAUGGCACCCUCAAACAGAUGUUGAGGACCUUUACUGACACUUGCAGAGAUUGGGAGCGAUUCCUGCCUCAUCUGCUAUUUGCAUACAGAGAGGUGCCCCAGGAAUCUACUGGGUUCUCCCCUUUUGAGUUACUCUAUGGGAGAAGGGUCCGUGGACCCCUAGAUCUCAUUAGAGGACACUGGGAGGGGGAGACAGAGCAAGAAGGGACCCCCAUAGUACCAUAUGUCCUGGAACUCCGGGACCGCAUGGAGAAACUAUCCCUGAUGGUCAGGGAGAAUCUCCAGGCGGCCCAGGGGAGACAGAAACGGUGGUACGAUCGGGGUGCCCGACAGCGGGUCUUCCAGGUUGGGCAGAAGGUUCUGGUACUCAAGCCUGUGAAGACAGACAAGAUGCAAGCAUCUUGGCAGGGCCCAUAUAAAGUGUUAGCUCAGGUGUGUGAUACUACCUACCUUAUAGCCAGCUGUUCAGAUGAAAGGAUUCAGCGAUCCUUCCAUGUGAACAUGCUGAAGGAGUAUCAGGAACGACCAGAGGAUGUUGCGGCGGUAUGUGCCCCAGCUACUGACGACCCCGAGAACUUACCGUUACCUGACUUGCUAGAGAGAGACCUCCAGACAGACCUUACUAGUCUUGUACAGCUAGGGGACCGGCUAAACCCGGCAGAGAAGGUACAGGCGAGACAGUUACUGUGGGAGAAGCAGGCGACGUUCUCCCAAGAACCCGGGUACACUACCCUAGCUGUACACAAGGUCGAGACACCCGGACAGAACCCCCUACGACAACCCCCGUACCGUAUCCCUGAAGCAGUCCGAGAAGGAAUGCGGACGGAGAUACAGGAGAUGACCAGGCUGGGGGUUAUCGAACACUCAGACAGUCCUUGGGCCUCGCCUGUAGUUCUGGUGCCUAAGAAAGAUGGGACCACCCGGUUCUGUGUGGACUACAGGCGGCUCAACGAGCGGACCACCACUGACGCCUACCCUAUGCCCCGGGUAGACGAGUUAUUAGACCGCAUUGCCAGGGGGCGCUACUUGACCACCAUUGACCUGUGUAAAGGUUAUUGGCAGAUCCCCCUGGCCGAGGAUGCUAUCCCUAAGUCGGCAUUCGCCACCCCAUUUGGCCUGUACCAAGUUAAGGUUAUGCCAUUUGGGAUGAAGAAUGCUCCGGCUACGUUCCAGCGUAUGGUGGAUAGGCUCCUCGAUGGCUUCCAGGAUUUUGCAUGUGCAUACCUCGAUGACAUUGCGAUCUACAGUGAGUCCUGGGAAGACCAUUUAGUACACGUGGGGGUGGUGCUGGACAAGAUUCGGGCCGCAGGCCUGACCUUGAAGCCAGACAAGUGCCAUCUAGGCAUGGCAGAAGUACAGUACUUGGGUCACAGAGUAGGCUGUGGGAGCCAGAGACCGGAGCCAGCCAAGGUAGAGGCGGUGGCUAACUGGCCCACACCUAUCACCAAGACCCAAGUGCUGGCCUUCUUGGGGACGGCAGGGUAUUACCGACGUUUUGUCCCUGACUACAGUACGGUUGCUAAGCCCUUGACUGACCUGACUAAGAAGAAUUUGCCUAAGCAGGUCCUGUGGUCUCCAGCUUGUGAAGCCGCGUUUCAAGCACUUAAGCAGGCUCUUGUGAAUGCCCCUGUCCUGGCUGCCCCAGUCCCUAACAAACGUUUUCUUGUACAUACAGAUGCUUCCAUGUAUGGACUGGGGGCUGUGCUAAGCCAGGUCGGGGAAGAUGGAGGAGAGCACCCUGUCGCAUACUUAAGCAGAAAGUUACUACCCCGGGAAGUAAGUUAUGCGGCAGUGGAGAAAGAGUGUUUAGCCCUGGUCUGGGCACUGAAGAAAUUGAGCCCAUAUUUAUACGGACAAGAAUUCUCCCUUAUUACGGACCAUAACCCCCUUGUCUGGCUUAACCGGGUCUCAGGAGACAAUGGCAGACUGCUGAGGUGGAGUUUGGCACUACAGCCUUACAACUUCACCAUCAGCUACCGACCCGGUAAGCAGAAUGGGAACGCGGAUGGGUUGUCCCGGCAAACAGACGUCCCUACUUCUUCCCAGUCCGGUCAUCCCCAAGUUGACCCGCCAAAGGGUCAAGCCGGGUCUGCCGGAGUGUUCCACAAGGGGGGAGCCGUGUGACAGACCCAUCUGUCUGGAUUAUAAAUGCUGUGUUCGCCUGUUUUGCCGGUUACAUGAAUUCCCCCAUUCGUAUGCUUUAUUCAAGGGAAUGUCGGUUUUGUCGAACGGAACUACCGAACAGAUGGCCACCCAGAAGAGAAGUGUGCUGCUGGUUAACCUAUUGAUCCCAAUUAGAACGUUGCUGUUAACCACAGACACUUCUCAAUUAAAACCGAAUGCCGGGUGGUCGUCGUUCGUAUGUCGACCACGAGGCGGCGGCCAUUUUGUCCAUGCGAACGACCAGCUGUGUUCGACGAUUAUUUCAUGGAUCGGAAAACGGACACUUUUUCAACCGAACACCGCUGAAGCCGUCGACCUCCCCUUCUCAAUCGACAAAAGUAUACGAAUGCCAGCCGUUCGGGAGAUUCAACCACACGAAUGGACUUAACCCAGAUAGCCGCCCCAUGGAGUCAAUCGCAUACCGAAGAACUGAAAUAGACUUUGACUCCAUGGCGAUUGAACUGUGCGAAUGGGAUCUGAGCGCUAUUCUCCAAUAAUGUGCCCUCAGAUCCAGGCUAUCUGGGGAUAUGCAAGACUGAUGUAAAAUGUUCAGCAGUUAUGAAGUUAUGGAUUUUUGUGUGUUUUUGUAACUUGUAUCUAAAAUGGCGAUUGCCCCUGCUCGGGGAGAUAAUUGAAUUACUUCCCAAUUAUCCCCCGAGCAGAGGGGAGGGAACUGUACUGCAUGCUGGGAAUAUUGUGGGGAUGUAUGUCCAGAAUGUCCCCAUGUCCCUCUGUGAUUUCAGUUCUCACCGCGGGGAGACCUGCAUAAAUACCGGCAGGUAGCCCACAGUAAACCAGUUCGUGUUUUACCCUCAAAGCGGAGCUUGGUCUCGUUAUUGGGGGGAUUUGGAUACCAGCGGCGAGAGACUGCUUACUUGGAUUAUUUGCCGCUUGGGAGAUAUUGUCGUUCGGUUAUUAAUUGCCGUUCGUGGAUUUGCGGCUUGCGAAGGGAAUCAGCCGUACAGGUACCGUUCGGGAGUUUGGAGUGUUCCCUAGCUGGCGGUUCGCCUGGUUUUAUUAUACCCGCUACCCGACCACAUUAUUGCGAACGGGGAAUACUCGCUAAACGGCGGUUUGUACAUUUCAGUACUGGAGGUACCGUAACAAACCCAAAACACACAGACCCUAAUCUGCUAAAGGAAAGGUAUAACAUAUUGCCGGGCCUUAGAAUGUCCGGAUUUAAUGUAAAGAGUAGCCAAGGAGAAAGCCACGGUCAAACGUAGGGGAGAACAGCAUACAAGCCAAGUAGACGCGCAAGCAGAGUGUGCAGCAUCUGACCCGUCGCUGGAUCGGGGAGCUCCGGAACAGGUAAGCAUGACAACCAAAAGUCCAAUAAAAUUCCGGAAACGUCUGGCUGUCUGGUACGAAUGCAAUAGGGACAAUUGGGACACUGCACCCAGUCCUGUUCAAUUAGUUGAAGUUGUCUGUGUCCCUUUAACCCCUUAAGGACACAUGACAUGUGUGACAUGUCAUGAUUCCCUUUUAUUCCAGAAGUUUGGUCCUUAAGGGGUUAAGGAAUAACACACACACACACACACACACACACUCUCUCGCUCAGCAGUGGCGGAUCCAGAGCCUGAUCUCGGGAGGGGCACUUGUAGAUUAUUUAAAGAAAUAAUCCAGACACAAUAACUACUACAGCUCAGUGUAGUGGUUAUGGUGUCAAUAGUGCCGGGACCCCCUCCUAGAGUAAGUAGUCAAACAGGUCUGCUGGGAAAUGGGGCGGUAGUAGGGCAUAGGAGCAGUGGCGUGUGUGAGUGGUGCAAUGUGUAAGGGGUGUAGUGUGUGUGUGUGUGAGGGGGACAGUGUGUGAGCAGUGUGUGUGUGUGUGUGUGAAGGUUGUAGUGUGUGAGUAGGGGGGCAGUGUAUGUCAGGGAUGCAGUGUAUGUGUGGGACAGUAUGUGUGUGUAACAGUUGCAGUGUGUGUGUGAAUGUGGGCAAAGUGUGUGUAUGGGGCGGCAGUGUAUGGGGGCAGUGUGUGUGUAUGGGGAGCAGUAUGUGUGUAUGAGGGCAGUAUGUGUGCAUUGGGGGCAGUAUGUAUGCAUGGGGGGCAGUNNNNNNNNNNNNNNNNNNNNNNNNNNNNNNNNNNNNNNNNNNNNNNNNNNNNNNNNNNNNNNNNNNNNNNNNNNNNNNNNNNNNNNNNNNNNNNNNNNNNAUAUUUUACUUUGUCUACUUUUAAGAAGGCUCCCUGUAUUUUCUCAACUAUUAGGAUUAUUUGUACCAUAUUAAAUACAUAAAAGGAAUAUGUAAAACUGAAUUCUACGUUAAAUUGAAUUAAUCUCAUGUUACUCUUGUCAUUAUGUCAGAGGAAAGAUAUCUUAGCAGGAUUUCCAAUUAUUAAAGUAAUCUAUGAUAAGUGCAGUUAAGUAAAAUGCAAUGAAUGUAAGUGUGAAAGUGGUCUUUCAUGUUUACACAUUAUUAUUUAACGUUCUACUGGAAUUUAAACACAAAUGUGAAGCUGCUAGACUUGGCAGAUCAUUUAAAAGCUUACAGGAUUUUCUAACCAGUCAUUUGAAAUGACAUUUUCACUACCUAAAUAUUUGUCUAUGAAAUGGGUUGCAUGGCACACGUUCUGGCAAAGGAACAGGUUCCUUGUGAGUUCGAAAACAGCACUGUUUCCCCAUAAACCUGUCAUGCUUUAUUUUAAUGAAACAUAUAUAAAAUGAGAUGAUGUUUGCCACGUCUCAGCAAACUAAUUCACUUUGGCUUUUCCCUGUUGAGUUCCACUAUUAGCACUUUAAUCAUUUUGUCUUUAAGAAGCAAGGCAGAAAAGUUUUACUUUUGGAACUCCAACAAAAAAUGUUAGAAGGUGUUUAAUUUCCAGGUAUUCCAUCCAUUUGUAUAAACACAGAAAUAUGGCCUUAUUCAUAGAGUCUUAUGCACAAGGCUAUGUGUUUAGAUAGUGUAAACCACUUUGCUGAUCGGGUUGCACUAGUGGUUACAUUAUGGUGUUGGUGGUAGACAUUGUUGAGUAAAACGUUGAUGAGUAGAACUGCUUUCUUAAGUAUUAUACUAAAGUUUCAUUUCUCUCCACUAGGAAACUUAAUAUAUUUUAAAAUAACACCUACCACCCAACUGCUAGAAAAAUAUCACAUUUUUAACACAAUAAUAUCCAACUAUCGUAGUGCCGUCACUUUCGAAACCAUGGUACUUUACGGUGAAGGACAAUCAAACUGCCUACCUCUGGUUACCACUUUAUUAUAGCACGAGUGCAGUUGAGCUGCCUUUACCCCAUGAAUUGGACUCCGUGGGUGAUGUGUGAAAGGUUAAUUGCAAAAAUAAUAGGGUUUGGGUUGUAAAACGUAUCAAAGCUAUUUACAGUAACACUCAUUUAAAAAUGAAAGUCCUGUCUAACUUUAUAAAUCAAAAAUAUUGCCAGGUGCAGGACAAGGGUUGGCAACCUGUUAAUCUGUAGUAGUUGUUUAAAUGCAACUCCCUUGAUCCCCAGCCAUCAAUAACCAGAGGAGCUUAGGGAUGAAUAGGAGGUUGGGUUUGUGUUUCAAGAGCAAUAAUUCCCUAGGCCUGUAUUUUCUUGCCUCUUUCACUUGUACUUUUCCAUCCAUUAUUUUAAGGUAUUUUAAUUCUGUUCAAUAUUGAAAGUAUGUAUGGUGAAAAUAUUUUAUCUCCAUAAAAAUGCAGGUGGAAGGGGGAGUCAUAGUAAGUUGAUUACUAAAUGGUAUAAAUGUUCUGGUAUGUGACUAAAAUAAACAAAAGUAAAAGAGCUAGAAGGUUUCAAUAGCUGGUACCCCAAAUGCAGGUCUUUAUGUAAAGUAAACAUAGGAGCUGAUCGGAUGGUAUAACAUGGAACAGGCAUAUGGGCAAUUGCUCUGGGAGCAAAGUUUUUAGAGGCGCAAAAUUUCAAAAGAAAAAAGAAAGUAGUUAUAAUACUAACUAUAAUAGCACACCAUCCUUCUCACACAGAACAUCUCCCAAAGUUUGAACAUUCUACACAGUUUUUCAACUUGACAAGGCAAAUAAACAUUGCCACAUAACAUUUUACAGUUUUUUUUAGCCUCGCUUUUGCUUCCAUACCUGCCUUGUCUCCAGUGGCGUACACAUGACCCAUGGGGCCCCGGUGCAAAAAUUGAUCCGUGGGCCCCCUCUCAAGGCUACUACUUCAGCUGGGUCCCUCAGUGGCCCCUCUUCCUCGCCAGCUACUCAGCUACUGGUCGGAUCGCAACACAUGGUGGCGGGCACCUGGUCGCAGGGGUUGCAGGGCUGCAACCCCGCGACCGCGGUAUGCACACACACUUAAAGGACCACUACAGACACCCAGAUCACAUCAGCUCAAUGAAGUGGUCUGGGUGCCAGGUCCCUCUAGUUUUAACCUGCAGCUGAAAACAUAGCCGUUUCAGAGAAACGGCUAUGUUUCACUGAGGGUUAAUCCAGCCUCUGGUGGCUGUCUCAUUGACAGCUGCUAGAGGAGCUUCCGCGAUUCUCACUGUGAAAAUCACAGUGAGAAGACACUGAACGUCCACAGGAAAGCAUUGAGUAAUGCUUUCCUAUGGGCGGUUUAAAUGCGCGCGCGCCUCUUGCCGCGCAUGUGCAUUUCGGAGCUGAGUGGCAGACACUGGGGAGUCCUACGCUGGAGAAAGGUAAAUGCUGAAGACACACACACACACUCUCACGAACAGACGCAUACACACUAGCUAACAGACACACACAUUUACUGACAGAGACACACUCAGCGACAGACAUACAUACACUUUCACUGACAAACACACACUCACUAACAGACAUCAAACACACUCAGUAACAGACAUACACAGUAAUACACUCACUAGCAGACACACACCCAAUAACAGACACAUUCACUGACACACACACUAACACACGCACUAACACAAACAAACACUGACACACUAACACACACACACUCUAAUACACACACACUAACACACACACACUCUAACACACACACACUCUAACACACACACACUAACACACACACACUAACACACACUCUAACACACACACACCCCCACACACACACCAACACACACACCCCCAACACACACACACCCCCAACACACACACCAACACACACACACUCUAACACACACACACUCUAACACACACACACUAACACACACACACUAACACAUUUUUUUUUUCAAAUGUAAUCCCCCCAGCCUCCUUACCUUUUGGAGUGCUGGGGGGAUUCCCUGGGGUCCAGUGGUGCUGCUGACCCCAGGCAGGCGGAUGGCCGGUCGGGCAGGCGGGCGGGCGCGCGAGGGAGCACUCAGUGCUUCCUCUUCAGCUCCCUCGCGCGCCGCGUAGGGAUGCCGGAGCCGGAAGAUGACGUCAUCUGCCGGCUCCGGUAUCAUUGCGGUGCGCGAGGGAGCUGAAGAGGAAGCACUGAGUGCUCCCUCGCGCGCCCGCCCGCCUGCCCGACCGGCCAUCCGGGUGUCAGCAGGGCCAGCCUCAGAGGGGCCCUGGGUCGGUCGGCUCCUGGGCCCCCCAGGGGAAGAGGCUGGCCCUGUGGCUACAUACCGGGUCGCAGGGGCGGCCGGGCCCCCUGGUGGGCCGGGCCCGGUCGCAACCGCGACCCCUGCGACCCUGGUAUGUACGCCACUGUUUGUGUUAUUUUCUCAUGGUGUGUAUGUUUGAAUAAAUAUACAUUUUUGGCUGUAAUACAAUCUGAUUUGAUUAUUGGAACUUUGGUGUGACAAACAUCUCAGGAACAGCUAAUUUCCUACAUUUAAUGAUGGAGAAUGUGAGCAGGAUUUAAGUCUGUACAGAAAAACUGUUUAAGAUCCUGCAAAAUAAAUUGUAUCAUCCUAAUUUAAAAGAAUGAUGUAUACAUAUAGUACAGGAGUGUCUCAUAUGUGCUCAAUUUAAUCCAAGACCUAAAGACUAGAAACCAAAGUUACAGAGAGUAUCUGUGGCAAAAAAGGACCACGGAACUGUAUUUAAAUUGUUUUACAUUAACAUUUAAAUUGAAAAAUAAACGCUUGUAGUUAAAGGGAGUAGUUGGGUAACACAUUUACUAGGAGUAUUAAUGUAUAUUCGUGCAACUCCAAACUCUAAAACGCAAGUGUCACCUCAUGAGUUAAUGACAGGCAGAACAAUGCCAAUCACUUUCCCCAAUGAACCUUUUGUUCCAAGUACUUUCAAAUUUGCAUCAGGACAUGCUGAAUAGUUGAAAGUAUUACAGGAACAGCUGCAAUCAGUUUUAAAAUUUGCUGCUUCAAAUAUUGUCUCUUCUGGUAAACAAUGGGUUAAAAUGAUACUGUAGUGCCAGGAAUACAAAGCUGCAUUCCUGGCACUACCGAUUCCUCUACCUCCCCCUUGCCUUGUGCCCCCUUCCCUAGUAAAUAGAGGGUUAAAAACCCUUUAUUUACUUAACUUAUCCCAGUGCUGAUAUUCCUCGGUGCUGUGUGGAAGCUCCGCCCCCUCCUCCACCCCGCGACAAGCAGGGUCUAAUGCACAUGUGUGGCAAACGCCGCACGCGCAUUAGACCUAUCCUUCGGAAAGCAUUGAAUCAAUGCUUUGUUAUGGGGAAAAUCUGAUGUCCUCAUGUAGAGCGUGAGGACGUCCAGCGUUAGAUAAUGGACCAAAAGUCUGUUACGAUUCUGGAAGCGCCCCCGGUUACUCUCUGGUAGCCAGCCACUGAAGGCAGACCUAGCGCUGCAAUAUAAACAUUGCAGUUCUCUAUUGUGAUUUUCUAGCUUAAAAGGGAGAACUUGACAAUCAGUUACAAGUGUUUAUACUUGAUAUAGAAAGUCUGAGGGAGAGUAUGACAUGAAAAUAAGCUUCACUAUAGAAUGAGGAUAAACUGCUACUCAGUACAAAGAAACAAUAGUAGUACUAUAAAAAAUAAAUAUAAUAAAAAUAAAAAUAAACCAUCAUAGACAGAAAUUACCCGUAGUUACUCCUCUGUGGUGACAUAUGAGCAAUUAAAAUAGCCAUUUGAUAAUCAGAUAUUAGCUAAUAGCAGUCAAUUGGACCUCACAAGUCCGUCUAAUGGACGUCAUAAGGUUAAGCAUCUAUGAAACUGCAGGAAUAUUGCAAAGUACGGGCACAAACAAGGUCAAUUGAGUUAACUUCUCCAUAUCCCAUCAAUGGGGAGAUCUGGUUGUAACCCCUCCAGGAUUAUUAGUGUACAGAGGAGUCCCUAGUCUUCUUAGGAAAGCAUUCACUUCUGACAAGUACCUAAUAUAAUGUAUGGCAUCCUCAUGUGUGAUCAUGGGAAGUUUAGAAUGUGAUGCCUUAGGGUCUCAGACUUAUGGUCAUGCUUCAAUAAUUGUCUCCAGGCCAGAGAGAUUUGUGUCAAAUUAAAUGUUAGCAAAUGGGUUUCAAAAGAAUAUCCUGACUGUUCUUAGACAGUCAGGAAUUGUACAAAUACAUAACUCAAAGUCUCUAUGUAAGAAUUUCAGUGGCUUAAGAAACUUAUACUAGUAUGUGAAAAAAUCCAUUAAUGCUAGUGGAGUUUGUUUGUUUAUGAGAUAAAACAGUUCAUAAUAGGCAUGGAAUAAAAUUUGUCCAUUCUUCCAAAAAAAAUUCCUCUUAUACCCCACACAUUUUUUAAGCAACCCACAUUCUCCACCAGACACACCCUGUGAUGGAUGAAAGUGAACAGAUUUGAGAUUUGCCUUUUCCAGAUAUCACCACAGUCCUUCAAUGUUGCCUGUUGUCCCGCAGUAGGGCUUUAAUUUCCCUUUUGUAUUUGGUCUUCCUUAUUAUCCUUUAGCAUGAUGGCAACUAUGUUGUGGUAGGUGAUUAGACGGAUCCCGCCCAAGAAGAACUUCUCNNNNNNNNNNNNNNNNNNNNNNNNNNNNNNNNNNNNNNNNNNNNNNNNNNNNNNNNNNNNNNNNNNNNNNNNNNNNNNNNNNNNNNNNNNNNNNNNNNNNUUUAGUCUUAAUGUGCCAUUUUAAGUACAAGGUGGCUGCAUAAGCAUAAUAUCUAUAAGUUGUGAACUUGGGUCAGGAUCUGAUACCGCUGUUAAGAGCAUUCCCCAAUCCUGUCAAGUUAAUAUUUAAGCUUCUGAAAACAGAUAAAUACAGGUAAAUGUGUUUUUUUUGCUGCCAAAAUACUGAGAAUCUUGGAUCCCAAACAAUAUCUGAUCUGCUGGAAAUUACCUCCACCCACCUACAUGUAAUUUUAGAGGUUACAAUACUGUUUAAUUAGUAUUAUUUUGUAAAAGUCGGUGGAUACUAAAUGUUGCCUUGUUUUUUCAUUUUUUUUGUUUAUUUCUUACAUUCAAAGCAUGUGCUUUUGCAUAAACAUNNNNNNNNNNNNNNNNNNNNNNNNNNNNNNNNNNNNNNNNNNNNNNNNNNNNNNNNNNNNNNNNNNNNNNNNNNNNNNNNNNNNNNNNNNNNNNNNNNNNAGUCCUGGAUGCUGGAGGUUCGUACAGGGUGGAAGGAAGAGUUCUUUCCCACACAGUCCUGGAGGACAGAAGCUGAUCCAGGGUGGAAGGAAGAGGGCGAGACUCCAGUCAAGAUACGGUGGUUGCGGAGUCUGCGGUGGUUGUGGUGUCUGCUGCAGCGCUUGGAGUCCUCAGGAAGCGCUAGGAGCAUCCGUCAACGGAGGGUAUUCAGUCGGAGUACAAGGAGCUCCGUUACAAGCACUAUUUAAUUUGUUGUUAAUUCCAUGAUCAUGAGAUAAUGUGAAUACCAAUAAGAGAUAAGCCGAGAUGUAACUUUAUUUUUAAUAGUUCAAAUGUCUUGGAUUGUGAUAACGUUGAAAAUACACAAAAACACAAUUCUAGCCUGAGUUCAGGAGGUGUAAUGGGAUGAAUAAAUGGCUGUGAUUAUAACUGAUGCAUUUGACUGGUAAAACUAACAUGAAUGUACUUUAGUUUCAAAUUACAUGUCACACAAUAUAAUAUAUAUAAUUUAACCUCCUAAUAAUAAUAAUAAUAAUAUCUUUAAAAACAGAACUUAAACAAGUUGCAGAACAAUUGGCAAUGAUGUCAAACCUUUUUUCUUUUCUUUUUGUAAAAUAUGCUUUAAAGUAGUUUUUUCCUCAGUAGGAAUAGAAAUAAUCUAGUUGAAAAAAAGGCCUGUCACAUUUUCUCUAGAUCUCCCUUAGAACCAGGAAAUGCUUGUGCCAGCAGGUAAACAAAAAAGCAUAUAGGAUACAAUACAAUAGCUAUACUGAAGCAGAGUAUACAAUAGCUAUACAUUCUAAUUACUGAUGAAAAGAAACCAGCUCAGUACUGUUUUCAGCAUCAGCAAGGUAAACAGUAUAUAAAGGCUCUUCAUGCUAUGUAACAGCACAACUUGCAUGAGCAGAUCAACCAUCACUGAAAAUGGGAAAGGUAAGAUGAUCUGAAUAUUGUAAAUAUUUGCAACACAAGAAAUUUUGGAAACAAUAAACAGAUUUUUUUUUUUUUAAAUGAACCAAAGCAAAUUCAAGUUUAAAAUGCUUACAUUGAAUGCCAGCAAACUUUAUCCUAUACAAUAUAUCCUGGUGAGUUUAUCUAGGCCAGAAACAUGACAACAUAAUAUUCCAUAAACUAGUUUUGGACAUUUGCCGCCUCAUCAAAUACAAAUUCAUCAGAACACAUGCUUCACAUGUUUACUUUUUUCAGACUCAAGAGUAAGAUUUUUUCAGUUUUUGAAAGUACUUUCUAGUGAAUGCCACUAUUAACCGUAAUAAAUUGCUAUAAUUAUGUGAAAGUGAAUGCAAGUUCACCAAUCUAAAAAAACACAAAAUGUACCAAAAACAUAUAUUCCAAUUCGGUCCUAAACUUAUAUGUUUAACACCUACACUUUAUUAUUUGAACAGGAUAAUAGUAAAUGUUUUUAGGAAUCUAUAGCAUCAAGUAAUCAAACCAGAAACUAUUUUUUAAAUGAAAUUAUUAACCACUAAAACAAUAACAAACUAAAAAAUCUAAAAUGUUCAAAUGCAUGGUUGUUUCACAGAUUGUCUUCUACGAGGAUCGUAACUUCCAGGGCCGCUCUUAUGAGUGCAACUCUGAGUGUCCAGAUAUGUCCUCAUAUUUUCAGCGCUGUAAUUCCAUCCGAGUGGAAAGUGGAAACUGGAUUCUGUAUGAGCACCCCAACUAUAGAGGACGCCAGUAUUACCUUAGCAGGGGAGAAUAUCCUAAUUUCCAGCAAUGGAUGGGUUUCAAUGACUCCAUCAGAUCUUGUCGUAUUAGCCCACAGGUAAAGAUAUUUACCAAAAUAGUUAAGAACCUUACAUAAAUAUGAUGCAGUACAAAAAAACAUUAUUUUCCAAUUAUCAAUUAUUAUAGGUUUACCUUUGCAAAUAUGACCUUUUUUGACUAUUAUUCAUUAUUUUAUGGAAUAUAUCUUCAAUUCAAAAUUCCAUUGUCAGGUAACAGGUGGUUAACAUGGAUAAAUAUAUAUAUAUAUAUAUAUAUAUAUAUUUAUAUAUAUAUAUAUAUAUAUGUAUAUAUAUAUAUAUAUAUAUAUAUAUAUAUAUAUAUAUAUAUAUAUAUAUAUAUAUAUAUAUAUAUAUAUAUAUAUUCCUGUAUAGAUUUUUGAUGUUUACAUGCAAUUAUACAAUUAUUUUACUCUUGUUUAUAAAUAUUUUUUUCUUCGUAAAGCACCAUGGAUCAUUCAGAGUAAAGGUCUAUGAGAGGGAGGAUUUCCGAGGUCAGAUGAUGGAGUUCACUGAAGAUUGUGUUAAUGUCAAUGAGAGAUUCCGUUACCAUGACAUCCACUCCUGCCAGGUGAUUGAUGGCUACUGGAUGUUCUAUGAGGAACCAAAUUACAAAGGACGCCAGUAUUACCUGAGACCUGGAGAGUACAAAAGAUAUACUGACUGGGGUGCCAUGAGCCCAAGAAUUGGCUCAUUCAGGAGACUUCACCAUUUCUAAUAAGUUGUAUUUAUUACUAAAUCAGCAUGUCAUUAAGAAUAUAAUAAAAGCAUCAAAAAUUAUCUUUAAGGUCUAUAUUUUUUCAUUUUCUAUUUAAGUUGUGGUUUCAUACCUUUUACUUUACAUGCAAAAUGCAAACACUUAUUUUAAACCACAGUUCAGUAAAUAAAUUAUUAAUAUAACAGUGGUUCCUAUAAAAACAAAUAAUGAGUAAGUAAUAAGGGGAAUUAUAUUAUUUUUUACAUAUAGUCCCUCAGGAAGUUGAAGUUGUGACAUCAAAAUACUUAUAGCUUUUUUUACUGAAGGUGGUUUGACCCAAGAUAUUACAAGAUAAUACUAAUGAAACAGUAUUGUAACCUCUAAAACUACAUGUAGGUGGGUGGAGGUAAUUUCCAGCAGACCAGAUAUUGUUUGGGAUCCAAGAUUCUCAGUAUUUUGGCAGCAAAAAACACAUUUACCUGUAUUUAUCUGUUUUCAGAAGCUUAAAUAUUAACUUGACAGGAUUGGGGAAUGCUCUUAACAGCGGUAUCAGAUCCUGACCCUAGUUCACAACGUAUAGAUAUUAUGCUUAUGCAGCCGCCUUGUGCUUAAAAUGGCACAUUAAGUCAAAAGAGAAGUUCUUCUUGGGCGGGAUCCAUCUAAUCACCUACCACAACAUAGUUGCCAUCAUGCUAAAGGAUAAUAAGGAAGACCAAAUACAAAAGGGAAAUUAAAGCCCUACUGUGGGACAACAGGCAACAUUGAAGGACUGUGGUGAUAUCUGGAAAAGGCAAAUCUCAAAUCUGUUCACUUUCAUCCAUCACAGGGAGUGCCUGGUGGAGAAUGUGGGUUGCUUAAAAAAUGUGUGGGGUACAAGAGGAAUUUUUUUUGGAAGAAUGGACAAAUUUUAUUCCAUGCCUAUUAUGAACUGUUUUAUCUCAUAAACAAACAAACUCCACUAGCAUUAAUAGAUUUUUUUCACACACUAGUAUAAGUUUCUUAAGCCACUCAAAUUCUUACAUAGAGACUUUGAGUUAUGUAUUUGUACAAUUCCUGACUGUCUAAGAACAGUCAGGAUAUUCUUUUGAAACAUUUAAUUUGCUAACAUUUAAUUUGACACAAAUCACUCUGGCCUGGAGACAAUUAUUGAAGCAUGACCAUAAGUCUGAGACCCUAAGGCAUCACAUUCUAAACUUCCCAUGAUCACACAUGAGGAUGCCAUACAUUAUAUUAGGUACUCUUCAGAAGUGAAUGCUUUCCUAAGAAGACUAGGGACUCCUCUGUACACUAAUAAUCCUGGAGGGGUUACAACCAGAUCUCCCCAUUGAUGGGAUAUGGAGAAGAUAACUCAAUUGACCUUGUUUGUGCCCGUACUUUGCAAUAUUCCUGCAGUUUCAUAGAUGCUCAACCUUAUGACGUCCAUUUGACGGACUUGUGAGGUCCAAUUGACUGCUAUUAGCUAAUAUCUGAUUAUCAAAUGGCUAUUUUAAUUGCUCAUAUGUUACCACAGAGGAGUAACUACGGGUAGUUUCUGUCUAUGAUGGUUUAUUUUUAUUUUUAUUAUAUUUAUUUUUUAUAGUACUACUAUUGUUUCUUUGUACUGAGUAGCAGUUUAUCCUCAUUCUAUAGUGCAGCUUAUUUUCAUGUCAUACUCUCCCUCAGACUUUCUAUAUCAAGUAUAAACACUUGUAACUGAUUGUCAAGUUCUCCCUUUUAAGCUAGCAAAUCACAAUAGAUGACUGCAAUGUUUAUAUUGCAGCUCUAGGUCUGCCUUCAGUGGCUGUCUACCAGAGAGUAACUGGGGGCGCUUCCAGAAUCGUAACAGACUUUUGGUCCUUUAUCUAACGCUGGACGUCCUCACCCUCUACAUGAGGACGUCAGAUUUUCCCCAUAACAAAGCAUUGAUUCAAUGCUUUCCGAAGGGGAGGUCUUAUGCGCGUGCGGCGUUUGCCACACAUGCGCAUUAGACCCUGCUUGUCGCAGGGUGGAGGAGGGGGCGGAGCUUCCACACAGCACCGAGGAAUAUCGGCACUGGGAUAAGUUAAGUAAAUAAAGGGUUUUUAACCCUCUAUUUACUAGGGAAGGGGGCGCAGGGCAAGGGGGAGGUAGAGGAAUCGGUAGUGCCAGGAAUGCAGCUUUGUAUUCCUGGAACUACAGUAUCCCUUUAACACAUUGUUUACCAGAAGAGACAAUAUUUGAAGCAGCACAUUUUAAAACUGAUUGCAGCUGUUCCUGUAAUACUUUCAACUAUUCAGCAUGUCCUGAUGCAAAUUUGAAAGUACUUGGAACAAAAGAUUCAUUGGGGAAAGUGAUUGGCAUUGUUCUGCCUGUCAUUAACUCAUGAGGUGACACUUGCGUUUUAGAGUUUGGAGUUGCAUGAAUAUACAUUAAUACUCCUAGUAAAUAUGUUACCCAACUACUCCCUUUAACUACAAGCGUUUAUUUUUCAAUUUAAAUGUUAAUGUAAAACAAUUUAAAUAGAGUUCCAUGGUCGUUUUGCCACAGAUACUCUCUGUAACUUUGGUUUCUAGUCUUUAGGUCUUGGAUUAAAUUGAGCACAUAUGAGACACUCCUGUACUAUAUGUAUACAUCAUUCUUUUAAAUUAGGAUGAUACAAUUUAUUUUGCAGGAUCUUAAACAGUUUUUAUGUACAGACUUAAAUCCUGCCCACAUUCUCCAUUAUUAAAUGUAGGAAAUUAGCUGUUCCUGAGAUGUUUGUCACACCAAAGUUCCAAUAAUCAAAUCAGAUUGUAUUGCAGCCAAAAAUGUAUAUUUAUUCAAACAUACACACCAUGAGAAAAUAACACAAAGUCUUUGCACACAUCUGGACCAAUACAGCAAUGUGUAAGCACUUCAAGAUAAUAUUCAUUUUUGUUGUUAGAAGUAUUGGUGAGGAAUUUCUAACUGUAAAUGUUUGUAUAUGUCUAAAAUUCAGUUACUCACGAGGCGUACACAUAAGGUUACCUGACACUUUAAAAUAUGUGGCCAUCAUAGAAAAAGGUUGUGGCUUAACCAUUCUGUCCAAUCUCUGAUUAGAGCCAGACAUUAUACAAAUGGUUAGGAAAUAGAGGUAGGUGAUGUAUAGAGUCCCACAAGGGGAAACUAACAUCAGGAGAGCUCCACUGUUUAAGAAAUGAGGAAUGGGGCCCUCCCUUUAAUCAAUCUAAGGAUAAAAAGGGAUAUGCAAACAAAAAGUAUAACUUGAAAAAAGGGAGACAUACUAAAUGGUGCCCAGGGGAAUACUAACUAGCAUCUACGUUCCAGUUCCCCUAGUGUCCUCAUUGGAGCUCCCUAUUAGGUGGUUACAGUGGUGCAGCUCAUGAGCCCUUGACUUGUAUCCAGACUCCUGACCUGCACUCUGUUUACUUUAUUUCUCCAUUUUGUGUUUUAUACAAAUGUUUAUACUUGGGGGGUAAAAUAUAAUUUACACGAAGGUCUUUCUGUUUACAUGAUUAAAUGAAUUUCUUCAAAAAGAAACUUCCUAAUACACAUGGGAGUCUUGCUUGCAAUACUAGGUCAAAAGGUAAUAUCAACAGGCUUUCAUCAAUCAUUAUCUCAACAAGAACCAUAUGUGGUGAACAUUGGUAAACAAAUAAAUAGGAUCUCUCAGUUCUUGUGUCUGAAAGUAUUUUAAAAGGAAAUUAAUUUCAACUAAUACAAAACUUAUAAUAUUCAUAUCACAAAGAUAAAAUCCUACAACACAUCAGAUAUUUAAAGUUCAAUACAUAUAUUUCAUAACCCAGUGCAGGUGUGUCCCUUUAUUAACAUUAUUAACAUCUCCAAAAAUCAACAGUUCACUUUUUUGGUUUUGAGCUACAGUUUCACAAAGGAAUAGGGCUAUGUCUAAAAGUAAUACACUAGGAAGCUAGGUGGGCGUUAAAUUUCUGCAACAAUGAUAGUUUUACUGAAAGGGAUCUUGAUUGUGUCAGAGAGGAAAUCAAAGGUGGCAAGGGAGCCAAUAGUUUUUUAAAAGGGUGAACGUUAGAAACAAUCCCAAAAAAUUAAGAAAUCCAAAGGAAAGAUCAAAUUAUUUUCCAAUUUAAGAUGAAAAACAGACUAAGUUGGAUUAAUACCUCAUCAGCUAAAAACAAAAGAAUACGAGAAUGUUGUCUUCAAAAAGCAUUUACGUUUUUCAGCUCUAAUAAUUAAAAGAGAGUUAUUUUUAUAAUAAUCUAAUCUAUAAUUUGGAUAGGAUAGGUACAUGCUUCUAUUAUUUAACUCAAUCUUCUCUCAACUGUUUCUGGUGUGUUAUUGUGUUUUGUUUGUAAAUGUCUAGGCAUGCAAAAGUGUGGAUGUAAUUUUAUUACUGUGGAAACAAAAUAAGGAUUAUUAAGAAUAAUAACAUUCAAUAUUUUAUGUAACCACAAAGAGCACUGUGACGAAGUGCCCUUCGCCACUUGGUCCUGGAGAGGCCUACUUGCCAGCCUCCUCCCCUGUGACUAUGACUUUUUCAUGUAUCUGGCUUUAAAGCCCCUAGUAUACCUUCAGACAGACUAUUUAUGUAGGCUGCUUUAUUUAUCUUAUGUUUUAGUCACCCUGUACCCAUUAUAGGUGCAGGGUGUGUGUAAUGUAAUUGUUUAUAGUGUGUGUGUGUGUGUGUACUGUGUAAUGUAUUGCCUGCUCUCUUGUAUUGCUGAGGUUUGCUACCAACUAGGUGGGUUUGGCUAUGUAACUUGUCUAGUGCCCUCUGUUGGUAGCAACAGCAAUAUGCACUACCUGAAUUGCAAGACUGGUUCAUUUGCAUAUUCAGGUGGAUUUGCAUAUUGCUAAUUCUGCAGGCAGGUGAGAUAUUUACUGUUAAAUAUUGUCUCCCCAUACCCCUUUAAAAAUGUGCCAUUGUGUUGUGAUAAGUCACUGUGUGUUGCUUGAUUUGGUUUGACUGUUUGGGAUUUUAUUGUGUUUUUACAACAAUGUUAUUGUGGUGACCCUAUUGGCUGGUCCCAAGGGAAUAAAGGUUUUGACAGUUCUUCUUGAUCCCUCUAAACGUAGCCUUGUCUCGUUAUUCGAGGGAGCUGUUAUAAUCACACUGGGGAUUGGCAUGCUCCCCUGAGCUUGAGUCACUUAGCUCUUUUAAGAGCUUGUUCCUGACACGCUCUCCUUGGAGGAGGGGUCUUCACCACACAGUCCUGGAUGCUGGAGGUUCGUACAGGGUGGAAGGAAGAGUUCUUUCCCACACAGUCCUGGAGGACAGAAGCUGAUCCAGGGUGGAAGGAAGACGGCGAGACUCCAGUCAAGAUACGGCGGUUGCGGAGUCUGCAGUGGUUGUGGUGUCUGCUGCAGCGCUUGGAGUCCUCAGGAAGCGCUAGGAGCAUCCGUCAACGGAGGGUAUUCAGUCGGAGUACAAGGAGCUCCGUUACAAGCACUAUUUAAUUUGUUGUUAAUUCCAUGAUCAUGAGAUAAUGUGAAUACCAAUAAGAGAUAAGCCGAGAUGUAACUUUAUUUUUAAUAGUUCAAAUGUCUUGGAUUGUGAUAACGUUGAAAAUACACAAAAACACAAUUCUAGCCUGAGUUCAGGAGGUGUAAUGGGAUGAAUAAAUGGCUGUGAUUAUAACUGAUGCAUUUGACUGGUAAAACUAACAUGAAUGUACUUUAGUUUCAAAUUACAUGUCACACAAUAUAAUAUAUAUAAUUUAACCUCCUAAUAAUAAUAAUAAUAAUAUCUUUAAAAACAGAACUUAAACAAGUUGCAGAACAAUUGGCAAUGAUGUCAAACCUUUUUUCUUUUCUUUUUGUAAAAUAUGCUUUAAAAUAGUUUUUUCCUCAGUAGGAAUAGAAAUAAUCUAGUUGAAAAAAAGGCCUGUCACAUUUUCUCUAGAUCUCCCUUAGAACCAGGAAAUGCUUGUGCCAGCAGGUAAACAAAAAAGCAUAUAGGAUACAAUACAAUAGCUAUACUGAAGCAGAGUAUACAAUAGCUAUACAUUCUAAUUACUGAUGAAAAGAAACCAGCUCAGUACUGUUUUCAGCAUCAGCAAGGUAAACAGUAUAUAAAGGCUCUUCAUGCUAUGUAACAGCACAACUUGCAUGAGCAGAUCAACCAUCACUGAAAAUGGGAAAGGUAAGAUGAUCUGAAUAUUGUAAAUAUUUGCAACACAAGAAAUUUUGGAAACAAUAAACAGAUUUUUUUUUUUUUAAAUGAACCAAAGCAAAUUCAAGUUUAAAAUGCUUACACUGAAUGCCAGCAAACUUUAUCCUAUACAAUAUAUCCUGGUGAGUUUAUCUAGGCCAGAAACAUGACAACAUAAUAUUCCAUAAACUAGUUUUGGACAUUUGCCGCCUCAUCAAAUACAAAUUCAUCAGAACACAUGCUUCACAUGUUUACUUUUUUCAGACUCAAGAGUAAGAUUUUUUCGGUUUUUGAAAGUACUUUCUAGUGAAUGCCACUAUUAACCGUAAUAAAUUGCUAUAAUUAUGUGAAAGUGAAUGCAAGUUCACCAAUCUAAAAAAACACAAAAUGUACCAAAAACAUAUAUUCCAAUUCGGUCCUAAACUUAUAUGUUUAACACCUACACUUUAUUAUUUGAACAGGAUAAUAGUAAAUGUUUUUAGGAAUCUAUAGCAUCAAGUAAUCAAACCAGAAACUAUUUUUUAAAUGAAAUUAUUAACCACUAAAACAAUAACAAACUAAAAAAUCUAAAAUGUUCAAAUGCAUGGUUGUUUCACAGAUUGUCUUCUACGAGGAUCGUAACUUCCAGGGCCGCUCUUAUGAGUGCAACUCUGAGUGUCCAGAUAUGUCCUCAUAUUUUCAGCGCUGUAAUUCCAUCCGAGUGGAAAGUGGAAACUGGAUUCUGUAUGAGCACCCCAACUAUAGAGGACACCAGUAUUACCUUAGCAGGGGAGAAUAUCCUAAUUUCCAGCAAUGGAUGGGUUUCAAUGACUCCAUCAGAUCUUGUCGUAUUAGCCCACAGGUAAAGAUAUUUACCAAAAUAGUUAAGAACCUUACAUAAAUAUGAUGCAGUACAAAAAAACAUUAUUGUCCUAUUAUUAUAGGUUUACCUUUGCAAAUAUGACCUUUUUUGACUACUAUUCAUUAUUUUAUGGAAUAUAUCUUCAAUUCACAAUUCCAUUGUCAGGUAACAGGUGGGUUAACAUGGAUAAAAAAAAAUAUAUAUAUAUUCCCGUAUAGAUUUUUGAUGUUUACAUGCAAUUAUACAAUUAUUUUACUCUUGUUUAUAAAUAUUUUUUUCUUCGUAAAGCACCAUGGAUCAUUCAGAGUAAAGGUCUAUGAGAGGGAGGAUUUCCGAGGUCAGAUGAUGGAGUUCACUGAAGAUUGUGCUAAUGUCAAUGAGAGAUUCCGUUACCAUGACAUCCACUCCUGCCAGGUGAUUGAUGGCUACUGGAUGUUCUAUGAGGAACCAAAUUACAAAGGGCGCCAGUAUUACCUGAGACCUGGAGAGUACAGAAGAUAUACUGACUGGGGUGCCAUGAGCCCAAGAAUUGGCUCAUUCAGGAGACUUCACCAUUUCUAAUAAGUUGUAUUUAUUACUAAAUCAGCAUGUCAUUAAGAAUAUAAUAAAAGCAUCAAAAAUUAUCUUUAAGGUCUAUAUUUUUUCAUUUUCUAUUUAAGUUGUGGUUUCAUACCUUUUACUUUACAUGCAAAAUGCAAACACUUAUUUUAAACCACAGUUCAGUAAAUAAAUUAUUAAUAUAACAGUGGUUCCUAUAAAAACAAAUAAUGAGUAAGUAAUAAGGGAAUUAUAUUAUUUUUUACAUAUAGUCCCUCAGGAAGUUGAAGUUGUGACAGACAAAAUACUUAUAGCUUUUUUUACUGAAGGUGGUUUGACCCAAAAUAUUACAAGAUAAUACUAAUUAAACAGUAUUGUAAAAUCUAAAACUACAUGUAGGUGGGUGGAGGUAAUUUCCAGCAGACCAGAUAUUGUUUGGGAUCCAAGUUUCUUAGUAUUUUGGAAGCAAAAAACACAUUUACCUGUAUUUAUCUGUUUUUAGAAGCUUAAAUAUUAACUUGACAGGAUUGGGGAAUGCUCUUAACAGCGGUAUCAGAUCCUGACCCUAGUUCACAACUUAUAGAUAUUAUGCUUAAGCAGCCGCCUUGUGCUUAAAAUGGCACAUUAAGUCAAAAGAGAAGUUCUUCUUGGGUGCGAUCCGUCUAAUCACCUACCACAACAUAGUUGCCAUCAUGCUAAAGGAUAAUAAGGAAGACCAAAUUCAAAAGGGAAAUUAAAGCCCUACUGUGGGACAACAGGCAACAUUGAAGGACUGUGGUGAUAUCUGGAAAAGGCAAAUCUCAAAUCUGUUCACUUUCAUCCAUCACAGGGUGUGCCUGGUGGAGAAUGUGGGUUGCUUAAAACAUGUGUGGGGUACAAGAGGAAUUGUUUUUGGAAGAAUGGACAAAUUUUAUUCCAUGCCUAUUAUGAACUGUUUUAUCUCAUAAACAAACAAACUCCACUAGCAUUAAUGGAUUUUUUCACAUACUAGUAUAAGUUUCUUAAGCCACUCAAAUUCUUACAUAGAGACUUUGAGUUAUGUAUUUGUACAAUUCCUGACUGUCUAAGAACAGUCAGGAUAUUCUUUUGAAACAUUUAAUUUGCUAACAUUUAAUUUGACACAAAUCACUCUGGCCUGAAGACAAUUAUUGAAGCAUGACCAUAAGUCUGAGACCCUAUGGCAUCACAUUCUAAACUUCCCAUGAUCACACAUGAGGAUGCCAUACAUUAUAUUAGGUACUUGUCAGAAGUGAAUGCUUUCCUAAGAAGACUAGGGACUCCUCUGUACACUAAUAAUCCUGGAGGGGUUACAACCAGAUCUCCCCAUUGAUGGGAUAUGGAGAAGAUAACUCAAUUGACCUUGUUUGUGUCCGUACUUUGCACUAUUCCUGCAGUUUCAUAGAUGCUCAACCUUACGACGUCCAUUUGACGGACUUGUGAGGUCCAAUUGAGUGCUAUUAGCUAAUAUCUGAUUAUCAAAUGGCUAUUUUAAUUGCUCAUAUGUUACCACAGAGGAGUAACUAUGGGUAGUUUCUGUCUAUGAUGGUUUAUUUUUAUUUUUAUUAUAUAUUUUAAUUUUUUUUAAUUCUUUAUUUUUCUUGUGCAUGUUAAUACAGUUAACAUUUUGCCUUGCGAUGCCACAACAGCAUUAGCAGGCCAGUUAGGUACAGUGGAAUUGACAUGGCAUGCGGUUUGAAAGCACAUUUUUAUAUUGAUAUCAGAGUUGUAACGAUUAUGUCAAAAUAAGAGAUGCGAUUUUAAACUAAAGGGUAUGAUAAUUCAAGUUUAGAUUAAUUUUUAACGUUUACACAACUAUACAUUAACAUCGCUUUAGUUCUUUAAAAUAAGAGGGCUUAAACGUGUUAGAUAACGCUUCAUAUUACAGCACUAUUGGGCUUAUUUGUGCAUAAGUGAGAGAUACGCAAUUUAUAUACUAGCAACAGGUCUGAUGUGUGAUAACACUGAUUAAGUAAAACAUUAAGGCUCACAUAAUGUAAGACUAGUCUCGUUGCUAGGAUUUGCAUAUAUGAGAGUGAUGUACAGCAUGGGGGACUCAGUGCACAGCUACAUUAAUAUGAGACAAAAUGUGAGAAAAAAUGGUGAGAGGAAAAACAUAAAAAUAAGGGAAGAAGAAGAAAUCUUGAGCUGUGCCCAUAGUGAUAGCUGCUCAGAGUGUGAAGAGGUCGUUGUUACUUAUGUAGAAGACAGAAGGGACAGGAGCCAUCCCCAUGAUCCGCAGCACAGUCCCCGGGGGAUUCCCACAGACAGUUCAUGCUUAUCUGACCUCGAUCUACUAAGCCUUUGGCUUGACAAGAGUGGGUCCAGCAUAAUAUAUAAGGAUGAGUCCAUCAUAUUGCUUGGUGAGAGGGGUGAGUGUGUUUAAUCCCUUGCUGCUUCCCAUUCCUCCAUGGGAGAUAGCUGGAGCACAGGAGUGUCUGUCUGUGCGGCAGGGUUGGUAGUGUUGCGUGGUGAGGGGUCAGGAAGCAGACACCGGCUGUUCGUCACUGCUGGAUCCGUUUGCAGGUCGGGAAGCUUAGGUGCGUUUGUGUUGGGGAACCCCUCUGCCUCACCAUCAUCCGUGCUUCCCCAAGAUUUUCAGUCAGCUGAGCCUUGAAGGUUUCUGGCUUUGCCGCCAUUUCGGUUUUGCCCGCCAUGACUGCCAUUUUGUUAAUGGAGGGUCUUCCUCGCUCCAGGUGCCUAGGGUUGCGGGAACAGUCUCCUGGGACCGGGAUGACCCCCACUGAUCCAAAGGGGGGUGAUACGGGGCCCCUACCAUGUGGCGUCAGAGUUCCGAGGGUAAACCGCAGAGUAGGAUAGCGAGGUGGCGGCUGUCCACCUCACUCACCGCCCGGAUAGGCCCCAGAUGUGGCUGUGCCUUUUCCGAGGUCAAAUCGCUUGUGGUCUGGUUGGCCUCAGCACCAGCCCCUCUUUGCCCACAGGACCGUUGCUUCCAGACUGCAGAUAAGUAGUUUUGUGUGUUUUACAAGCUUUAAGGUCGUUUUUCUGCAGGAGCUCGCCUUGUGUGUGACCUCUCAGCAUGGCGGUCGGGCCCUGCCCCCCUAUAUUUAUUUUUUACAGUACUACUAUUGUUUCUUUGUACUGAGAUGCAGUUUAUCCUCAUUCUAUAGUGCAGCUUAUUUUCAUGUCAUACUCUCCCUCAGACUUUCUGUAUCAAGUAUAAACACUUGUAACUGAUUGUCAUGUUCUCCCUUUUAAGCUAGCAAAUCACAAUAUACAACUUGGUAGAAAUAAAGGAACAGGAAAGGAGAAAUCAGUGCAGAAAGCCCUCUUUCUUUUAUUUACUGCCAAAUUAAGAUAAAGGUUACGAAAACAAUAAUUGGAUAUUCAACAAACAUAAACAAUAUCAAAGAGUUGAAAUUAAUAUUUAAUGCUGUGAGGUUUACCUUUAAAUGAUGAUAAUUGGAGGUUUUAGAUUACGGAUCAUACUAAUUCAAAAUGCAUGUGUAUUCCUAAUUUCACAAGCCAUUUAACACCUUCAUUUCUGGACUCCCACCUUUAUCUAAUAAGAAAGCAACUGCUCUCAAAGUUCUUUUUUCUUUAGCAAUUACAUUUGUAGUUGGAUCUAGACUUUGAAUUUUUUCCACAAAUUAAUUAAUUAACCCUGGGCAUUGAUUGUACUUAACAUCAUUAAUAACAGUAUCAUUGUUAUUAUGCCAUGCAAUUGUAUACAUUUUACAUUAACCAGAAAGUAAAAUAGAUUUGAUUUAGUCCAUUAAAUAAUGUCCUCUCUAAUUGAAUCCAUGAGCACAGUCUCUUUGUCCAUAAUGUCCUUUGAAAGUCCAAACAAUUUGUCCUUUUUAAAAAGCAAACAUUUUUUGUCCUGAAUAAACAUGACUGGUUCUGUAAUAAAAAAAAGCAGAUGGCAGUCUGCUAGUUUUAUACAUUAGUAAGUUUCUUAAACAUUAGUAAGUUUACAUUGAUCACUAUGCACAAUAAUUGACUUACUACAUUUUCUACCAACAUUUGUUUUUUUUGGGGGGGUGAGGGGGGUUUGAACCUACUUACUUUCAAGGGAUCUGCAACUUGCUUUGAAGGGACCUGGUGUUUUCAAUGAUUUUACCAUCACCUUAUUCUCUAGUUUAAACGUAUAUGCAUAGUUUCCCAGUGCUACAUAUUUAAAGGGACACUGUAGGCACCCAGACCACUUCAGCUUAUUGAGGUCGUCUAGGUGCUUUUUCCCUUUUGAACAUAGUGCUACAAUGUUAAACACUGCAGUUCCAGAGAACUGCAAUGUUUAUAUUGCAGCACUAGGUCUGCCCUCAGUGGCUGUCUACCAGACAGCAACUGGGGGCGCUUCCAGAAUCGUAACAGACGUUUGGUCCAUUAUCUAACAUUGGACGUCCUCAUGCUCUACAUGAGGACGUCAGAUUUUCCGCAUAACAAAGCAUUGAUUCAAUGCUUUCCUAAGCGGGGUUUGCCACGCAUGCGCAUUAGACCCUGUUUGUCGCAGGGUGAAGGAGGGCGCGGAGCUUCCACACAGCACCGAGUAAUAUCGUCACUGGGAUAAGUUAAGUAAAUAAAGGGUUUUUAACCCUCUAUUUACUAGUGAAGGGGGCGCAGGGCAAGGGGGAGGUAGAGGGAUCGGUAGUGCCAGGAAUACAGUUUUGUAUUCAUGGCACUACAGUAUCCCUUUAACCCUUUGUUUACCAGAAGAGACAAUAUUUGAAGCAGCAAAUUUUAAAACUGAUAGCAGCUGUUCCUGAGAUGUUUGUCACACCAAAGUUCCAAUAAUCAAAUCAGAUUGUAUUGCAGCUAAAAAUGUAUAUUUAUUCAAACAUACACACCAUGAGAAAAUAACACAAAGUCUUUGCACACAUCUGGACCAAUACAGCAAUGUGUAAGCACUUCAAGAUAGUAUUCAUUUUUGUUGUUAUAAGUAUUGGUGAGGAAUUUCUAACUGUAAAUGUUUUUAUAUGUCUAAAAUUCAGUUACUUACGAGGCGUACACAUAAGAUUACCUGACACUUUAAAAUAUGUGGCCAUCAUAGAAAAAGGUUGUGGCUUAACCAUUCUGUCCAAUCUCUGAUUAGAGCCAGACAUUAUAAAAAUGGUUAGGAAAUAGGGGUAGGUGAUGUAUAGAGUCCCACAAGGGGAAACUAACAUCAGGAGAGCGCCACUGUUUAAGAAAUGAGGAAGGGGGGCCCUACCUUUAAUCAAUCUAAGGAUAAAAAGGGAUAUGCAAACAGAAAGUAUAACUUGAAAAAAGGGAGACAUACUAAAUGGUGCCCAGGGGAUCAAUUGUCUGGAGUACUAACUAGCAUCUACGUUCAGUUCCCCUAGUGUCCUCAUUGGAGCUCCCUAUUAGGUGGUUAUAGUGGUGCAGCUCAUGAGCUCUUGACUUGUAUCCGGACUCCUGACCUGCACUCUGUUUACUUUAUUUCUCCAUUUUGUGUUUUAUACAAAUGGUUAUACUUGGGGGGUAAAAUAUAAUUUACACAAAGGUCUUUUUGUUUACAUGAUUAAAUGAAUUUCUUCAAAAAGAAACUUCCUAAAACACAUGGAAGUCUUGCUUGCAAUACUAGGUCAAAAGGUAAUAUCAACAGGCUUUCAUCAAUCAUUAUCUCAACCAGAACCAUAUGUGGUGAACAUUGGUAAACAAAUACAUAGGAUCUCUCAGUUCUUGUGUCUGAAAGUAUUUUAAAAUGAAAUUAAUUUCAACUAAUACAAAACUUAUUAUAUUCAUAUCACAAAGAUAAAAUCCUACAACACAUCAGAUAUUUAAAAUUUAAUAAAUAUAUUUCAUAACCCAGUGCAGGUGUUCCCCUUUUAUUCACACUCUAUGCAGUGGGACAUGCAAAUUCUAAACAUGCAAGGUUUUGGACUGAAAAAAUUCAAUUGCAGAGUCUAGAUCUGGAAUUAGACAUAAUCUGUGCCGUGGUUGGUACUUGAGAUUGUUUAGAAAGGAUUGAAGAUUACAUUUCUUGAAAUCCCUGGUGAUUAUAAUCUUGGUAGAGAAUUUAGUGGCCUUUAUUUUGCGUAUUCAGUACACUAAACAGUGGUCACUGAAACUGUUAGUGAGAACUACCACCUACUGGAUUCUAUCAGGACAACUGGAUAUAAUCUGAUGUAGCAAGGUAUGGUUAUGGCUUAUCAUCUUAAUGAGCGUUGGGGAGGAAAUUAAUUGUGUUAACUGCAACAUGAUUUAUUAUUUUUAGGAUUCAGCAAAUCAUUAUUAACAUCUCCAAAAAUCAACAGUUCACUUUUUUGGUUUUGAGCUACAGUUUCACAAAGGAAUUGGGCUAUGUCUUAAAGUAAUGCACUCGGAAGCUAGGUGGACAUUAAAUUCCUGCAACAAUGAUAGUUUUACUGAAAGGGAUCUUGAUUGUGUCAGAGAGGAAAUCAAGGGUGGCAGGGGAGCUAUAGGUUUUUUUUUUUUUUUUUUAAAGGGUGAACUUUAGAUACAAUCACAAGAAAUUAUGCAUUCCCAAAGGAAAGAUCAAAUUAUUUUCCAAUUUAAGAUGAAAAACAGACUAAGUUGGAUUAAUAACUCAUAAGCUAAAAACAAAAGAAUACGAGAAUGUUGUCUUCAAAAAGUAUUUACGUUUUUCAGCUAAUAAUUAAAAGAGAGUUAUUUUUAUAAUAAUCUAAUCUAUAAAUUGCAUAGGAUAGGUACAUGCUUCUAUUAUAGAACUCAGUCUUCUCUCCUCUCAACUGUUUCUGGUGUGUUAUUGUGUUUUGUUUGUAAAUGUCUAUGCAUGCAAAAGUGUGGAUGUAAUUAAUUACUGUGGAAACAAAAUAAAGAUUAUUAAGAAUAAUAACAUUCAAUAUUUUAUGUAACCACAAAGAGCACUAUUUACUUUGUUCUUAAUUCAAGAUCAUGAGAUAACAUGAAUACCAAUAAGAGAUAAGCCGAGAUGUAACUUUAUUUUUAAUAGUUCAAAUGUUUUGGAUUGUGAUAACGUUGAAAAUACACAAAAACACAAUUCUAGCCUGAGUUCAGGAGGUGUAAUGGGAUGAAUAAAUGGCUGUGAUUAUAACUGAUGAAUUUUACUGGUAAAACUAACAUGAAUGUACUUUAGUUUCAAAUUACAUGUCACACAAUAUAAUAUAUAUAAUUUAACAUAAUAAUAAUAAUAAUAAUAAUAUCUUAAAAAACAGAACUUAAACAAGUUGCAGAACAACUGGCAAUGAUGUCAAACCUUUUUUUUCUUUUCUUUUUGUAAAAUAUGCUUUAAAAUAGUUUUUUCCUCAAUAGGAAUAGAAAUAAUCUAGUGAAAAAAAAGGCCUGUCACAUUUAUUCUAGAUCUCCCUUAGAACCAGGAACUGCUUGUGCCAGCAGGUAAACAAAAAAGCAUAUAGGAUACAAUACAAUAGCUAUAAUGAAGCACAGUAUUCAAUAGCUAUACAUUCUAAUUACUGAUGAAAAGAAACCAGCUCAGUACUGUUUUCAGCAUCAGCAAGGUAAACAGUAUAUAAAGGCUCUUCAUUCUGUGUAACAGCACAACUUGCAUGAGCAGAUCAACCAUCACUGAAAAUGGGAAAGGUAAGAUGAUCUGAAUAUUGUAAAUAUUUGCAACACAAGAAAUUUUGGAAACAAUAAACAUAUUUCUUUUUUUAAAAUGAACCAAACAAAUUCAAAUUUGAAAUGCUUACACUGAAUGCCAGCAAACUUUAUCCUAUACAAUAUAUCCUAUCCUAUCCAAUAUACUGUGGUGAGUUUAUCUAGGCCAGAAACAUGACAACAUAAUAUUCCAUAAACUAGUUUUGGACAUUUGCCGCCUCAUCAAAUACAAAUUCAUCAGAACACAUGCUUCACAUGUUUACUUUUUUCAGACUCAAGAUUAAGAUUUUUUCAGUUUUUGAAAGUACUUUCUAGUGAAUGCCACUAUUAACCGUAAUAAAUUGCUAUAAUUAUGUGAAAGUGAAUGCAAGUUCACCAAUCUAAAAAAACACAAAAUGUACCAAAAACAUAUAUUCCAAUUCGGUCCUAAACUUAGAUGUUUAACACCUACACUUUAUUAUUUGAACAGGAUAAUAGUGGAUGUUUUUAGGAAUCUAUAGCAUCAAGUAAUCAAACCAGUAACUAUUUUUUAAAUGAAAUUAUUAACCACUAAAACAAUAAUAAACUAAAAAAUCUAAAAUGUUCAAAUGCAUGGUUGUUUCACAGAUUGUCUUCUACGAGGAUCGUAACUUCCACGGCCGCUCUUAUGAGUGCAACUCUGAGUGUCCAGAUAUGUCCUCAUAUUUUCAGCGCUGUAAUUCCAUCCGAGUGGAAAGUGGAAACUGGAUUCUGUAUGAGCACCCCAACUAUAGAGGACACCAGUAUUACCUUAGCAGGGGAGAAUAUCCUAAUUUCCAGCAAUGGAUGGGUUUCAAUGACUCCAUCAGAUCUUGUCGUAUUAGCCCACAGGUAAAGAUAUUUACCAAAAUAGUUAAGAACCUUACAUAAAUAUGAUGCAGUACAAAAAAACAUUAUUUUCCAAUUAUCAAUUAUUAUAGGUUUACCUUUGCAAAUAUGACCUUUUUUGACUACUAUUCAUUAUUUUAUGGAAUAUAUCUUCAAUUCACAAUUCCAUUGUCAGGUAACAGGUGGGUUAACAUGGAUAAAAAAAAAUAUAUAUAUAUUCCCGUAUAGAUUUUUGAUGUUUACAUGCAAUUAUACAAUUAUUUUACUCUUGUUUAUAAAUAUUUUUUUCUUCGUAAAGCACCAUGGAUCAUUCAGAGUAAAGGUCUAUGAGAGGGAGGAUUUCCGAGGUCAGAUGAUGGAGUUCACUGAAGAUUGUGUUAAUGUCAAUGAGAGAUUCCGUUACCAUGACAUCCACUCCUGCCAGGUGAUUGAUGGCUACUGGAUGUUCUAUGAGGAACCAAAUUACAAAGGACGCCAGUAUUACCUGAGACCUGGAGAGUACAAAAGAUAUACUGACUGGGGUGCCAUGAGCCCAAGAAUUGGCUCAUUCAGGAGACUUCAUCAUUUCUAAUAAGUUGUAUUUAUUACUAAAUCAGCAUAUCAUUAAGAAUAUAAUAAAAGCUUCAAAAAAUAUCUUUAAGGUCUAUAUUUUUUUCAUUUUCUAUUUAAGUUGUGGUUUUAUACCUUUUACUUUACAUGCAAAAUGCAAACACUUAUUUUAAACCACAGUUCAGUAAAUAAAUUAUUAAUAUAACAGUGGUUCCUAUAAAAACAAAUAAUGAGUACGUAAUAAGGGGAAUUAUAUUAUUUUUUAGAUAUAAUCCCUCAGGAAGUUAAAGUUGUGACAGACAAAUUACUUAUAGCUUUUUUUACUGAAGGUGGUUUGAACAAAAAAAGUAAUAGUAUUUCUUAAAAGAAGAAUGAAAACAUUCUUUCAACAACUCUGUCAUGUAUCAAAUAAUAUAUACGUGUUGUUUUCUGGUAUGACUUUUUUUAAUGCUUUCUUUGCAGAAUAUAGUACAUUCUUAGACAAAUAUAUAUUUAUAUUUAUAUAUUUGUGUAUAUGUCCUAUAUGUAUAGGUCAACGGUAAUAGGGAUUCUUUGUGAGUUAGAAUAAUGGAAGAAAUAUGAUGAAAGAACUGGACAUCCAACCACAACCUUUUACGCUUCACAUGUUAAGACUCUACAAAAACUGCUGAAUUUGAAUAAGCAUUCAACAACACAGAACAUUCACUGAUUCUAAGGAAUCACAUAUCUGAAAGAUCCAUUUAUGUACAUGUUCAUAUUUAAUGGAACAUGUUCAAUGUGGAGAUCGUUUUUGUGAGCUAUCAUCAUUUCUAAUUUCCUUAAUUAAGCUAAGUUAGACUGUUGAAACUUCAAGCUGCAGAGUAAGAUUUGUCAUAGCAGAUUUAUGUUUAUGCAAAAGCACAUGCUUUGAAUGUAAGAAAUAAACAUAAAAAAAUGACAAAACAAGGCAACAUUUAGUAACCACCGACUUUUACAAGAUAAUACUAAUUAAACAGUAUUGUAACCUCUAAAAUUACAUGUAGGUGGGUGGGGGUAAUUUCCAGCAGACCAGAUAUUGUUUGGGAUCCAAGAUUCUCAGUAUUUUGGCAGCAAAAAACACAUUUACCUGUAUUUAUCUGUUUUCACAAGCUUAAAUAUUAACUUGACAGGAUUGGGGAAUGCUCUUAACAGCGGUAUCAGAUCCUGACCCAAGCUCACAACUUAUAGAUAUUAUGCUUAUGCAGCCGCCUUGUGCUUAAAAUGGCACAUUAAGUCAAAAGAGAAGUUCUUCUUGGGCGGGAUCCAUCUAAUCACCUACCACAACAUAGUUGCCAUCAUGCUAAUGGAUAAUAAGGAAGACCAAAUACAAAAGGGAAAUUAAAGCCCUACUGCGGGACAACAGGCAACAUUGAAGGACUGUGGUGAUAUCUGGAAAAGGCAAAUAUCAAAUCUGUUCACUUUCAUCCAUCACAGGGUAUGCCUGGUGGAGAAUGUGGGUUGUUUAAAAAAUGUGUGGGGUACAAGAGGAAUUUUUUUGGAAGAAUGAACACAUUUUAUUUCAUGCCUAUUAUGAACUGUUUUAUCUCAUAAACAAACAAACAAACUCCACUAGCAUUAAUGGAUUUUUUCACAUACUAGUAUAAGUUUCUUAAGCCACUGAAAUUCUUACAUAGAGACUUUGAGUUAUGUAUUUGUACAAUUCCUGACUGUCUAAGAACAGUCAGGAUAUUCUUUUGAAACCCAUUUGCUAACAUUUAAUUUGACACAAAUCACUCUGACCUUGAGACAAUUAUUGAAGCAUGACCAUAAGUCUGAGACCCUAAGGCAUCACAUUCUAAACUUCCCAUGAUCAUACAUGAGGAUGCCAUACAUUAUAUUAGGUACUUGUCAGAAGUGAAUGCUUUCCUAAGAAGACUAGAGACUCCUUUGUACACUAAUAAUCCUGGAGGGGUUACAACCAGAUCUCCCCAUUGAGGGGAUAUGGAGAAGAUAACUCAAUUGACCUUGUUUGUGCCCGUACUUUGCAAUAUUCCUGCAGUUUCAUAGAUGCUCAACCUUAUGACGUCCAUUUGACGGACUUGUGAGAUCCAAUUGACUGCUAUUAGCUAAUAUCUGAUUAUCAAAUGGCUAUUUUAAUUGAUCAUAUGUUACCACAGAGGAGUAACUACAGGUAGUUUCUGUCUAUGAUGGUUUAUUCUUAUUUUUAUUAUAUUUAUUUUUUAUAGUACUACUAUUGUUUCUUUGUACUGAGUAGCAGUUUAUCCUCAUUCUGUAGUGCAGCUUAUUUUCAUGUCAUACUCUCCCUCAGACUUUCUAUAUCAAGUAUAAACACUUGUAACUGAUUGUCAAGUUCUCCCUUUUAACCCCUUAAGGACGGAGCCAAAUGUACACGUUGUGAACAAAACAAAAUGUAAACAAAACCUGGCAUUUGCUCUACAUGUCUGUCCAACCGUAAUUCAUCUCUUUCAUAUUAAAUACACCCACCCUUAUUAUAUAUCAUUUUAUUCAGGUGAAACAGGGCUUUCAUUUAAUAUCAAAUAUUUAGCUAUGAAACAUAAUUUAAUAUGAAAAUAAUGGGAGAAAAUACGAUUUUUUUCUGAUUUUUUUAGUUCUACAUGACAUUUUAACGGUCAAUGUCAUAAUACUGUUUACUUUUACUGCAAUAAAAUACACAUAUUUGAAUUCAGCAAAGUCUCACGUGUAAAACAGUACCCCCUAUAUACAGGGUUUAUGGCGUUUUGGGAAGUUACAGGGUCAAAUAUAGCACGUUACAUUUGAAAUUGAAAUUUGCCAGAUUGGUUACGUUGCCUUUGGGACUUAAUAGUAGCCCAGGAAAGAAAUUUACACCCAUAAUGGCAUAUCAUUUGCAAUAGAAGACAACCCAAGGUAUUGCAAAUGGGGUAUGUCCAGUCUUUUUUAGUAGCCAUUUUGUCACAAACACUGGCCAAAGUUAGCGUUAGUAUUUGUUUGUGUGUGAAAAAUGCAAAACACGCCAAUUUUGGCCAGUGUUUGUGACUAAGUGGCUACUAAAAAAGACUGGACAUACCUCGUUUGCAAUACCUUGGGUUGUCUACUAUUGCAAAUGGUAUGCCAUCAUAGGGGUAAUUUUCAUUCUUGGGCUACCAUAGGGUCUCAAAGGCAACGUAACCAAUCUGGCGAAUUUUAUUGUGAAAAAAAUGAAACACAAGCCUAAUAUUUGAUGCUGUAACUUUUGAAAACACCAUAAAACCUGUACAUGAGGGGUACUGUUGUACUCGGGAGACUUCGCUGAACACAAAUAUUUGUGUUUGAAAACAGUAAAAAGUAUCGCAGCAAUAAUAUCGUCCGUGUAAGUGCUGUUUGUGCGUGAAAAAUGCAAAAAACUUCACUUUUACUGGCGAUAUCAUCGUUGUAAUACAUUUUACUGUUUUGAAACACUAAUAUUUGUGUUCGGCGAAGUCUCCCGAGUAGAACAGUACCCCCAUGUACAGGUUUUAUGGUGUCUUGGAAAGUUAUAGGGUUAAAUAUAGUGCUAGCAAAUUAAAUUCCCUUUUGCUUUCGGCAUGGGUUGUCAGGCAGUUCCCGCUAAUUGUAAUUAUUUAAGAUACCUAAUUAUGUAAAAAUAUUAUAUAAAUAUAUAUGUAGAAUUAAUAUAUGUAUAUAUAUAUAUAUAUAUAUAUAUAUACGUAUGUGAAUAUAUAUGUAUAUAUGUAUAUAUAAUUUUUUUUAAAUAUUUUUAAUUUAUAUAUAGGUAUAUAUAUAGUGAUAUAUACAUAUAUAUUUAUGUAUAUAGAUAUAUAUAUAUUAUUUCGUUCUAUGUGUAUUUUGAUAUAAAUAUAUAUAUAUUAAUAUCACAAUACAGUUAGAACGAAAUAACACACAUCUAUAUAUUUUUUAAUAAUUUUUUUAAAUAAUUUUUUUAAUUAAAUUUUUUAACGUAUUUACAAAUUAAUUUUUUUUAUAUUAUAUAUAUAUAUAUAUAUAUAUAAAACAAUAAUUAUAUAUAUAUUUAAUCAGUAUCAGUCUACAUGUAAUUUGAUAUUAAUAUAUAUAUAUAUAAUUAUAUAUAUAUUAAUAGUAAAAUACACCUAGACAGUGUAUGUGUGUGUAUGUAUAUGUGUAUAUAUAUAUACUUAGAUCAUAUAUAUACAAUAUAUAUGAUCUAAGUAUAUAUUUUUUUUUUUACACUUAUUUAACUUUUAUUAAUUUAAUUUAAUUUGAUUUCCAGCCAGCAGGGGGACCACUUGUCAUUACAAGCAGCCCCACUGCUGGCAAUGCAGGAGGCAGCUAACCCUGCCUUGUGAUUGUGAGGUCCUCGCAAGGACCUCACUCUCACAUGGCUGGGGGGGCUGCCAGGAGGUCGGACGGGCGGCGGGGGCUCCCUGGGUGUCCCCCCAACUGCGAUCGCCAGUGUGGUAUCGCCGGCGUGGGAUCGCCGGCGACCGGGUAAGUAUAGAAAGACCGGAGGACGUACUAUUACGCCCGGCGGCGUUUAGAGCCACCUAAAAUAAGGGGUUAAGCUAGCAAAUCACAAUAAAGAACUGCAAUGUUUAUAUUGCAGCUCUAGGUCUGCCCUCAGUGGCUGUCUAACAGAGAGCAACUGGGGGCGCUUCCAGAACCGUAACAGACUUUUGGUCCAUUAUCUAACGCUGGACGUCCUCACGCUCUACAUUGGGACGUCAGAUUUUCCCCAUAACAAAGCACUGAUUCAAUGCUUUCCUAAGGGGAGGUCUAAUGUGCAUGCGGCGUUUGCCGCACAUGCGCAUUAGACCCUGCUUGUCGCGGGGUGGAGGAGGGGGCGGAUCUUUCACACAGCACCGAGGAAUAUCGGCACUGGGAUAAGUUAAGUAAAUAAAGGGUUUUUAACCCUACAUUUAGUAGGGAAGGGGGUACAGGGCAAGGGGGAGGUAGAGGAAUCGGUAGUGCCAGGAAUAGAGCUUUGUAUUCCUGGCACUACAGUAUCCCUUUAACAAAUUGUUUACCAGAAGAGACAAUAUUUGAAGCAGCACAUUUUAAAACUGAUUGCAGCUGUUCCUGUAAUACUUUCAACUAUUCAGCAUGUCCUGAUGCAAAUUUGAAAGUACUUGGAACAAAAGGUUCAUUGGGGAAAGUGAUUGGCAUUGUUCUGCCUGUCAUUAACUCAUGAGGUGACACUUGCGUUUUAGAGUUUGGAGUUGCACGAAUAUACAUUAAUACUCCUAGUAAAUGUGUUACCCAACUACUCCCUUUAACUACAAGCGUUUAUUUUACAAUUUAAAUGUUAAUGUAAAACAAUUUAAAUAGAGUUCCAUGGUCAUUUUGCCACAGAUACUCUCUGUAACUUUGGUUUCUAGUCUUUAGGUCUUGGAUUAAAUUGAGCACAUAUGAGACACUCCUGUACUAUAUGUAUACAUCAUUCUUUUAAAUUAGGAUGAUACCAUUUAGUUUGCAGGAUCUUAAACAGUUUUUCUGUACAGACUUAAAUCCUGCCCGCAUUCUCCAUCAUUAAAUGUAGGAAAUUAGCUGUUCCUGAGAUGUUUGUCACACCAAAGUUCCAAUAAUCAAAUCAGAUUGUAUUGCAGCCAAAAAUGUAUAUUUAUUCAAACAUACACACCAUGAGAAAAUAACACAAAAUAUUUGCAAACAUCUGGACCAAUACAGCAAUGUGUAAGCACUGCAAGAUAGUAUUCAUUUUUGUUGUUAUAAGUAUUUGUGAGGAAUUUCUAACUGUAAAUGUUUUUAUAUGUCUAAAAUUCAGUUAUUUACGAGGCGUUACCUGACACUUUAAAAUAUGUGGCCAUCAUAGAAAAAGGUUGUGGCUUAACCAUUCUGUCCAAUCUCUGAUUAGAGCCAGACAUUAUACAAAUAGUUAGGAAGUAGGGUUAGGUGAUGUAUAGAGUCCCACAAGGGGAAACUAACAUCAGGAGAACACCACAGUUUAAGAAAUGAGGAAGGGGGGCCAUACCUUUAAUCAAUCUAAGGAUAAAAAGGGAUAUGCAAACAAAAAGUAUAACUUGAAAAAAGGGAGACAUACUAAAUGGUGCCCAGGGAAUCAAUUGUCUGGAGUACUAACUAGCAUCUACGUUCCAGUUCCCCUAGUGUCCUCAUUGGAGCUCCGUAUUAGGUGGUUACAGUGGUGCAGCUCAUGAGCCCUUGACUUGUAUCCGGACUCCUGACCUGCACUCUGUUUACUUUAUUUCUCCAUUUUGUGUUUUAUACAAAUGGUUAUACUUGGGGGGUAAAAUAUAAUUUACACGAAGGUCUUACUGUUUACAUGAUUAAAUUAAUUUCUUCAAAAAGAAACUUCCUAAUACACAUGGGAGUCUUGCUUGCAAUACUAGGUCAAAAGGUAAUAUCAACAGGCUUUCAUCAAUCAUUAUCUCAACAAGAACCAUAUGUGGUGAACAUUGGUAAACAAAUAAAUAGGAUCUCUCAGUUCUUGUGUCUGAAAGUAUUUUAAAAUGAAAUUAAUUUCAACUAAUACAAAACUUAUAAUAUUCAUAUCACAAAGAUAAAAUCCUACAACACAUCACAUAUUUAAAUUUCAAUAAAUAUAUUUCAUAACCCAGUGCAGGUGUGUUCCUUUUAUUCACACUCUACGCAGUGGGACAUGCAAAUUCUAAACAUGCAAGGGUUUAGACUGAAAAAAUUCAAUUGCAGAGUCUAGAUCUGGAAUUAGACAUAAUCUGUGCCGUGGUUGGUACUUGUGAUUGUUUAAAAAGGAUUGAAGAUUGCAUUUCUUGAAAUCCCUUGUGAUUAUAAUCUUGGUAGAGGAUUUAGUGGCCUUUAUUUUGCGUAUUCAGUACACUAAACAGUGGUCACUGAAUCUGUUAGUGAGAACUACCACCUACUGGAUUCUAUCAGGACAACUGAAUAGAAUCUGAUGUAGCAAGGUAUGGUUAUGGCUUAUCAUCUUAAUGAGCGUUGGGGAGGAAAUUAAUUGUGUUAGCUGCAACAUGAUUUAUUAUUUUUAGGAUUCAGCAAAUCAUUCUUAACAUCUCCAAAAAUCAACAGUUCACUUUUUUGGUUUUGAGCUACAGUUUCACAAAGGAAUUGGGCUAUGUCUAAAAGUAAUGCACUCGGAAGCUAGGUGGGCGUUAAAUUCCUGCAACAAUGAUAGUUUUACUGAAAGGGAUCUUGAUUGUGUCAGAGAGGAAAUCAAAGGUGGCAGGGGAGCUAUAGUUUUUUUAAAAGGGUGAACUUUAGAAACAAUCCCACGAAAUUAUGUAUUCCCAAAGGAAAGAUCAAAUUAUUUUCCAAUUUAAGAUGAAAAACAGACUAAGUUGGAUUAAUAACUCAUCAGCUAAAAACAAAAGAAUACGAGAAUGUUGUCUUCAAAAAGCAUUUACGUUUUUCAGCUCUAAUAGUUAAAAGAGAGUUAUUUUUAUAAUAAUCUAGUCUAUAAUUUGCAUAGGAUAGGUACAUGCUUCUAUUAUAGAACUCUUCUCUCCUCUCAACUGUUUCUGGUGUGUUAUUGUGUUUUGUUUGUAAAUGUCUAUGCAUGCAAAAGUGUGGAUGUAAUUUUAUUACUGUGGAAACAAAAUAAAGAUUAUUAAGAAUAAUAACAUUCAAUAUUUGAUGUAACCACAUUUACUUUGUUGUUAAUUCCAUGAUCAUGAGAUAAUGUGAAUACCAAUAAGAGAUAAGCCGAGAUGUAACUUUAUUUUUAAUAGUUCAAAUGUUUUGGAUUGUGAUAACGUUGAAAAUACACAAAAACAGUAGGUGUAAUGGGAGGAAUAAAUGGCUGUGAUUAUAACUGAUGCAUUUGACUGGUAAAACUAACAUGAAUGUACUUUAGUUUCAAAUUACAUGUCACACAAUAUAAUAUAUAUAAUUUAACAUAAUAAUAAUAAUAAUAAUAACACUUAUAUCUUAAAAAACUGAACUUAACUUGCAAAACAAUUGGCAAUGAUGUCAAACCUUUUUUCUUUUCUUUUUGUAAAAUAUGCUUUAAAAUAGUUUUUUCCUCAGUAGGAAUAGAAAUAAUCUAGUUAAAAAAAAGGCCUGUCACAUUUUCUCUAGAUCUCCCUUAGAACCAGGAAAUGCUUGUGCCAGCAGGUAAACAAAAAAGCAUAUAGGAUACAAUACAAUAGCUAUACUGAAGCAGAGUAUACAAUAGCUAUACAUUCUAAUUACUGAUGAAAAGAAACAAGCUCAGUACUGUUUUCAGCAUCAGCAAGGUAAACAGUAUAUAAAGGCUCUUCAUUCUGUGCAACAGCACAACUUGCAUGAGCAGAUCAACCAUCACUGAAAAUGGGAAAGGUAAGAUGAUCUGAAUAUUGUAAAUAUUUGGAACACAAGAAAUUUUGGAAACAAUAAACAGUUUUUUGUUUUUUUUUAAAUAAACCAAAACAAAUUAAAAUUUUAAAUGCUUACACUGAAUGUCAGCAAACUUUAUCCUAUACAAUAUAUCCUAUCCUAUACAAUAUAUCCUGGUGAGUUUAUCUAGGCCAGAAACAUGACAACAUAAUAUUCCAUAAACUAGUUUUGGACAUUUGCCGCCUCAUCAAAUACAAAUUCAUCAGAACACAUGCUUCACAUGUUUACUUUUUUCAGACUCAAGAUUAAGAUUUUUUUCAGUUUUUUAAAGUACUUUCUAGUGAAUGCCACUAUUAACCGUAAUAAAUUGCUAUAAUUAUGUGAAAGUGAAUGCAAGUUCACCAAUCUAAAAAAACACAAGAUGUACCAAAAACAUAUAUUCCAAUUCGGUCCUAAACUUAUAUGUUUAACACCUACACUUUAUUAUUUGAACAGGAUAAUAGUAGAUGUUUUUAGGAAUCUAUAGCAUCAAGUAAUCAAACCAGAAACUAUUUUUUAAAUGAAAUUAUUAACCACUAAAACAAUAAUAAACUAAAAAAUCUAAAAUGUUCAAAUGCAUGGUUGUUUCACAGAUUGUCUUCUACGAGGAUCGUAACUUCCAGGGCCGCUCUUAUGAGUGCAACUCUGAGUGUCCAGAUAUGUCCUCAUAUUUUCAGCGCUGUAAUUCCAUCCGAGUGGAAAGUGGAAACUGGAUUCUGUAUGAGCACCCCAACUAUAGAGGACACCAGUAUUACCUUAGCAGGGGAGAAUAUCAUAAUUUCCAGCAAUGGAUGGGUUUCAAUGACUCCAUCAGAUCUUGUCGUAUUAGCCCAGAGGUAAAGAUAUUUACCAAAAUAGUUAAGAACCUUACAUAAAUAUGAUGCAGUACAAAAAAACAUUAUUGUCCUAUUAUUAUAGGUUUACCUUUGCAAAUAUGACCUUUUUUGACUAUUAUUCAUUAUUUUAUGGAAUAUAUCUUCAAUUCACAAUUCCAUUGUCAGGUAACAGGUGGGUUAACAUGGAUAAAAUAUAUAUAUAUAUAUAUAUAUAUAUAUAUAUAUAUAUAUAUAUAUAUUCCCGUAUAGAUUUUUGAUGUUUACAUGCAAUUAUACAAUUAUUUUACUCUUGUUUAUAAAUAAUUUUUUCUUCGUAAAGCACCAUGGAUCAUUCAGAGUAAAGGUCUAUGAGAGGGAGGAUUUCCGAGGUCAGAUGAUGGAGUUCACUGAAGAUUGUCCUAAUGUCAAUGAGAGAUUCCGUUACCAUGACAUCCACUCCUGCCAGGUGAUUGAUGGCUACUGGAUGUUCUAUGAGGAACCAAAUUACAAAGGACGCCAGUAUUACCUGAGACCUGGAGAGUACAGAAGAUAUACUGACUGGGGUGCCAUGAGCCCAAGAAUUGGCUCAUUCAGGAGACUUCACCAUUUCUAAUAAGUUGUAUUUAUUACUAAAUCAGCAUGUCAUUAAGAAUAUAAUAAAAGCUUCAAAAAUUAUCUUUAAGGUCUAUGUUUUCUUCAUUUUCUAUUUAAGUUGUGGAUUUAUACCUUUUACUUUACAUGCAAAAUGCAAACACUUAUUUUAAACCACAGUUCAGUAAAUAAAUUAUUAAUAUAACAGUGGUUCCUAUAAAAACAAAUAAUGAGUAUGUAAUAAAGUGAAUUAUAUUAUUUUUUAGAUAUAGUCCCUAAGGAAGUUGAAGUUGUGACAGACAAAAUACUUAUAGCUUUUUUUACUGAAGGUGGUUUUGACCCAAAAAAGUAAUAGUAUUUCUUAAAUGAAGAAUGAAAACAUUAUUUCAACAACUCUGUCAUGUAUCAAAUAAUAUCCUAUGGUGUUGUGUUCUAGUAUGACAUUUUUUUUUUAAUGCUUUCUUUGCAGAAUAUAGUACAUUCUUAUACAAAUAUAAAUUUAUAUUUAUAUAUUUGUGUAUAUGUCCUAUAUGUAUAGGUCAAAGGUAAUAGGGAUUCUUUGUGAGUUAGAGUAAUGGAAGAAAUAUGAUGAAAGACCUGUACAUCUAACUACAAACUUUUACGCUUCACAUGUUAAGCCUCUACAGAAACUGCUAUAUUUGAAUAAGCAUUCAACAACACAUAACAUUCACUGAUUCUAAGGCUUCACAUAUCUGAAAGAUCCAUUUAUGUACAUGUUCAUAUUUAAUUUAACAUGUUCAAUGUGGAGAUCGUUUUUGUGAGCUAUCAUCAUUUCUAAUUUCCUUAAUUAAGCUAAGUUAGACUGUUGAAACUUCAAGCUGCAGAGUAAGAUUUGUCAUAGCAAAUGUAUGUUUAUGCAAAAGCACAUGCUUUGAAUGUAAUAAAUAAACAUAAAAAAAUGAGAAAACAAGGCAACAUUUAGUAGCCACCGACUUUUACAAGAUAAUACUAAUUAAACAGUAUUGUAACCUCUAAAACUACAUGUAGGUGGGUGGAGGUAAUUUCCAGCAGACCAGGUAUUGUUUGGGAUCCAAGUUUCUCAGUAUUUUGGCAGCAAAAAAACACAUUUACCUGUAUUUAUCUGUUUUCAGAAGCUUACAUAUUAACUUGAAAGGUUGGGGAAUGGGUUUAACAGGGUAUCAGAUCCUUACCCUAGUUCACAACUUAUAGAUAUUAUGCUUAUGCAGCCACCUUGUACUUAAAAUGGCACAUUAAGUCAAAAGAGAAGUUCUUCUUGGGUGGGAUCCGUCUAAUCACCUACCACAACAUAGUUGUCAUCAUGCUAAAGGAUAAUAAGGAAGACCAAAUACAAUAGGGAAAUUAAAGCCCUUCUGCGGGACAACAGGCAACAUUAAAGGACUGUGGUGAUAUCUGGAAAAGGCAAAUCUGAAAUCUGUUCACUUUCAUCCAUCACAGGGCGUGCCUGUUGGAGAAUGUGGGUUGUUUAAAAAUGUGUGGGGUACAAGAGGAAUAUUUUUUGGAAGAAUGGACAAAUUUUAUUCCAUGCCUAUUUUGAACUGUUUUAUCUCAUAAACAAAAAAGGAAAUAGGUGUAGCGCUAUAUACAUACAUAUAAUAAUGUAGAACCUAAUAGGUUGACAAGGCGUCCUGAUGAAAGCAAUUCCAAUACUUAUUAUAAUCGACCUAAAACAAAAAAAGAACUCCAAUAGUGUAACACCGUAAAUAUAGAUGUAAUAAAAGUCAGAUAUAGCGAUAAACUCGCAUUCUCCUGAGCUUAUAGCCAAGCUCAGGAGAAUGUGAGUUUAUCGCUAUAUCUGACUUUUAUUACAUCUAUAUUUACGGUGUUACACUAUUGGAGUUCUUUUUUUGUUUUAGGUCGAUUAUAUUAAGUAUUGGAAUUGCUUUCAUCAGGACGCCUUGUCAACCUAUUAGGUUCUACAUUAUUAUAUGUAUGUAUAUAGCGCUACACCUAUUUCCUUUUUUGUAUCUCCUUUCAUAUUGAUGUAAUUAAGAAAGAUUACAUCUAGGUGUUAUAGCAGCUUGUUUAGUAGUUUUUGGACUAGAGAGUAUUAUAUUUUGUUAUAGCGCCAGUACAUUUCUUGUAUUUCUAUUUAUCUCAUAAACAACUCCACUAGCAUUAAUGGGUUUUUUUCACAUACUAGUAUAAAUGAAAUUCAUACAUAGAGACAUUGAGUUAUGUAUUUGUACAAUUUCUGACUGUCUAAGAACAGUCAGGAUAUUCUUUUGAAACAUUUAAUUUGCUAACAUUUAAAUUGAGACAAAUCACUCUGGCCUGGAGACAAUUAUUGAAGCAUGACCAUAAGUCUGAGACCCUAAGGCAUCACAUUCUAAACUUCCCAUGAUCACACAUGAGGAUGCCAUUCAUUAUAUUAGGUACUUGUCAGAAGUGAAUGCUUUCCUAAGAAGACUAAGGACUCCUCUGUACACUAAUAAUCCUGGAGGGGUUACAACCAGAUCUCCCCAUUGAGGGGAUAUGGAGAAGAUAACUCAAUUGACCUUGUUUGUGCCCGUACUUUGCAAUAUUCCUGCAGUUUCAUAGAUGCUCAACCUUAUGACGUCCAUAUCAUGGACUUGUGAGGUCCAAUUGACUGCUAUUAGCUAAUAUCUGAUUAUCAAAUGGCUAUUUUAAUUGCUCAUAUGUUACCACAGAGGAGUAACUACAGGUAGUUUCUGUCUAUGAUGGUUUAUUCUUAUUUUUAUUAUAUUUAUUUUUUAUAGUACUACUAUUGUUUCUUUGUACGGAGUAGCAGUUUAUCCUCAUUCUAUAGUGCAGCUUAUUUUCAUGUCAUACUCUCCCUCAGACUUUCUAUAUCAAGUAUAAACACUUGUAACUGAUUGUCAUGUUCUCCCUUUUAAGCUAGCAAAUCACAAUAUACAACUUGGUAGAAAUAAAGGAACAGGAAAGGAGAAAUCAGUGCACAAAGCACUCUUUCUUUUAUUUACUGCCAAAUUAAGAUAAAGGUUACUAAAACAAUAAUUGGAUAUUCAACAAACAUAAACAAUAUCAAAGAGUUGAAAUGAAUAUUUAAUGCUGUGAGGUUUACCUUUAAAUGAUGAUAAUUGGAGGUUUUAGAGUAUGGAUCAUACUAAUUCAAAAUACCUGUGUAUUCCUAAUUUCACAAGCAAUUUAACACCUUCAUGUCUGGACUCCCACCUUUAUCUAAUAAGAAAGUUCUUUUUUUUUUUAGCAAUUACAAUUGUAGUUGGAUCUAGACUUUGAAUUUUUUCCACAAAUUAAUUAAUUAACCCUUGGCAUUGAUUGUACCUAACAUCAUUAAUAACAGAAUCAUUGUUAUUAUACCGUGCAAUUGUACACAUUUUACAUUAACCAGAAAGUAAAAUAGAUUUGAUUUAGUCCAUGAAAUAAUGUCCUCUCUAAUUGAAUCCAUGAGCACAGUCUCUUUGUCCAUAAUGUCCUUUGAAAGUCCAAACAAUUUGUCCUUUUUUAAAAUCAAACAGUUUUUGUCCUGAAUAAACAUGACUGGUUCUGUAAUAAAAAAAAAACAGAUGGCAGUCUGCUAUUCUUAUACAUUAGUAUGUUUCUUAUACAUUAUUAAGUUUGAUCACUAUGCACAAUAAUUGAUUUACUACAUUUUCUACCAAAAUUUUUUGUUUGUUUUUUUUUCAAUUGAAAAUUUUUAUUUCUCGAAUUUGAAGAUUCGAGUUUUCAGAUAUUAACAAGAGAGUGGGGGUAGAAGGGUACAGAAUAAAGAAGAGGGUGGGGAAGGGGAUCGGUACAUUCAAGGUAAUCGAUUUAUACAUGUCAAUAACAAAGUUAUACAAAUAGUAUAAGGUAAUACGAAUAGUAUAAGAUAAUACGAAUAGUAUAAGGCAAUACAACUUCCAAAUAGUGGAAGGUAUUACAAAUAGUAUAAGGCAAUAUAACAUGUUAGUAGAGCAAUAGUGUUCCCACAUAUGUCCAGCUCUAAGGGAAGUCACCCUACAUUUCCGUUUUAUACCAAUUAAACUUGUUAUACCUUGGAAGCCUUAGGUUAUUGUCAUCUAUCAAGAGGUUUGGUGAGCCAGUUUUACAAAUGGCUUCCAGAUCUUAAUAAUCUGUGCAGUGAGCUCGUGGGAGGUGGAAGCUAAUAGCUCAAAUUUGUAAUAAAGAGUUAUCCUAUCAAGUAGGUCUUUUCGGGAAGGGCAACUGGUGGUUUUCCAGUUUUGGGCUAUGAGAUGUCGCGCUGCUAGAAUUAUUAAGGAUGCUAUCUUUUUGUCUGCUUUCUUCCAUUGUGUAGGGAAGAUCAGUAGGAGUGUUAGUGUCGGCGUUAGGGGUUCUUGAAGAUGGAGUAGUCGUUGCAGAAGUGAGUGAACCUGUGACCAGAGUGGUGAAAUCUCUUUACACUCCCACCAUACGUGCAUCAUGGUGCCUGUGUCUGACAAGCAUCUCCAGCAUGUUGAGUUUGUGUUGGGGUAUAUUUGGUGAAGCCUUUGGAGCGUGAGGUACCAUCUGUAUAACACUUUUUUAUGUGCUUCCACGUGUGAGAAACAAGAGGUGAGGCCUGAGAGAGCAGUGAGCGCCGAAAGCCAGUGUGAGUCCGUGAGUGUAGGUAUUCCCUCUUUUUCCCAUUUUUGUACAUAGGAGAAUGAGCGGGGGGUAUUAUAGUCAAGUGUGGUCCUAUAGCAUAGCGACAGGGCUUUGGGUUUUAGUGGAGACGUAUGGCAUCUGGAAAAGAUCUCUGUCAUGUCUGUUAGUCUAUAUGGUUGGAUCUGGGGAUUCAAGGUUACGUGAGUGGAGAUGACACUUUUUACCUGUAAGUAUUGAAAGAUACAAGAGUUAGGUAUGUUAUAUUGUAUUUGCAGGGCUGGGAAUGGCUUGAUUCCUUUUUGUGUGCAUAUGUCUUGGAUAAGUUUCACUCCAUACUUGGUCUAGGUCUUUAAGGACAACCAAGGUGUCAGUCUGGUCAAAGCUUCAAUCGGGGCCUGUAGGCAGAAUUUCCCUUUUUCGGUUAUAGUAGCCAUUAGCCUAUCCCAGUAUUUAAGCAUCAAUGCGGAGGUGGGGUACAGUGACAAUUUCGGUGGUCGAUGGAUCUUAGGGGACCACAUGGCGUGGAGUAGGGAGUGCGGUUUGGAUCUAUCGGAUUCCAUAUCAGCCCAUUGGAACGUGUGUUUCGGAGCGUGAUAUCGAAUAGCGGAGUCUAGAAUGGCAGCUUCAUAAUAUGUGGUUAACUUGGGCACCCCUAAACCACCUCUAGAUUGGAGCUGCUGCAGUAUGGAUACAUGUAAACGCGGUUUAGUUUUGUUCCAAAUGAAUCUGGCUAUUAUAGUUUGGAUGUUCUUGAGAGUCUGUGGGGGUACUUGUAUCGGGAGCAUUCGAAAUACGUAGAGGAUUUUUGGUAACAGCACCAUUUUCACGGUGUUUAUCCGUCCUAACCAUGAUAAGGGUACAUGUUUCCAGUGAUUGCAUAGUGAUUUACAAGUCUGUGAAAUCAGACCAUAGUUCAUUGACAGCGUUCUAUGGGGGUGUAACGCCAGUUUUACUCCUAAGUAUGUAAUAGAGUCCUGUCUCCAGUCAAAUCGAAAGGAUUGUCGGAGCAGGUUGACUUGUGUGUUUGGUAUGUGGAGGGGUAGUGCUUGUGUCUUGGUGUUAUUAAGUUUAUAGUACGAUAUUUUACCAUAGUCGUGGAGGAGGGAGAGGAGGCGAGGAAUUGUAUACGUCGGAUUUCCCACUGUCAAUAAAAUGUCAUCUGCGAACAUUGAUAGUUUAAAAGUCGAGGAGCCUAUGUCUAUACCUGAUAUCAAAGGGUCGUUUCUAAUUUUAUGCGCUAAAGGUUCUAGGGCGAGGAUGAAUAAAAGAGGGGAAAGGGGGCAUCCUUGCCUGGUGCCAUUAGAGAGAGCGAAAGGACGGGAGGUGAAGCCCGAGCUAGACACUCGUGCGGUUGGUGAUUUAUAUAGUGCCAGAAUACCUUGGGUCAUUUCUUGUGGGAAACCAUAUUUGUUUAAUACUGAUACCAUAUAAGCCCAGUUAAGUCGAUCAAAGGCUUUUUCAGCGUCUAAGGCCAACAAUAUGCUUUCAGUUCUUUGGUCCGCAAUGUGAGAGAGAAUGUUUAGGAUUUUUCUGGUAUUGUCGGAUCCUUGCCUGCCUUUAACAAAGCCUGUCUGAUCGUUGUGUAUGAUGCGGGUUAAUAUCGGGCUUAUCCUGUUAGCUAACAAUUUGGCAUAUAUUUUAGUGUCGCAGUUUAGCAAAGAUAUCGAUUGGAAAUUGGAGCACUAAGUCGGUGGUUUCCCAGGUUUUGGUAAGGUCGAAAUGUGGGCUUGUAGCAUUGCUGCAGGCAUGGAGCCCGUUUGGAAACAUCGGGUGAAGAAUGAUUUCAUGUAUGGUACAAGGGUGUCCCGAAAUGUAUAAUAAUAUAGGUUUGUAAAGCCAUCUGGGCCUGGGGAUUUGUGCUUUGGUAGUUGGGCGAGGGUAUCAAUUAUUUCCUGGUCUGAGAAGGGUUGAAUUAGGGCAUGACAUUCAGCUGGGGUGAGGGAUGCCAAUUCAAUAUCCUGCAGAAAUCGGUCUAUAUCCGUUUGCUUAGGGGGGGGACUGUCUUGUGACUUUGCUAGGUUAUAGAGGCCGCUAUAAUAUUGGCUAAACUCGUCUACUAUCUCUUGAGGGUCUACAAUUUUCUUGCCUUGGUUCGAAAUAAGGAAGGCGAUUUUCGACGAUGGGGAUCUUGCUUUAAGUUGCGCGGCCAGAGUUUUCCCUGCCCUGUUUCCGGUAUGGAAAAAUUUAUGUUUCAACUUCGCUAAGAGGUAGGUCGUUUUCUCCAUCUCUAUAUCUUUCAAGGUGGACUGUAGUUCACGUAUCCGUGUGGUGAUAGUGUGAGAUGGGCUUGUCUUGUUUGUGUGUGUGAGUGUGGCUAGUUCUUUAUGUGUAUCUACAUAACGUUUGGUUCUCUUUUUGUUGUUGUGGCUAGUGUGUUUAAUGAACUGCCCUCUAAGGACGGCUUUGUGUGCUUGCCACAGAGUGUCUAUAUUCAUCCCUUCUGUAUCGUUUAAUACAAAAUAUGAAUGGAGUUCUUUUUUGAAUUGUGCGACCAGUUCCUCGUCUUUCAAGAGGUAGUCAUUGAGGCGCCACGUGCGGGUCCCAGAGAUGGGGUAUUGUGUUGCUAGGGAUAAUGUAAUCGGGGCGUGGUCCGACCAUGUAAUAAUACCUAUGUCUGCUUUGACUAAUGUCGGAAUUAGAGUCGAGGGGAUAAGGAAGCGGUCUAUUCUGGAAUAUGUGUCAUGCACUUGGGAGUAAUGUGUAAAGUCCCUGUCUAGAGGAUGAAGGGUUCUCCAUGCGUCAUUAUAGUCGUGUAUACGUAGCGUUUUGUCUAGGAGGGAUAUGGAGCGAGUUCUUUGGUUCGUUGUUUGUCGCGAAAUUUUUGCGGAGGAAGUGGUGUCUAGAGCUUGGUCUAGAAUGAAAUUUGUGUCUCCCCCUAUAAUAACCUGUUCGAAGUGAUAAGCGGAUGCCAAAACUAAGAUGUGUUCAAUAAAGGUGUGGCAGUCGGUGUGUGGUCCGUAGAGAUUGAUUAAGGUAUAUUGUGCAUUAUUAAUAAUGCAUUGAAGUAGGAGGUACCGGCCUUUUUUGUCGCCUAUUUUUUUAACUAGUUGGAAUGUCACGUCUUUACUAACUAGGAUAGAGACGCCUCGUUUUUUUGUCUUGUAUGUGCUGUGGUAGUUUGUGGGGAAGUGUCUGGAGAAGAAUUUGUGUUGGUUGGAUGUUUGAAAAUGGGUUUCCUGAUAAAAUGCUAUAUGGGCUUUCUGUUUCUUUGCUUCUAAAAGGGCCAUACGUCUUUUGUGUGGUGUGUUCAACCCUUUGGCGUUUAUAGAUAGAAUGUUAAGUGUCAUGGUGUGUUGAUGUGGGAUCCUAGAGUGAGUUGCUGGACUAUCGUGGAUGGUAGGAGAGAGGAGAUGGUAGGUGACUGGUCCUGAGGUUUGGAUAUCGUAGCAUUAUCCAACCAAUGCGUAACUCGUUGGAUCUCUAGAGGGCAUGAGUGGGAUGACCUGUGCCCUGUGGAAGAAUCCUUGAUAUUUUUGUUGUGGUGGUACGCGAUCCCCUUGCGGGGAGGUAAGGGCGGGGAGUAAGGGGAGUAACUGGGAAAAUCAAACCAACUAUGUACAUUAAAAAGGUCUCUGCUGUGAGACCUGAUAUUACUGGUGUUAUUGGGCAUUGAAGCCCUUAUGUGGUGUGAGAGAACAUUUCCUAUAUAGAAAUCCAGACAUCUCCCUAGUUUGCGUGUAUCUUAGCGGCAGUGUGGCAGUGUGGCAAAACUAGCGGUCUAUAGCGGGCUAUAACCCAAACAUACGAUUUACCUUUGCCCCCAGGUCCUGAAACAACAUUUCAGUCAGUGUCAGAGUGUAUCCAGAGGCGGCUACAUAUCAUACAUGUGCAAAAUUAUACUUUGUAUCUGGUAUGUUAUAUACAGUAGCAAGUGCUUAUGGUGAGAAACAGGUCACCAACCAAACGAGAUGUUAUGGGAAAUCAAGUGGCAGUAGAAAGAGAUAAAGAUAUAUACAAAAUAAUAUUGAAAAUAUAUACAAGAAAAAAAAUAUAGAAUUGCACAGUAAAACUUGGUGUGGGCGAAUAGUAUUAGCCUCGUCAUGUUGUCCUGUGACAAGAGCCUGUCUAGUGUGAGAGGCUCGGGAUGAGGCUACGUGUAGUAUUAGGGCUAUGAGGUGCAUGAGCUCCGCUAGGCCUCUUACAUGUCUAGCGACAUUAUGGUUUUGCCCUGGGUAUGUGAUAGUCUCAGGGAUCUAGAGGGUCGUUAGGCAAAAGGGUGCGGUAUCCCCCUCACGUGGGAUAUCUAUGUUUGGGGAUAUCGCCCGAUUCAUUCCCUUUUUAGGUGUCAUGCUUCGGAGUACGGCUGGGGAGGGGCUCUUGUAAAGAGUGUCGCAGGGGACCUAGGUCCGUGGGCCUAAAACCUGUGACCCUCCAACUACUAAUGCCACAAAGCUCGAGGAGAACUAUACAUAUAUAACACAGUAAUUAGGUAUUACCAGUCCAUAGCAACUUUUACAACAUGUAUCGUGAGAGCUAGUCCAUUGGGCAAGGGUUUGCAUAGACUGAUACAGAGUGGUUCACUUAUCUGUGCGUCGGGUUUCCCAAUCUUGGGUGAUCUUUAAUGGUGACCUGGGUACAGAUUUUGCAGCCGUGCCAUCUGUGGGGUCUGUGUUGACAGGAAUAUUCCAGUCGGCCAGUGUUUUCUUCCCUUCUGCCAGGUUCACGAUGUGUCUUUCAUUACCGUUCCGUUUGACGAUGAGGCGUGUCGGGAAGCCCCACUUGUAGGGGAUCUCUGCCGCUCUUAAAGCGCUUGUAAUCGGUGCGAGGAUUCUUCUGGCUUGUAACGUGUGGGCUGAGAGAUCUGUAAACAAUAGAAUCUUGUUAUAUUCUUCAGGUAGGCUAGGCCGUUUUCUAGCGGCUGACAUUAUGGCCUCUUUAGUGGUGUAGUAAUGCACCCGUGUGAUGGUGUCUCUGGGAGCUGUCGGUGGUAGGUGCUGAGGCCUAAGUAGCCUAUGGAUCCUGUCCAAUAGUAACGCGGACUCUGUGAGAUCUGGGGCCAGUAAGUGGAAAAUCCGGCGCGCGUAGGCUCCUAGUUCGUGUGGGCCCACACUUUCUGGAAUGCCUCUAAUGCGGACAUUGUUCCUUCUGUCUCUGUCUUCAUGGUCGGCAAGUUUUGUAAGUAUCAUGUUGAUCUUAGUCUCCAUGGAGUCGAAGGCCGUCACCACAUUAUUAUGUGCUGUGAUGAUUUCUUCAGUUUUAUUUUCUAGGUAGUCUGUGCGGUCACCCAGUGCUUUAACGUCCGCUCUGAUUUCUUUUGAUAGCUGGGCGAAGUCCGCUCGUAGGGACGUUUGAAGUCCAUUAAGCAUCUUUUGAAUCGCUGAUUCCGUGGCCGGGAGGUCUCUGUGGGAGACCGACGUGAUAUCGCUCCGUCCGGAGCUCGAGGCUGGUGAUGUAGGCCUCUCGGCGCCAUCUUGUGAGCGACGGGGAGAGGAGGCCAUGGCCGAGAUUUGUAGGUUGGGGGCCUCUUUCGCCUUUGCUCUCUUCGGGAGGCGCUGUGCCAUGAUGGCUGGAAUGCUGGUAGCUUCUCAGCUUGUGGAGAAGGGGGUGAUCUCUCUUUGGAUGCUUGUCAAAUCGCUGCUUUGCGGGGAUCGCUCACGGAGCUGAACGUUCACACGUCUGUUCCCUUUGUUUGUUUUUUGAGUGUGUUUGAACCUGUAUUCUAUUUUUAUUUUUUUUAGAAUAACAUAAGGACCUUUUCCAACUUAUUUUCAAGGGAUCUGCAACUUGCUUUCAAGGGACCUGGUGUUUUCAAUGAUUUCACCAUCACCUCAUUACGUAUAUGCUUAGUUUCCCAGUGCUACAUAUUUAAAGGGACACUGUAGGCACCCAGACCACUUCAGCUUAUUGAGGUCGUCUGGGUGCUGUUUCCCUUUUGAACAUAGUGCUGCAAUGUUAAACAUUGCAGUUCCAGAGAACUGCAAUGUUUACAUUGCAGCACUAGGUCUACCCUCAGUGGCUGUCUAUCAGACAGCAACUGGGGGCGCUUCCAGAAUUGAACAGACUUUGGACCAUUAUCUAACGCUGGACGUCCUCACGCUCCACAUGAGGACAUCAGAUUUUCCCCAUAACAAAGCAUUGAUUCAAUGCUUUCCUAAGGGGAGGUCUAAUGUGCGUGGGGCGUAUGUCGCACAUGUGCAUUAGACCAUGCUUGUCGUGGGGUGGAGGAGGGGCGGAGCUUCAACACAGCACCGAGGAAUAUCGGCACUGGGAUAAGUUAAGUAAACAAAGGGUUUUUAACCCUCUAUUUACUAGGGAAGGGGGUGCAGGGCAAGGGGGAGGUAGAAGGAUCGGUAGUGCCAGGAAUACAGCUAUGUAUUCCUGGCACUACAGUAUCCCUUUAACUCAUUUUUUACCAGAAGAGACAAUAUUUGAAGCAGCACAUUUUUAAAACUGAUUGCAGCUGUUCCUGUAAUACUUUCAACUAUUCAGCAUGUCCUGAUGCAAAUUUGAAAGUACUUGGAACAAAAAGUUCAUUGGGGAAAGUGAUUGACAUUGUUCUGCCUGUCAUUAACUCAUGAGGGGACACUUGCAUUUUAGAAUUUGCAGUUGCACGAAUAUACAUUAAUACUCCUAGUAAUUUUGUUACCCAACUACUCCCUUUAACUACAAGCAUUUAUUUUUCAAUUUAAAUGUUAAUGUAAAUCAAUUUAAAUAGAGUUCCACGGUCGUUUUGCCACAGAUACUCUCUGUAAUUUUGGUUUCUAGUCUUUAGGUCUUGGAUUAAAUUGAGCACAUAUGAUUGUUAUUUUGCAGGAUCUUAAACAGGUUUUCUGUACAGACUUAAAUCCUGCCCACAUUCUCCAUUAUUAAAUGUAGGAAAUUAGCUGUUCCUGAGAUGUUUGUCACACCAAAGUUCCAAUAAUCAAAUCAGAUUGUAUUGCAGCCAAAAAUUUAUAUUUAUUCAAACAUACACACCACGAGAAAAUAACACAAAGUUUUUGCACAAAUCUGGACCAAUACAGCAAUGUGUAAGCACUUCAAGAUAAUAUUAAUUUUUGUUGUUAUAAGUAUUGGUGAGGAAUUUCUAACUGUAAAUGUUUUUAUAUGUCUAAAAUUCAGUUACUCACGAGACGUACACAUAAGGUUACCUGACACGUUAAAAUAUGUGGCCAUCAUAGAAAAAGGUUGUGGCUUAACCAUUCUGUCCAAUCUCUGAUUAGAGCCAGACGUUAAACAAAUGGUUAGAAAAUAGGGGUAGGUGAUUUAUAGAGUCCCACAAGGGGAAACUAACAUCAGGAGAGCUCCACUGUAUAAGAGAUGAGGAAGGGGGCCCUAUCUUUAAUCAAUCUAAGGAUAAAAAGGGAUAUGCAAACAAAAAGUAUAACUUGAAAAAAGGGAGACAUACUAAAUGGUGCCCAGGGGAUCAAUUGUCUGGAGUACUAACUAGCAUCUACGUUCCAGUUCCCCUAGUGUCCUCAUUGGAGCUCCCUAUUAGUUGGUUACAGUGGUGCAGCUCAUGAGCCCUUGACUUGUAUCCAGACUCCUGACCUGCACUCUGUUUACUUUAUUUCUCCAUUUUGUGUUUUAUACAAAUGGUUAUACUUGGGGGGUAAAAUAUAAUUUACACGAAGGUCUUUCUGUUUACAUGAUUAAAUGAAUUUCUUCAAAAAGAAACUUCCUAAUACACAUGGGAGUCUUGCUUGCAAUACUAGGUCAAAAGGUGAUAUCAACAGGCUUUCACCAAGCAUUAUUUCAUAUGUGGUGAACAUUGGUAAACAAAUAAAUAGGAUCUCUCAGUUCUUGUGUCUGAAAGUAUUUUAAAAUGAAAUUAAUUUCAACUAAUACAAAACUUAUGCUAUUCAUAUUGCAAAGAUAAAAUCCUACAACACAUCAGAUAUUUAAAUUUCAAUAAAUAUAUUUCAUAACCCAGUGCAGGUGUGUCCCUUUUAUUCACACUCUACGCAGUGGGACAUGCAAAUUCUAAACAUACAAGGGUUGAAAAAAUUCAAUUGCAGAGUCUAGAUCUGGAAGUAGACAUAAUCUGUGCCUUGGUUGGUUCUUGAGAUUGUUUAGAAAGGAUUGAAGAUUACAUUUCUUGAAAUCCCUGGUGAUUAUAAUCUUGGUAGAGGAUUUAGUGGCCUUUAUUUUGAGUAUUCAGGACACUAAACAGUGGUCACGGAAACUGUUAGUGAGAACUACCACCUACUGGAUUCUGUCAGGACAACAGAAUAGAAUCUGAUGUAGCAAGGUAUGGUUAUGGCUUAUCAUCUUAAUGAGCGUUGGGGAGGAAAUUAAGUAAUGCACUCGGAAGCUAGGUGGGCGUUAAAUUCCUGCAACAAUGAUAGUUUUACUGAAAGGGAUCUUGAUUGUGCCAGAAAAGAAAUCAAAGGUGGCAGGAGAGCUAUAGUUUUUUAAAAGGGUGAACUUUAGAAACAAUCCCAAGAAAUUAUGUAUUCCCAAAGGAAAGAUCAAAUUAUUUUCCAGUUUAAUUAUGAAAAACAGACUGAGUUGGAUUAAUAACUCAUCAGCUAAAAACAAAAGAAUAUGAGAAUGUUGUCUUCAAAAAGCAUUUAAGUUUUUAGCUCUAAUAGUUAAAAUAGAGUUAUUUUUAUAAUAAUCUAAUCUAUAAUAUGCAUAGGAUGGGUACAUGCUUCUAUUAUAGAACUCAGUCUUCUCUCCUCUCAACUGUUUCUGGUGUGUUAUUGUGUUUGUUUGUAAAUGUCUAUGCAUGCAAAAGUGUGGAUGUAAUUUUAUUACUGUGGAAACAAAAUAAAGAUUAUUAAGAAUAAUAACAUUAAAUAUUUUAUGUAACCACAAAGAGCACUAUUUACUUUGUUGUUAAUUCCAUGAUCAUGAGAUAAUGUGAAUACCAAUAAGAGAUAAGCCGAGAUGUAACUUUAUUUUUAAUAGUUCAAAUGGUUUGGAUUGUGAUAACGUUGAAAAUACACAAAAACACAAUUCUAGCCUGAGUUCAGGAGGUGUAAUGAGAUGAAUAAAUGACUGUGAUUAUAACUGAUGCAUUUGACUGGUAAAACUAACAUGAAUGUACUUUAGUUUCAAAUUACAUGUCACACAAUAUAAUAUAUAUAAUUUAACCUCCUAAUAAUAAUAAUAAUAAUAAUAUCUUUAAAAACAGAACUUAAACAAGUUGCAGAACAAUUGGCAAUGAUGUCAAACCUUUUUUCUUUUCUUUUUGUAAAAUAUGCUUUAAAGUAGUUUUUUCCUCAGUAGGAAUAGAAAUAAUCUAGUUGAAAAAAAGGCCUGUCACAUUUUCUCUAGAUCUCCCUUAGAACCAGGAAAUGCUUGUGCCAGCAGGUAAACAAAAAAGCAUAUAGGAUACAAUACAAUAGCUAUACUGAAGCAGAGUAUACAAUAGCUAUACAUUCUAAUUACUGAUGAAAAGAAACCAGCUCAGUACUGUUUUCAGCAUCAGCAAGGUAAACAGUAUAUAAAGGCUCUUCAUGCUAUGUAACAGCACAACUUGCAUGAGCAGAUCAACCAUCACUGAAAAUGGGAAAGGUAAGAUGAUCUGAAUAUUGUAAAUAUUUGCAACACAAGAAAUUUUGGAAACAAUAAACAGAUUUUUUUAUUUUUUUUUAAAUGAACCAAAACAAAUUAAAAUUUUAAAUGCUUACACUGAAUGUCAUCAAACUUUAUCCUAUACAAUAUAUCCUGGUGAGUUUAUCUAGGCCAGAAACAUGACAACAUAAUAUUCCAUAAACUAGUUUUGGACAUUUGCCGCCUCAUCAAAUACAAAUUCAUCAGAACACAUGCUUCACAUGUUUACUUUUUUCAGACUCAAGAUUAAGAUUUUUUCAGUUUUUGAAAGUACUUUCUAGUGAAUGCCACUAUUAACCGUAAUAAAUUGCUAUAAUUAUGUGAAAGUGAAUGCAAGUUCACCAAUCUAAAAAAACACAAAAUGUACCAAAAACAUAUAUUCCAAUUCGGUCCUAAACUUAUAUGUUUAACACCUACACUUUAUUAUUUGAACAGGAUAAUAGUAGAUGUUUUUUAGGAAUCUAUAGCAUCAAGUAAUCAAACCAGAAACUAUUUUUUAAAUGAAAUUAUUAACCACUAAAACAAUAAUAAACUAAAAAAUCUAAAAUGUUCAAAUGCAUGGUUGUUUCACAGAUUGUCUUCUACGAGGAUCGUAACUUCCAGGGCCGCUCUUAUGAGUGCAACUCUGAGUGUCCAGAUAUGUCCUCAUAUUUUCAGCGCUGUAAUUCCAUCCGAGUGGAAAGUGGAAACUGGAUUCUGUAUGAGCACCCCAACUAUAGAGGACACCAGUAUUACCUUAGCAGGGGAGAAUAUCCUAAUUUCCAGCAAUGGAUGGGUUUCAAUGACUCCAUCAGAUCUUGUCGUAUUAGCCCACAGGUAAAGAUAUUUACCAAAAUAGUUAAGAACCUUACAUAAAUAUGAUGCAGUACAAAAAAACAUUAUUUUCCUAUUAUUAUAGGUUUACCUUUGCAAAUAUUACCUUUUUUGACUAUUAAUAAUUAUUUUAUGGAAUAUAUCUUCAAUUCACAAUUCCAUUGUCAUGUAACAGGUUGGUUAACAUUGAUAAAAAAAAAAUAUAUAUUCUCGUUUAGAUUUUUGAUGUUUACAUGUAAUUAUACAAUUAUUUUACUCUUGUUUAUAAAUAAAUUUUUCUCCGUAAAGCACCAUGGAUCAUUCAGAAUAAAGGUCUAUGAGAGGGAGGAUUUCCGAGGUCAGAUGAUGGAGUUCACUGAAGAUUGUCCUAAUGUCAAUGAGAGAUUCCGUUACCAUGACAUCCACUCCUGCCAGGUGCUUGAUGGCUACUGGAUGUUCUAUGAGGAACCAAAUUACAAAGGACGCCAGUAUUACUUGAAACCUGCAGAGUACAGAAGAUAUACUGACUGGGGUGCCAUGAGCCCAAGAAUUGGCUCAUUCAGGAGACUUCACCAUUUCUAAUAAGUUGUAUUUAUUACUAAAUCAGCAUGUCAUUAAGAAUAUAAUAAAAGCUUCAAAAAUUAUCUUUAAGGUCUA